UGGAGGGAUCACUGGUACCCGGUCUCCCUCGUCGAGGACCUCGACCCCAGCCGCCCCACCCCGUUCCAGCUCCUCAACCGCGACCUCGUCAUCUGGAAGGAACCCAAGUCCGGCGAGUGGGUCGCGCUCGACGACCGCUGCCCCCACCGCCUUGCCCCGCUCUCGGUACGGCGACCCGCAUCCCUUCCUCGCCUCAUCCGUGUCCUACCGGAUCUCUUCCUCGUUUCGGCUAAUUUUGGUCUGGGCAUGUGCAGGAGGGCAGGAUCGAUGAGACGGGGUGCUUGCAGUGCUCGUAUCACGGAUGGUCAUUCGAUGGCUCCGGCGCCUGCACCAAGAUCCCCCAGGCCAUGCCCGAGGGUCCUGAGGCCCGUGCGGUGCGGUCACCGAAGGCGUGCGCGAUCAAGUUCCCCACCCUCGUCUCCCAGGGGCUGCUCUUCGUGUGGCCCGAUGAGAAUGGGUGGGAGAAAGCGGCCGCCACCAAGCCUCCAAUGUGCGUAGAGUCAGACUUUGGACUGCGGCUAAUUGGUUGGAUUCAGUUUUGCAUUUCGGUGUCUGAAUUCGAUCUUGUUUGGUUUCAGGUUGCCGAAAGAAUUUGAGGACCCGGCCUUCUCCACGGUGACAAUCCAGAGGGACUUGUUCUAUGGUUAUGAUACGUUGAUGGAGAACGUCUCUGAUCCGUCCCAUAUAGAAUUUGCUCACCACAAGGUACUUGGUACAGUGAGAAAGCUUAGUUGCUUGCCACACUUAAGCACCAUGAUAGUAUUUUUCAGUUGAAAGUUGGUGAUUCGAGGAAAGAUGUUUUGUUGCAACCAAUUUGUGUAGUUUGCUAAAAAAUCACCACCUCAAUACUGUUUAAUUGUGUAGGCCUCUUAUCGUUUCUGAUUGCCAGUGUGCAAGUUUAACUAACUGUUAGAUCUUAACUGUGGAUGUACCCAUAUAUUUUUUUUGCAUCAUAGUUUUAUUCUUUUUUACUUAUGCUGCAUUGAAAUUCCUCAGAAAUGACUUAUAAUGGGCAAAAGGGCUGAAUGGUCUGAGUCUGGCCUCUUAUCGUUUCUGAUUGCCAGCGUGCAAGUUUAACUAAGGUCCCGUUUGGUUUGAGGGAUUAAAUAUCAGUGCCUCCAUUUUAGUCCCAUUUAGUCCAUAAAUUGACAAACGGUGGGACUAAAACAAGGACUAAACUGUUCUAGUCUCUAGUCCCUCAAGGGAUGACUCUAAGGGGCUAAACCAUAAAAAUCCACUUUUUGGCCCUCCUUCAUUUCAGUUGCACUAAUGGCGGGAGGAUGUUAAGGAGUAUUUUGGUCUUCUUAUGAUUCAUUUAAUGUGUUUUGAAUACUUAUAGUUUUUAGAACCAAACAGGGUAGGGACUAAAUUUUAGUCUUCUAACUAAACUUUCGUCCCUGGACUAAAGGAACCAAACCCUAACUGUUAGAUCUUAACUGUGGAUGCACCCAUAUAUAUUUUUGCAUCAUAGUUUUAUUCUUUUUUACUUACGCUACUUGCUUAGUCUGAACAGGCAUUAAUAGGGUGUUUGGUUUGAGGGAUUAGUUAGUUCACCCACUCAUUCCUCUUUUCUUUGUUUGGUUUGUUGAAUGGAGUAGGUUGGUCAGUGCAUUAUCACAUCAUUCCUCAGACUAGUAGUUAGUACUAGUAUGAAGAAUGGGGUCAUUCAACCAAAUUUAAGGAAUUGACUCAUGAUGCAUCACCACAUUUAGAAUGGAGUGGCUCCUCAAACCAAACCCUAUAAAUGACUGGCUGAGUUAAUUGUGCUAUCUGUGUGUCAUGAACUUGUGCCGGCAGCAUAGACAAACAAAAUGCUUUAUUUUCUCGGGAUACAUGGUUUCAGCAAAUCCACUCAUGUUUCAGAUUUUAACUCUUCACAGGUUACUGGACGAAGAGAUAGAGCCAGGCCUUUGACAUUCAGGAUGGAAUCAAGUGGUGCCUGGGGUUACUCAGGAGCAAAUUCUGGUAAUCCUCGCAUUACUGCAACUUUUGAGGCCCCUUGUUAUGCAUUAAACAAGUAAGUUUCAGAAAAGUACCUGGUCAUCUUUGAGUGUGGAGUGAUUCUUAUUUACCACUUAAGCAAUUCAGUCGUUAUACGGUUCUGAACUUCUGUUAACUGGCUUGUACAGAAUAGAGAUAGACACAAAGUUACCCAUUUUUGGCGACCAGAAAUGGGUCAUAUGGAUUUGCUCUUUCAACAUUCCAAUGGCCCCAGGGAAGACUCGUUCUAUUGUCUGUAGCGCUCGAAACUUUUUCCAGUUCACAAUGCCAGGAAAAGCAUGGUGGCAGGUACAUGUGUGUUUAGUGUUUCCUUUACUUAAGCUUUGUUUUCCUAUUUGUUUUGUCAACAUAAUCUUUUAACUGCUAAAACGAACUUGUUCUCGCGUUUUUGUGGGAAACAAGGCAAAGGUCCCUAGUCCCUACUGUAGGCAUAUAUUAUUGGCAGAGUUUAUUACUUGGUCAUGUUUGAAUUUAUAUGUGUACAGUCAAAUGUUGAUAGCUUCUUUCUCUUGGUGUAGCUUGUUCCUCGAUGGUAUGAACAUUGGACUUCAAAUUUGGUCUAUGAUGGCGAUAUGAUCGUUCUUCAAGGCCAGGAGAAGAUUUUCCUAGCUGCAACCAAGGAGUCUUCUACGGAUAUUAAUCAGCAGUACACAAAGAUCACAUUCACGCCCACACAAGCUGAUCGAUUUGUUUUAGCAUUCCGCACGUGGCUAAGGAAAUUUGGCAAUAGCCAGCCGGAGUGGUUUGGAAAUCCUACACAAGAAGCAUUGCCUUCCACCGUCCUUUCAAAGCGCGAGGUAAAAGCCAUCUGGGUCACCAAAAAAGUUUCAGUAUAAUAUUUGCUUCAGACAUAAAAUAUCUGAAUAUGACAACCUUUUUGGUGGUCAAAGAUCUGUUUUGCUUACAUUCUUAAUACUCGAUGCAUUGGUAAGUUAUUACAGUUAUCCUUUUUACUCGAUUUUUCCCUUUCUGAGCAGAACGUAUUAUCACGUCUUCAUUGUUUGUACACUUGGUUUCUAUGACACACAAAUUUUUGUUUUACAUUAUCAGUUGUCAUAUGAACUAAUGUAUUUACAGCAACCUGCUUAAGUGCUUAGUAUCACAAAGGGACAAAUUCAAUGAAAUAUUUGGAAAGAUAGUAGCGUCGAACCACUCUCACUGCUAGGCAUUUGAGAAUAGUUACUUAACUGACAGCGAAGUUCACCUUCUACCGACUGGAUCUGGAAACAGUAUCUUGAAGUAGUCACACGUAAACCUUCAUCAGCUGUGUUUCUGCGUUCCAGUAACUCAUGUAUUCUUAUGAUUGACUUUGUGUUAUGCAGAUGCUAGACAGAUACGAGCAGCACACGUUGAAAUGCUCGUCUUGCAAAGGAGCAUAUAAUGCUUUCCAGAAUCUGCAGAAGGUAUUCAUGGGAGCGACAGUAGUUUGCUGUGCUGCCGCUGGUAUUCCUCCAGAUGUUCAGCUCAGGCUAUUGAUCGGUGCGGCUGCUUUGGUCAGUGCCGCUAUAGCAUACGCAUUCCAUGAGCUCCAGAAGAAUUUUGUAUUCGUGGAUUACGUGCAUGCUGACAUUGAUUGAAAGAUUCGUGAGGAUCUGUUGUGUCGACAUCACUCGCUCGCGAGUCGUGUCUGUAGUCUAGGGCUCUAGGCGUCUAGGUAGGGAAAGUAACUUUUUGCCGGGUAUAGGUCAUAUUGCUCACAUAUGUAUUUUGUAUAGUGUAUGCACUCAACUGUAGCCGAUGCAGUGCGAAAAUAUAGUUUUUAUGUUAUUAUCUAUUGGAUUAAAAUUGUCUCCAGAUCCUUUUAGCAUGUAAAAUGCCAUUUUUCAAAUGGAAGUUCUCAAUUGCGCCUAUAGUUGCAGGGAACAUUCUGAUGUGAUCAUGCCAUUCUCUGGCUCUGAGCAGUUAGAGCUGGGCACGAAGAUGGCAUGUGAAACUAUUUCAAUACAGUGUCUGGUCAGAAUCUUCUGUAAUGGUGAGCCUUUGGUUUGUGACCCAAGUAAUGAGCCAAGCCAAAUUGUAUCCAUUUCUAGGAAACAUGAACUUUGUUUGAUUUGAGGCUAAAAUUUGGCCAAGCAGAAAAGAAACCCAUCAUAUUCAACCAGUUGUCUUUUCUAAUAAAAUGCUAGGCAAAACAUGAGUGAGCAAAAUCGUUUGUUUCAGUUUUGCCUCCCUAAAUUUUUUACUAAGUGCCAUUUUGUCUAACCUGAUGUUUGUAUAAUCUAACUUGUCAUAGGUAUUUCGGCCAACUUUUUUUUUUGCCUUUUGACCCUUUUUACGAAAGAUUUUCAUAACUACACGUUUUCUGCUUUGAAUUCAAGAAAUAGACUCUUACCUCGACGCCGUUAUUAUUGACGCCGAUGUUACAUGUCUUGACGCCAAAAUAAAAGUCCUCUCUGGCAUCUACGUGGCAGGGGAUCGGCGCCGUGAUUGUUAGCGCCGACCCCUCUUAUACGGGGUCGAACGGUGAUCUUCCCGUGGCACCGUCUGCUGUCUGGGACGCAUGUCGGUCAAAUGCGAUGGGUGCGGAUUCUACCCUCCAAGACACGCGAUGGCGAUCUAACGUGCAACAUGCGUGCGUGUCAGCGAUAUGGUUUUUGGAGCGGUUUCUUGAGAAGCUUGGCACACAGACACCCCCCCUGAAAUGAUGGCUUGUGCCGGUUGUAAAAGCUUAAAAAAAUUUAGGCCACUGAGUAGCGGUGUGUUGUUUUAUUAUAUGUGGCUUAUGUGGCUGACGGCUGAGUACUGUCUCCUUUUUCUGUUUAAUUUACCCAUAUGCAUUCACUGCUGAUGGCACUAGCUUCCUGCUCGAACUACUUUAGUUAAAAAAUUCAAAACCUAAGUGAAUCUAUAUAAAAAACAUACUAACAUUCAGCAUAUUAAACAAAUACCACCCUCUUUAUUUUAAAUUAUAAUCAAUAUAAAAAAUAUUAAACAUAGAAAAGCUAAAAGUUCUUAUAUUUAGUAAUUGAAGAAACACUAGAUUCAUUGUGAAAUAGUUUUACUAUAUGCAUUUAGAGGCGCACAAGCCACAUACAGUAAAGCAAAAGUGGUAGCAUGUGGCCCAACUUUUUAAACUUUUCUAACCGGCACAAGCCAUCAUUUCAAGGGGCCCAUGUCCGUGCGCCAAGCUUGUCACCGUGCCACUCCAGAAACCACACCACUGACACGCACGUAGUAGGCCGCAUGUCACAGUGCCACCACAAAUAAGAUUGGUCAUCCAAAGGAAAAAGGGCUCGACGCCAAUGUUCAUGGCGCCGACCCCUGCCACGCAAGCGCGAAAUCAGCAUACCGGAGUAGAGAUGGCAACGAGUACAAAUUCGCUGGGUUUUGCCAUCCCAAACCUGUAUCCGUGAAAAAUAUCUAUACCUAUUAAAAAACCUGAUAUAGCUGAGGUGCCCGAUCUUUCAGCGAGUGGAGAUAAUUCCGAUUUGGCGGAAGAUUACUCUUGCGAUCCGACUACGACGAGCAAGCCCGAGGCGCCAAUGCAAUCGCUGAACCAACUCCAUGUGGUUACCGACCUUGCUGAUGCGAGAUCGACCUGAUCACGAAGAUCGUUUCCUGUGCACAAUCGAAGAACGAACAAGAAAAAGAUGCGAGCAAUCUAAUCUAUUACUCGAGGGUGGAGUUCUGAAUACACUAAGACAGCGCUGAUUUGCGUGUGUUCGAGAGUAGCUAAAGCUAACGUAAAACAAAACCCGCAGAACAAAGGAGGCGCAGCUCCUGGAUAAAUAGAGAGGGGGGCGCAGCCCCUAGGGGCGGCCAACCCUAGGUCGUCCACUAUGGGCCGCAGUUGGGCUGGUCGUCUAUUCUUCUGGGCCCUCAUUCUUCAGUAGCAUGACGUAGUUAAGAUCUCUGGCACGGGCCCGAGUGAUUGGCCCUUGAUAUGGAGGUGCUGCUGGUGUAGUCGUACUCAUAGUGAUGUCCUCAUCAUCCUUCCAUUCUUGAAGUGAAGUCGUCCUCGACGGCAACUCCUCAUCCUCAGCCAUAUAUGGUUUCAAAUCUGCAACAUUAAAACUAGUGGAAACACCAAAUUCCGCAGGCAGGUCAAAGAUAUAAGCAUUAUCAUUAAUCUUUGUUAGCACCUUAAAAGGACCAGCAGCACGAGGCAUUAAUUUAGAAUGGCGCAAAGUAGGAAACCGAUCCUUUCUCAAGUGCAACCAAACCAUAUCACCUGGCUCAAAAGUAACAAGUUUUCUUCCUUUACUACCAGCAACCUGAUUUUUUGCAUUAGUAGCAGCAAUGUUCUGUUUCAUUUGUUCAUGUAUGGUAAUCAUUUGUUCAACAUGUGCAGCAGCAUCUACAUGUGGGGUGUUCGCAGCAUUAAGUGAAAUCAAAUCAAUAGAUGCCCUAGGGAUGUAACCAUAAACAAUCUGGAAAGGGCAUAUCUUUGUAGAAGAAUGUGUGGCAUGAUUGUAAGCAAAUUCAACAUGAGGCAAACAAUCCUCCCAACGUCUCAAAUUCUUGUCUAAAACAACCCUAAGCAUGGUAGAUAAAGUUCUAUUUACUACCUCAGUUUGUCCGUCAGUCUGAGGGUGAUAAGUAGUGCUAAACAGCAAUUUAGUUCCCAAUUUAUUCCAAAGAGAUCUCCAAAAAUGGCUUAGAAACUUAGCAUCGCGAUCCGAGACUAUUGUUUUUGGAAUACCAUGUAAACGAAUAAUUUCUCUAAAGAACAAUUCAGCAACAAUGCUAGCAUCAUCAGUUUUAUGACAAGGUAUAAAGUGAGCCAUUUUAGAGAAUCUAUCAACAACCACAAAAAUACUAUCCCUCCCCUUCUUAGUUCUAGGCAAGCCCAAAAAAAGUCCAUAGAAAUAUCAAGCCAAGGAGAAGAAGGGACAGACAAAGGCAUAUACAAACCAUGGUUGCCCAAACGUGACUUAGCUUUCUGGCAAGUAGUGCAACGUGCAACAAGACGCUCAACAUCACGGCGCAUCCAAGGCCAAAAGAAGUGUGCGGCCAACACCUCAUGUGUCUUGUAAACACCAAAGUGCCCCAUGAGACCGCCUCCAUGAGCUUCCUGCAGCAACAAAAGACGAACCGAGCUUGCUGGAAUACACAACUUGUUAGCGCGGAACAAAAAUCCAUCUUGUAUGUGAAAUUUUCUCCAGGGUUUGCCAUCCUUACAAUGUAUAUAGAAAUCUUUAAAAUCAGCAUCAUCCACAUAUUGAUCUUUCACAGUUUGCAAGCCAAAGAUUCUAAAUUCUAACAGUGAAAAGCAUGGUAUAUCUACGGGACAAUGCAUCAGCAAUGACGUUUUCCUUCCCAUUCUUGUGUUUAAUGAUGUAAGGAAAGGACUCGAUGAAUUCUACCCAACUAGCAUGACGACGGUUCAGAUUUGUUUGGGUACGAAUAUGUUUUAAAGCCUCAUGAUCAGAAUGAAUUAUAAACUCACGAGGCCAAAGGUAGUGCUGCCAUGUUUGCAAAGUGCGAACUAAAGCAUAAAGUUCCUUAUCAUAAGUAGAAUAUCUCAAGCUAGCACCGCUUAAUUUUUCACUGAAAUAAGCAACCGGUUUUCCUUCUUGUAACAAACAGCACCUACCCCAAUACCACUAGCAUCACAUUCAAGUUCAAACACUUUCUGAAAGUCGGGCAAUUGUAAGAGUGGAGCAUGGGUUAACUUAUCUUUCAAAGUGUUGAACGCCUCUUCUUGUGGGGGUCCCAAGCAAAAGACACACCUUUCUUUGUGAGUUCAUGCAAAGGGGCAGCGAUGGAGCUAAAAUCACGCACAAAACGGCGGUAAAAUCCUGCAAGUCCAAGAAAACUCCGAAUUUGGGUGACCGUCGUUGGUGUAGGCCAGUCCUGAAUGGCUUCAACCUUGCUGCUAUCCACCUCAAUGCCCUGCGGAGUAACCACAUAACCAAGAAACGAGACACGUUGUGUGCAAAAUGUGCACUUUUCCAUGUUACCAAACAAGCGAGCAGCACACAAAGCAUCAAAAACAGCACGCAAAUGUUCUAAAUGCUCCUCUAUAGACUUGUUGUAAAUAAGGAUAUCAUCGAAAUAAACAACAAUAAACAAACCUAUGAAGGCUCGUAGAACUUCGUUCAUUAAACACAUAAAGGUGUUGGGAGCAUUAGUCAAUCCAAAUGGCAUCACCAACCAUUCAUAUAAACCAAAUUUUGUUUUAAAAGCCGUUUUCCAUUCAUCACUAAGUUUCAUUCUAAUCUGAUGGUAACCGCUACACAAAUCAACCUUAGAGAAAAUAACAACACCAAUAAGCUCAUCUAACAUAUCAUCAAGGCGUGGAAUAAGAUAUCGAUAACGAACUGUGAUGUUAUUAAUAGCACGACAAUCUACGCACAUACGCCAUGACCCAUCUUUCUUUGGAACGAGUAAAACAGGAACCGAGCAAGGGCUAAGAGACUCACGAAUGUAACCUUUAUCAAGCAGCGUUUGCACCUGGCGCUGGAUCUCCUUCGUCUCAUCUGGAUUUGUACGGUACGGGGCGCGGUUCGGAAGAGAAGCGCCAGGGAUGAGAUCGAUCUGAUACUCAAUGCCACGGAGCGGAGGAAGACCCGGUGGUAAGUCCGUAGGAAAAACAUCAGCAUACUCCUGCAAAAGGUUAACAACAGUAGGGGGUAUAUCCAAAGACGGUGCUUCAUCAAGCGGAACAAGCAUGCGCGAGCAUACAAGUGCGUAAAAGGGCAUAUGAGCUUCAUGAAGAUCAUCAAAAUCAGCACGUGUAGCAAGUAAAACAGGAGAGUGCAACUUGAUUUCAGAUUUAAUAGGUGCGGCUGAUGUCGAUUUGACUUGUUGUGUAGUUUUAGCAGCCCUAGUAAGAUCAUCUUUCAAAAUUUGGUCAGGGGUCAUUGGAUGUAUAAUUAUUUUCUAGCCUUUAAACAUGAAAUAAUAAUGAUUUGAACGACCAUGAUGUAAACUAUCAGUAUCAUAUUGCCAAGGUCGACUCAAUAACAAAGAGCAUGCUUCCAUAGGAAUAACAUCGCAAUCAGCAUAAUCAGAAUAAGAACCCAGCGAAAAGGGGACACGUACCGAACGUGUUACCUUUAUUUUACCACCAUCAUUAAGCCAUUGAAUGUGAUACUGUUGUGGGUGUGCACGAGUGGGCAAGGAUAAUUUCUCUACCAAAGCUGUACUUGCCAAAUUGUUGCAGCUGCCACUAUCGAUGAUGAUGCGAAUCGACCGUUCGUGCACAACGCCCUUGGUAUGGAAUAGAGUGUGUCGCUGAUUUUUUCGGCCUGGGCAAUCUGUGUGCUAAGAACACGCUGCACAACAAGAUUCUCAUACCUAUCGGCGUCGAUGGGAUCAACGUGGACUUACUCAUUUUCUGCAUGGUUAGUGGCAAUCAUAGCAUGACUAGUUUCCUCGGAAUCACUGGCUGAAGAGUACUCACCAUUGUCACGUAUAAGCAAGGUACGCUUGUUUGGGCAGUCCCGAAUCAUGUGCCCAAACCCUCUGCAACGAUGGCACUGAAUAUCCCGUGUACGUCCUGUGGAAGGAACGACGCCUUUGGCAGGGGGCGCCACUGGCUUGGCCGUCCCUGUGCGCGGUGUAGUGCUAGGCGUAGAAGGUGCAGGGCUGGAAGGAGUUGAGUUGUGUGUCGAACCCCGACCUACAAAAGAGUUAGUAUAUGUCUUUGAUCGUCGUCCCUGCACUUCACGUUCAGCUUUGCAAGCAUAUUCAAACAAUGUGGUUAUAUCAAAAUAAUCCUUAUAAUCAAGUAUAUCCUGAAUUUCCCUGUUCAAACCACCACAAAAACGCGCCAUAGCAGCGUCAUCCGACUCAACCAAACCACAACGAAGCAUACCCUUUUGUAACUCCUGGUAAUAUUCCUUAACAGAUUGUGAACCUUGUUGAAAACGCUGCAUUUUGUUAAGCAAAUCACGGGCAUAAUAGGAAGGAACAAAUCUGUGGAGCAUGGCAGUUUUUAAUUGGGUCCAAAUAGUGACACUGUUAAUGGGAAGUUUUUGUUUAUACUCAUGCCACCAAAUUAAAGCAAAAUCAGUAAAUUCACUAAUGGCAGCCUUCACUUGGCUAUUAGCAGGAAUAUCAUGGCAUGAAAAUUUAUAUUCUACCUCCAAUUCCCAAUCAAAAUAUGCAGCAGGAUCAUAUUUACCAUUAAAAGAUGGAAUUUUAAAUUUAAUCUUAGCAAAUAAGUCAUUAGGGGGAUGACGAACCACACGGCGUGCACGACCACGGCGAUCUCCAUCUUCCUGCUCAGUGUCACCGCCGUAGUACUGCUCCAUCCUUGUGGUCAACGCAUCAAGGCGUGCCAGGAUGGUGUCGAGUGUGGUGCGAGUCGCCGUUUGAGCAAGGUCAAGCUGGUUGAAACGCGCGGUCGUCGAAGUGACCGUUGAAUCAAGCCGUUCAUGCAUCAUCCUAAUGUCAGCAGCAAGUCCAUCAACUUGUCCCCUUACUUCCUGCAACUGGGCAUCCACCGUGUCAUGUGCUCCUGCCAUAGUUAGUGCAAACACCAAAACACCAAAAUGAGAAAAACCGACGACAACAGGGGAAUGGUGGUGACAACUCGCUCAAUGGAAUGUUGUUAUCAAGUUCUUAUCUGUUCUUACCAAGCCACAGUGGUGAACUGCAACCAACAGGUGGAACCGGUGAAAGAUUGGAUGAGCGAUUGCCUGGAGAAACAGAAACCUGCUCGUCGUAGAAAUAUGUGGAGUUCUGGGUAGGCUGCACUCAAGUCAAGGAUUAGCACGAUCAAGCAAUAAUGCAAAGUUGAAUUAUACUACAAAACACGAAACUAUAUUGCUAGCCACAAGUGCAAAGGACGGAUGGAACUAGCAGAAUGGCAGUACCGUAAAUAUUGUACUAGCGAGGCCAAAAAGGCACUAGUAGGAAUCACAGGUGAUUUUGUUUUUCUUUUUUAUAUGAUUUUUUGAUAUUUUUCUCAGCACAAGAAGCAACAAAAUAGGAGCUACACCAAGUUUCACCUAAACAGAGAUCAGAUGUGGUCUACAGAAAAAGAACAAGUUCUCUGAAAAGCGUGCAAGAACUUUGACGAUUUUUUUUUCUUUAUUUUCCCGAAUUUUUUGACAAUUUUAUCGAAACCAAACAGACCGAAGGCGAGUUUGGCUGGCCUCAGAAUGGUGUCAACAAGCUCCUGUAAAAAAUUUAGAUUUUUUGAACAACCGAGCAAAAAGUUAUGCCCGGUUUAAGGAAGGUACCUCAAGUUAUGGUUAAAAACGACCGAGAUGAGACAACCGCUUUGUUUCCUUUCCCUAUUUUUUUGUUUGUUCUCUGGUUCUAUCCUUUCUCUUUCGUUUUCCUUUUUUCUUUUCUUUUUUUGUUUCUAUUUUUUUGACGUAACCGAAGGAGAAAAACAAGGAAACAACGUUGACUCGGUUUGUGGCGUGAUCAAACGGGAGAUGGUGGCGGCGCGCUAGGGUUUGAAUGGUGGAAAACACAAUGUGACCAGCAACAAAUGACGCGAAAGCACACAAAUUCAACAAUGCAGAUUAUUGAAAGAAAGUGUGAGGCUCAAAAGGGUGCUGGGACAAGGUCUAACCUGAAUUUUUAUGUGGUUUUGUGGACUAUAGGAGAAAAAAACCUCGAUAAACUCACCGAUCAACCUAGAAAUCUGAUACCACUUGAUAUAGCCGAGGUGCUCGAUCUUUCGGCGAGUGGAGAUAAUUCCGAUUUGGCGGAAGAUGACCCUUGCGAUCCGACUACGACGAGCAAGCCCGAGGCGCCAAUGCAAUCGCUGAACCAACUCCCUGUGGUUACCAAUAUAAGUGCAAAGGUUGCUUGGAAUUGAGCCAAUAUAAAUACUUACAAGAUAUGCAUGGAUUGCUUCUUUGUUUUUAACAUUUUGGACCACGCUUGCACCACAGGUUUUGUUUUUGCAAACUCUUUUGUAAAUUCUUUUCAAAGUUCUUUUGCAAAUAGUCAAAGGUAAAUGAAUAAGAUUUUGCAAAGCAUUUUCAAGAUUUGAAUUUUUCUCCCCCUGUUUCAAAUGCUUUUCCUUUGACUAAACAAAACUCCCCCUAAAUGAGAUCCUCCUCUUAGUGUUCAAGAGGGUUUUGAUAUAUCAUUUUUGAAAUACUACUUUCUCCCUCUUUUGAACAUAACAGGGUACCAAUUGAAAAUACUCUUUGAAAAACUAAGUUUUCGAAAUUGGUGGUGGUGCGGUCCUUUUGCUUUGGGCUCAUACUUUCUCCCCCUUUGGCAUGAAUCGCCAAAAACGGAAUCAUUAGAGCCCUUGAAUUACUUUCUCCCUCUUUAGUAAAAAACAAAUGAGAUAAGAUUAUACCAAAGAUGGAGUCCUUUUGCUUGGUGCUCAUGGUUUCUCCCCCAAGAAUGGAGAGUUGCUUGGAGUGAUGGCGAAGAAUGAGUUACGUAGUGGAAGCCUUUGUCUUCGCCGAAGACUCCAAUUUCCUUUCAAUACACCUAUGACUUGGUUUGAAAUAGACUUGGAAACAUAUUAGUCAUAGCAUAUGAAAGCGAUAUGAUCAAAGGUAUACAAAUGAGCUAUGUGUGCAAGUUAGCAAAAGAAAUUGCGCGAAUCAAGAAUAUUGAGCUCAUGCCUAAGUUUGUUAAAAGUUUGUUCAUCAAGAGGCUUGGUAAAGAUAUCGGCUAAUUGAUCUUUAGUAUUAAUGUAAGAAAUCUCGAUAUCUCCCUUUUGUUGGUGAUCCCUAAGAAAAUGAUACCGAAUGGCUAUGUGUUUAGUGCGGCUAUGCUCGACGGGAUUAUCUGCCAUCUUGAUUGCACCCUCAUUAUCACAUAGCAAAGGGACUUUGGUCAAUUUGUAACCGUAGUCCCGCAGGGUUUGCCUCAUCCAAAGCAACUGCGCGCAACAAUGGCCUGCGGCAAUAUACUCGGCUUCGGCGGUGGAAAGAGCGACCGAAUUUUGCUUCUUUGAAGCCCAAGACACCAAGGAUCUUCCCAAGAACUGGCAAGUCCCCGAUGUGCUCUUCCUAUUGAUUUUACACCCCGCCCAAUUGGCAUCCGAAUAACCAAUCAAAUCAAAUGUGGAUCCCCUAGGAUACCAAAGCCCAAACUUAGGAGUAUAAGCCAAAUAUCUCAAGAUUCGUUUUACGGCCGUAAGGUGAGCUUCCUUAGGGUCGGCUUAGAAUCUUGCACACAUGCAUACGGAAAGCAUAAUAUCCGGUCGAGAUGCACAUAAAUAGAGUAAUGAACCUAUCAUUGACCGGUAUACCUUUUGAUCCACGGACUUACCUCCCGUGUCGAGGUCGAGAUGCCCAUUAGUUCCCAUGGGUGUCUUGAUGGGCUUGGCAUCCUUCAUCCCAAACUUGUUUAGAAUGUCUUGAGUAUACUUCGUUUGGCUAAUGAAGGUGCCCUCUUGGAGUUGCUUCACUUGAAAUCCCAAGAAGUACUUCAACUCCCCCAUCAUAGACAUCUCGAACUUUUGUGUCAUGAUCCUACUAAAUUCUUCACAUGUAGACUCGUUAGUAGACCCAAAUAUAAUAUCAUCAACAUAAAUUUGGCAUACAAACAAGUCAUUUUCAAUAGUUUUAGUGAAUAGAGUAGGAUCGACCUUUCCGACUUUGAAUUCAUUAGUGAUGAGAAAAUCCCUAAGGCAUUCAUAUCAUGCUCUUGGGGCUUGCUUGAGCCCAUAAAGCGCCUUAGAGAGUUUGUAAACAUGGUUAGGGUACUCACUAUCUUCAAAGCCGGGAGGUUGCUCAACAUAGACCUCUUCCUUGAUUGGUCCAUUGAGGAAGGCACUUUUCACGUGCAUUUGAUAAAGCUUAAAGCCAUGGUUAGUAGCAUAGGCUAAUAAUAUACGAAUUGACUCAAGCCUAGCUACGGGUGCAUAGGUUUCACCGAAAUCCAAACCUUCGACUUGGGAGUAUCCCUUGGCCACAAGUCGAGCUUUGUUCCUUGUCACCACACCAUGCUCAUCUUGCUUAUUGCGGAAGACCCAUUUGGUUCCUACAACAUUUUGAUUAGGACGUGGAACUAAAUGCCAUACCUCAUUCCUAGUGAAGUUGUUGAGCUCCUCUUGCAUUGCCACCACCCAAUCCGAAUCUUGUAGUGCUUCCUCUACCCUGUGUGGCUCAAUAGAGGAAACAAAGGAAUAAUGCUCACAAAAAUGUGCAACACGAGAUCUAGUAGUUACCCCCUUAUGAAUGUCGCCGAGGAUGGUGUCGACGGGAUGAUCUCGUUGGAUUGCUUGGUGGACUCUUGGGUGUGGCGGUCUUUGUUCCUCAUCCUCCUUGUCUUCCUCAUUUGCAUCUCCCCCUUGAUCAUUGCCAUCAUCUUGAGGUGGUUCAUUUGCUUGAUUUUCUACUUCAUCAACUUGAGCUUCAUCCUCAUUUUGAGUCGGUGGAGAUGCUUGCGUGGAGGAGGAUGGUUGAUCCUGUGUAUUUGGAGGCUCUUCGGAUUCCUUAGGACACACAUCCCCAAUGGACAUGUUCCUUAGCGCGAUGCACGGAGCCUCUUCAUCACCUAUCUCAUCAAGAUCAACUUGCUCUACUUGAGAGCCGUUAGUCUCAUCAAACACAACGUCACAAGAAACUUCAACUUGUCCAGUGGACUUGUUAAAGACUCUAUAUGCCCUUGUGUUUGAAUCAAAUCCUAGUAAAAAGCCUUCUACAGUCUUAGGAGCAAAUUUAGAUUUUCUACCUCUUUUAACAAGAAUAAAGCAUUUGCUACCAAAGACUCUAAAAUAUGAAAUGUUGGGCUUUUUACCGGUUAGGAGCUCAUAAGAUGUCUUCUUGAGGAUUCGGUGUAGAUAUAACCGGUUGAUGGCGUAGCAAGCGAUGUUGACCGCCUCGGCCCAAAACCGAUCCGAAGUCUUGUACUCAUCAAGCAUGGUCCUUGCCAUGUCCAAUAGAGUUCGAUUCUUCCUCUCCACUACACCAUUUUGUUGUGGCGUGUAGGGAGAAGAGAACUCAUGCUUGAUGCCCUCCUCCUCAAGGAAGCCUUCGAUUUGAGAGUUCUUGAACUCCGUCCCGUUGUCGCUUCUAAUUUUCUUGAUCCUUAAGCCGAACUCGUUUUGAGCUCGUCUCAAGAAUCCCUUUAAGGUUUCUUGGGUUUGAGAUUUUUCCUGCAAAAAGAACACCCAAGUGAAGCGAGAAUAAUCAUCCACUAUUACAAGACAAUACUUACUCCCGCCGAUGCUUAUGUAAGCAAUCGGGCCAAAUAGAUCCAUGUGGAGUAGCUCAAGCGGCCUGUCGGUCGUCAUGAUGUUCUUGUGUGGAUGAUGGGCUCCAACUUGCUUUCCUGCCUGGCAUGCGCUACAAAUCUUGUCUUUCUCAAAAUGAACAUUUGUUAAUCCUAAAAUGUGUUCUCCCUUUAGAAGCUUGUGAAGAUUCUUCAUCCCAACAUGGGCUAGUCGGCGGUGCCAGAGCCAGCCCAUGUUAGUCUUAGCAAUUAAGCAUGUGUCGAGUUCAGUUCUAUCAAAAUCUACUAAGUAUAGCUGACCCUCUAACACACCCUUAAAUGCUAUUGAAUCAUCACUUCUUCUAAAGACAGUGACACCUAUAUCAGUGAAUAGACAGUUGUAGCCCAUUUUGCAUAAUUGAGAUACAGAAAGCAAAUUGUAGUCUAAUGAAUCUACAAGAAAAACAUUGGAAAUAGAAUGGUCAGGAGAUAUAGCAAUUUUACCCAAUCCUUUGACCAAACCUUGGUUUCCAUCCCCGAAUGUGAUUGCUCGUUGGGGAUCUUGGUUUUUCUCAUAGGAGGAGAACAUUUUCUUCUCCCCUGUCAUGUGGUUUGUGCACCCGCUGUCGAUGAUCCAACUUGAGCCCCCGGAUGCAUAAACCUACAAAACAAGUUUAGUUCUUGACUUUAGGUACCCAAAUGGUUUUGGGUCCUUUGGCAUUAGACACAAGAACUUUGGGUACCCAAACACAAGUCUUUGAUCCCUUGUGCUUGCCCCCAACAUAUUUGGCAACUACUUUGCCAGAUUUGUUAGUCAACACAUAAGAUGCAUCAAAAGUUUUAAAUGAAAGACUAUGUUCAUUUGAUGCAUUAGGAAUUUUCUUCUUAGGCAACUUAGCACGGGUUGGUUGCCUAGAGCUAGAUGUCUCACUCUUAUACAUAAAAGCAUGGUUAGAACCAGAGUGAAACUUCCUAGAAUGAAUUUUCCUAAUUUUGUCCUCGGGAUAACCGGCAGGGUAUAAAAUGUAACCCUCGUUAUCCUGAGGCAUGGGAGCCUUGCCCUUAACAAAGUUGGACAAUCUUUUAGGAGGGGCAUUAAGUUUGACAUUGUCCCCCCUUUGGAAGCCAAUGCCAUCCUUGAUGCCAGGGCAUCUCCCACUAUAGAGCAUACUUCUAGCAAAUUUAAAUUUUUCGUUUUCUAAGUUAUGCUCGGCAAUUUUAGCAUCUAAUUUUGCUAUAUGAUCAUUUUGUUGUUUAAUUAAAGACAUGUGAUCAUGAAUAGCAUUAAUAUCAACAUCUCUACAUCUAGUACAAAUAGAUACAUGCUCAACGAUAGAUGUAGAGGGUUUGCAAGAUUUUAAUUCUACAACCUUAGCAUGUAACAUGUCAUUCUUAGUUCUAAGGUCGGAAAUAGUAGCAAUGCAAACAUCAAAAUCUUUAGCCUUAGCAAGCAAUUUUUCAUUUUCAAUCCUAAGGCUAGAAAGAGAAAUGUUCGAUUCUUCAAUCCUAGCAAGUAAAUCAUCAUCAUUAUUUCUAGAAUUGGUUAUUGAAACAUUACAAACAUGAGAAUCAACCUUAGCUAACAAAUUACCAUUUUCAUUUCUAAGGUUGUCUAUUGUCUCAUGGCAAGUGCUUAGCUCACUAGAUAAUUUUUCACAUUUCUCAAUUUCUAGAGCAUAAGCAUUUUUAACCUUAACAUGCUUCUUAUUUUCCUUAAUUAGGAAGUCCUCUUGGGAAUCCAAAAGGUCAUCCUUUUCAUGGAUAGCACUAAUUAAUUCAUUUAAUUUUUCUUUUUGUUCCAUGUUAAGGUUGGCAAAAAGGGUACGCAAAUUAUCUUCCUCAUCACUAGCAUUAUCAUCACUAGAGGACUCAUAUCUAGUGGAGGAUUUAGAUUUAACCUUCUUUUUGCCGUCCUUUGCCAUGAGGCACUUGUGGCCGACGUUGGGGAAGAGGAGUCCCUUGGUGACGGCGAUGUUGGCGGCGUCCUCGUCGUCGGAGGAGUCGGUGGAGCUCUCGUCGGAGUCCCACUCCCGACAAACAUGGGCAUCACCGCCCUUCUUCUUGUAGUACCUCUUCUUCUCCUUCUUCUCCCCUUCUUGUCGUCGCCCCUGUCACUAUCACUUGAUAAUGGACAUUUAGCUAUGAAGUGACCGGGCUUACCACACUUGUAGCAAACCUUCUUGGAGCGGGACUUGUAGUCUUUCCCCUCCUUUGUUUGAGGAUUUGGCGGAAGCUCUUGAUGACGAGCGUCAUUUCCUCAUUGUCGAGCUUGGAGGUGUCGAUUGGUUGUCUACUUGGUGUAGACUCCUCCUUCUUUUCUUCCGUCGCCUUGAAUGCGACGGGUUGAGCUUCGGAUGUGGAGGGAUCAUCAAGCUCGUUGAUCUUCCUCGAGCCUUCGAUCAUGCACUCAAAACUCACGAAAUUCCCGAUUACUUCCUCGGGGUCAUUAGUGUAUAUCUUGGGUUGCCACGAAUUAAUUGUACUUGAGUAGGGUUAAGAAAAAUAAGAGAUCUUAAAAUAACCUUAACCAUUUCGUGGUCAUCCCAUUUCUUGCUCCCGAGGUUGCGCACUUGAUUCACCAAGGUCUUGAGCCGGUUGUACAUGUUUUGUGGCUCCUCCCCUUUGCGAAGCCGGAACCGACCGAGCUCCCCCUCGAUCGUCUCCCGCUUGGUGAUCUUUGUAAGCUCAUCUCCUUCGUGUGCGGUUUUGAGCACAUCCCAAACCUCCUUGGCGCUCUUCAACCCUUGUACUUUGUUAUACUCCUCUCUACUUAGAGAAGCGAGGAGUAUUGUUGUUGCUUGAGAGUUGAAGUGCUCGAUUUGGGCCACCUCAUCCUCAUCAUAGUCUUCAUCCCCUACGGAUGGUACCUGUGCACCAAACUCAACAACAUCUCAUAUACUUUUGUGGAGUGAAAUUAGAUGAAAUCGCAUUAAAUCACUCCACCUAGCAUAAUCUUUACCAUCAAAAGUUGGUGGUUUGCCUAAUGGGACGGAAAGUAAAGGUGUAUGUUUGGAAAUGCGAGGGUAGCGUAGGGGAAUCUUACUAUACUUCUUACGCUCUUGGCGCUUAGAAGUGACGGACGCCACGUCGGAGCCGGAGGUGGAUGCCGAUGAAGAAUCGGUCUCGUAGUAGACCACCUUCCUCAUCCUCUUUUUCUUGUCCCCACUCCGUUGCGGCUUGUGGGAGGAAGACUUCUCCUUCUUCUCUUUGUGUGAAGAAGAUUUCUUCUCCUUCCCUUUGGAGGAGUCCUUCUUCUUCUCCUUCCCUUUGGAGGAGUCUUUCUUCUCCUUCCUCUUGGUGCGGGACUCUUCCGAUGAAGUGCUCCCGUGGCUUGUAGUGGGUUUUUCGCCGGUCUCCAUCUCCUUCUUGGCGUGAUCUCCCGACAUCACUUCGAGCGGUUAGGCUCUAAUGAAGCACCGGGCUUUGAUACCAAUUGAUAGUCGCCUAGAGGGGGGUGAAUAGGGCGAAACUGAGAUUUACAAAUAUAAACACAACUACAAGCCGGGUUAGCGUUAGAAAUAAAACCGAGUCCGCGAGAGAGGGUGCAAAACAAAUCUCAAGCAAAUAAGAAGUGAGACACACGGAUUUGUUUUACCGAGGUUCGGUUCUCGCAAACCUACUCCCCGUUGAGGAGGCCACAAAGGCCGGGUCUUUUUCAACCCUUUCCCUCUCUCAAACGAUCCCACGGACCGAGUGAGCUUCUCUUCUCAAAUCACUUGGGAAUCAAACUUCCCGCAAGGACCACCACACAAUUGGUGUCUCUUGCCUCAAUUACAAGUGAGUGUUUGAUCACAAGAAAGAAUGCGAAAGAAAAGAAUGCGAUCCAAGCGCAAGAGCUCAAGAGAACACAACAAAUCACUCUCGCUAGUCACUAAAGCUUUUGUGGAAUUUGGGAGAGGAUUUGAUCACUUGGGUGUGUCUUGUAUUGAAUGCCUAGCUCUUGUAAGUGGUUGGAAGCUGGAAAACUUGGAUGCAAUGAAUGGUGGGGUGGUUGGGGUAUUUAUAGCCCCAACCACCAAACUUGACCGUUGGUGGAGGUUGUCUGUCGUAUGGUGCACCGGACAGUCCGGUGUACACCGGACAUGUCCGGUGCGCCAGCCACGUCACCAAUGUCGUUGGAUUCUGACCGUUGGAGCUUCUGUCUUCUGGGCCCGCCUGGAUGUCCGGUGCACACCGGACAUGUACUGUUCAAUGUCUGGUGCGCCAGUAUGGGCGUGCCUGACUUCUGCGCGCUUCUGGCGCGCAUUGAAUGCCGUUUGCAGGUGACCGUUGGCGCGAAGUAGCCGUUGCUCCGCGGAUGCACCGGACAGUCCGGUGUACACCGGACAUGUCCGGUGAAUUAUAGCGGAGCAGCCGCUGCGUUUUCCCGAGGCUGGCGAGUUCCAGAGGCCGCUCUUCUUUGGAGCACCGGACACUGUCCGGUGUACACCGGACAGUCCAGUGUACACCGGACAGUCCGGUGAAUUAUAGCGGAGCGCCUCUGGAAAUUCCCGAAGGUGGCGAGUUUGAGUUGGAGUCCUCUGGUGCACCGGACACUGUCCGGUGCCCCAGACCAGAGGUGCCUUCGGUUGUCCCUUUGCUCCUUUGUUGAAUCCAAUAUUUGAUCUAUUUAUUGGCUAAGUGUGAGCCUUUUACACCUGUAUAACUUAUACACUAGAGCAAACUAGUUAGUCCAAUUGUUUGUGUUGGGCAAUUCAACCACCAAAAUUAAUUAGGGACUAGGUGUAAGCCUAAUUCCCUUUCAAUUCUUCAGUAGCAUGACGUAGUUAAGAUCUCUGGCACGGGCCCGAGUGAUUGGCCCUUGAUGUGGAGGUGCUGCUGGUGUAGUCGUACUCAUAGUGAUGUCCUCAUCAAAACCCGUACCCAUGACGGGUUUGAAAAUUUGCCCAAACCUGUACCCAUCGGGUUAGCGGGUACCCAUGGGUUACCCGCGAGUUUUAUCUCCAAUAUGCUUGUUCUUCUCAUAAUCAAUAAGUAUCGUAAUGAUUAAUGAGAUCAUGGUCCAAAAUUUAUGUGAUGAACAACAAGUUCAUGAUUUGGUAUAGAAAUUAUUAGUAGAGAGAAUGAAAUACAAAUAAUAAGUUGUACAAUCAAGUGACCUUGCACUAAGUUAUGCAUCCACCACAUAUAUAACGCUAGUAAAAACUAUAAUAGCAAGCAAGCAACACUCUCACCAACUACUUUAGUCUACUUAUACAUUCACCAUUUUCUAAAAAUUAGGAAGUAAAUAGGGAGAUAACAAGUUUGUUGUUCGUUUAUAAAAUAAAAUGAUAAUAUGCAUUAGGUUUGGUCGGGUUUAAAAAACCCACGGUUCACGGGUUUGGGUACUGUAGGAACAAACCCGUACCCAUGAACCGUUGGGUAUAGAUUUAUGCCCAUUAACAAACCCAUGUGUAUGAAAAUUGACCCAAACCCGUACCCUAAUGGGUAAAAACCCAUCGGGUUUUAGGUACCCAUUGCCAUUUCUACACCGGAGUGAGACCUCGACGCAUUUAUUUUGGCGCCAAAACGUGUAACCUCGACGCCAAUAAUGACGGUGCUGAGGUAAGGGUCCAUUUUUUGAAUUCAAACUAGAAAGUGCGUAGUUGUGAAAAUCUUUCGUAAAAGGGCCAAAAAGCAAAAAAGUUGGCCCCUUCAGGCGCCCUAUGGAGCACAAAGGGAAAAAUAGGAGUACAGGCAAAGCAAUAAAGCAACGAUCGGACAAAACAUAUAGAGGUUGAUCAUAAUUUACAUUAAAGUUGUAGUUGUUUUUUUGUUUCAGCAUAAUUUACUUUACAUAGAGGUGCAACAUAGUGUAAUAAUGAUCCAAGUCUACGUUAUGCGCCACACAUAGGGACAAACACCACAUCGGGAGGUUAUACAUGAUAUUGGGAAAUAUAGCCUAGCUGAUGCAAUCCACAUAGUUAUGUACAUAGACCUCUGUAAACUAUAGGCGUAGGUCCACUUCAAUCCACAAAAGCUAAGCAAACUAUCCAUCCAGCAAAGUGAAGCAAACAUUCCAUCGACAAAGCACAUCAUAUGUCAUGUGUUCAAACUCCAGGUUUGUGGAGACUGCAAACAUCAAAUGCAAGAAUCUACUUCCUUAAAACUUGAAGCCCUUUCGAGCUCUCCCCUCAUUUCAUGCGCUCACAGCCCUCCGCGGCGCGACGCGUGCGCUGGUGGUCGGACCUGAAUUUUUUCUCCGAUUCAAUUGAGCUGUGCGACAUACGCGGUCUGUCCCACUAGGCCACCACGGCACCACCCAUGUGGUCCCGGAUCGGCCUACAUGUUCUUGACCUCUCAAGUCUCACAUAUAUAAUGACUCAUGAUACAGAAACGAAUGCCACCUCUUUACUAUACAAUAGGAGUUCUGUACAAAAUAACUAAAUACUUACAUCAUACAAAGACAACGAUAUUCCAGCAACCUGAGUUCACUCAAAGACGACAUACUAGACCUCUCAUGAAUCUCAUCGCGACAUCCUUCAUGCUCCUCAUCUUGCGGUACUUGUUCUUGACCUGGGGGAUGUGAAAACAACAAGGGUGAGCUCACAUAAAUUCAUCACUCAACAAGUUGUGAGAAAUAAUGUGCAUGAGCUCACUUACAAUGGAGGCUAUGUGAAGUGUAAGGCUUAUCAAAGAAGAUGGUUAAAGCUGAGCAUUGCUUUUAAAGUUGGUCAAAGUUUUAUUAGCAGUUACUAAGUGUAAGUAGAUACUAACCCAAAUAAAUAAGAUAUCACAAUUAAUAAUAAAACACACAAUACAAUGCAAAUGACAAAUUGAGUUUAAUUCCAUAAAUUAAUCAUGUGAUGGCCCGAGCUACUCAUGAUCGUGAGCACGACUGAUAUACCAGUUUUACUGAAAGUAGCCUAGAGGGGGGGUGAAUAGGCUACACCUGAAAAUUUUCACUAAAAACUUCGAAAUAGGUUAAAUUAAAGUUGCACAGGUGCAAACCGGUUCAGUCGAUUUUAAUCACAACUGAACAAGUUUGAAUCCGCUCAACUUAAAUUUGAUAAUCUAUUGAACAAAUGCGAAGUAGGGAAGAAUAUAGCUAAAGAUUUGCCCUACACAAAAUCUACUCAAAUGAAUAUUAUGAACCAACCACUGAAUAUAAAACGCUUGACAAGAACACACAAGAACACGCGAUAUAACCCGAGGUUCGGCAACCACCACAAAGGUGUCCUACUCCUCGUUGAGGAACCCACAAAGGGUCGGGUCUUUUCCAACCCUAAUCCUCCACAAGCCGACCACAAAGGUCAAGGCAAUCUCUUCUCAAAUCAGCUCAAGGAGCGGGUGAUACAAACUUCUUGGGGUCGUCCACAAAUUUGGAGACUCCCAAGCAACCUCUAACCGUCAAGGAACACGAGGUUCCAAGAGUAACAAAUCCGCACACGGUUAAGUUUGCAACGAGCUCAAGAACAAGAGAAUGGGAGAAUCGAGAUGAAAUUGACAGCGAGUUCGAUCGAGUUCACCUCACACCAAGGGUCCUUCAAAUGAUUGAAGGAGAUGCGAUUGCGGGUGUGAAAGGUGAAAUGAAUGCUCUUGUUUGAAAGUUGGUCAGCCAAGAAUUCGUGGGAGAGGCAGGAGUAAAUGAGAGAGAGAGUGUGAGGGGGUAUAUAAAGGAUCCCCCAAAAGCUGGCAGCCGUUGGGAGAAAAGGAGCAAAAACCGGUUGAACCGGUUUUCAGACCGGUUGAACCGGUUUCUACCAGGGGAAUCCCGCUCCACUGACCUACUCAGCCGGACACUCGACCGGUUUCAAAACCGGCUGAGUAGGGACAAAAUUCGGCUCAACCGGUUUCUAAAAAAUAUCUGCUGCGACUUUUUCUGACAGCUCUGACUGUCAGACAGGUCAGAGCAGAGGUGGCAGGUGAACAGUACCGAAACCGGUUGAACCGGUUUUGGGGGCUGAAACCAAAUUUUGAGUAUUUUGAAGGGAACAAAAGGGGAAACUUUGUGGGAAGUAAAAUUUGUUUUUCUCAAGAGCAUUCAUGAUCUGGGAAAAUGAUCUCCAAGGAGUUUUCAAAAGAUUUUGAACUUGGCUCGUUUCACAACUUACUUAACCGUCGCAGAUCCCUCUUAAUUGUACGGCGAUUCCUAUGACUCAAGAAUUAUAAAUUUAGCACCGCUGUUGUUUCUUAGCACUUGGAGCACGCCAUUUGAUGUGGAAUUUUAAAUCCGCUGUGCUUUAUACUUUUAUGCUCGUAAGAUCUGUGCUUCUCCUGUCUGUAGAAAUACUGUGUACAAACUAGGAGCAAACUUGUUAGAAUCUUAGUUUGUUUUGUCAUUAAUCACCAAAACCCUUAAUUAGGGUUGAUUGCACUUACAAUCUCCCCCUUUUUGGUGAUUGAUGCCAAAACAAACUAGAAUGGAAAUAAAAAUUAAAAUUUACAAGUACUUGCAAGAUAAAAUCUUUUAUGUAUGUGUAGCUCCCCCUAAAUAUGUGCAUGAGUUUUGUGAUAUUAACAUUGACUUGAUAUGUCAAUUUGCAACAUAUUUAGAGAGAGAGAACAAUCAACACCAUACACACAAAUGAUGAGGUAUGAAACAUAAUUGGAUAGAAAAAGUAAAAACACAUUCAAGCUCAUUAUUGCAUAGCAUAUGAUAUAAAAAAGUUCUACAGCUAUUACAAUAACGAGAGCUCGUCUCAUCACAUCAUAAAAGUGUUUAUGGCAAUCGAGCCAUGCAUGCAUCAAAUAGUUAUUACAGACCAAGUGUUCAUUACAAAAAUAAAGGAGUACUGCAUAAUAAACUUUCUCCCCCUUUUUGGCAACAAGAACCAAAAAGAGAGAGAGAGAAGCGCCAAUCCAAUGAUCACCAGUGGGGAGGAGGAUGAUGAGGAGCAAAGAGGUGUUGCGCCAGGUUAGAGGCAAAGUGUUCCUCUCCAGACUGGGCCGGAGGAGGAGCACUGCCAGAAGGGUCCUGGGGCGGAGGAUAAGAGGACGAUUGGCCCGGAUCCCCGUGAUACGGAGGCAGGACAAACUGCUCCGGAUCAUCAAAAUAAGUUUCUUCUUCUUCGACGUCAUCAGCUGUUGAAAAAGGCACCCCAUAUGCCUGCUGGUACCACUCGUUGACAUCUGGAGGAGGAGGGUGGAGAGGUACAUCAGGAGAGCGGGGGGCGAAGGGAGUACCCAAAGCGGAAGCUUGACGACGAAGGUUGUCGUCGGUCUCCCGCUGACGUCGAGCCACCUCAUGAACAUCUGCAGCAAUGUUUCGGCACAUGGAGAAGAAAGCCGCAAACCCGUGGGCCAAGCGGGCACCCAUCCCACGGCCACGACCUCGACCACGACCACGACCACGUGGUGUGGGAGAUCCGCGGCCAGGGGAAGGGCGCGAGGCACCAGCAGCAGCAGCAGCACCACCACCACCAGCACCAGCAGACGGACCCGCAGAUGUAUGAGCACGAGAACUAGUGGGGGCUUUCCUGAGGCGCCCUGCUGGAUUAUUGGGAUCAAUCCAGAAAGGGGUGUAUGACUGAUGUUUGGUACCUUUGUCAAAUCUGAACUGAGUCACAACCUCAAACAUCUUCAUUAUGAAUGGAGCAUGAAGACACCCCUUCAAAGGAAAGCAGGCGGCAUGAAUGAUCUCCUGCCAAAUCAUGUCGAAGACAUUUAUCCUUUCUGAGCUGCUGGGUUUCAUAAAAGAGAGCAAGACCUUGCUCUCCCCAAGAAUGUUCAUUUGAUUUCCCCCUUUUGGAAUGAGGGUCAUCCUGCAGAGGGAGUUGAUAUAACGAUAAUACUUAUGAAUGUUGGUCGACUCCCAAUACUUUCCAGACUCAGAAAGAUGAAGAUCCUUGGCUUCAUCUCUAGUGGGCUGCCGGAAAUCAUGAAUCUUAUCUUGUCGCCAGAUAUAUCAUUGUCAGAAAAGCCAAGAAUGUGAGCAAAUCGACGAUAGCUCACCUUGUACCAACUACCUUCAAUGAAGAAAUUCAGAUAGGGGUUGUUGUAAUGACUCUCCUCGUCAACAAGCUUUAUCCAGAGAGUGGAGUAGAAUUGAGCAAUCACUUCAUCAUUCCAAUCAUAUUGGAAUGUCAUGAUAUUCUUCAUCUGUUUCCUUUCACAGGCCCUCAAUGCCUGUGACAUUUCUGGGUCCCCAAUGGCUUCACAACCUUCCCAGUUGAUAUAACGUUGAUGCAGGAUAGGUUGAUGCUUCUUGGGGAGAAUGACGGAAUUAUAGAAAUCCACGUGAUGAAGUGUCCAAAAACGAUUUCCAUCGAUCCUGGCAUCGCGAAUACGCAAUACAGGAUUUUGGAAACGAAGAUCCUGGAGAAGAGCAGAGCCUCCACUGGCAGUGAAGUCAGUGACUGGCUCAUUGCCAGCACGCCGAGCCUCUGCCCGGUGGAGGACCAAGCCACGAAUCACAGGAGCGUGGGCCGGGGGAAGAUCGACUUCAUCGUCCUUCCCGCCAUCAUCAUCACUUGCAGGCUCCCACGCCUGCGGAUUCGUCGCAGGUCGAGACCGACCGGAAGGAUUCCGGGAUGUCCGACCGCGAGCACUUUGAGACCCGGAGGCCUCAGCACCCGGCAUGACAUUGCCGCUUCCGCGCCCUCGCUUGGAUCGAGAGCGAGGUGGAGUAUCUCCGUGGAUUUCCUGGUCAUCCGAGGAGUCGGAUUCGACCACAGACGGGUUCCUUCGACGCACCAUUCUAAGAAAUAAGAAAUAGAACCUAUGAUGAGCAAGGAUCAAACAUGUUUGAGUAGAAACGCAUAAGAUAUUGACCAUGCACUUCAACCGUUCAUAUGAGCGGUUCAACUACAACGAACAAUAUCAAAUCGCUAAUCUCUAACAAUGUUUGUGACAAAUGAGGAUAGUCUAAGUGUUGCAAUCACUUAAACUAGAAUGUACCCAACGAAUGAUAUAAUAGAUAAUCAAGAACGCGUAGGACCAAAUAUAAGAAAAUAAAAUAGGGCAAUACCUCGAUCCGGAGAUUGGGUCAAGAACUCCCAACGAGAUGGAGGAAGAUGGUGGAAAAACGCCGGGAUGAGCGGAUCUCCAACAACUCUUCCAAACGUGAGAGGGCACGAGAGAUUUUGGAGUGGAGUGUGAAGGUGGAGAAUGAGAGGACGGCGGCGGCUGUAAAAAGUUGAGAGGGCAGCGGCGGCUGUAAAAAGAGACUGAGAAGGGAAAAGGAGAGAGGGAGAGAUAUAAAAAGGGGAAGAGUCGGCCGCCAGAAAACCGAAAACCGGUUCAACCGGUUCAAAAACCGGUUCAACCGGUUUCUGGUCAAACUACACAGUAAAAGCGCGCAGAAAACGGUGUUGACUGCGCGAAAAUUCUGGCAGUCUGACAGCACAGACUGCAAAACUGACAGCGCAGACUGCGCAGCUGUCAGCGCAGACUGCACGCUGACUGACGGCGCGACGGCCAAAACCGGUUCAACCAGUUUUUAUACCGGUUCAACCGGUUUCCACCAGGGAGAAACCGGUUGAGUGGCCUACUCAGCCGGUUUACUCAACCAGUUUCCAGAUAUUGCCCGGAAGGGCUAUAAUAGCACUUAGCAAAUAUGACAUGAGAUAUUUUAAAGAUAAAAAUGUUAUUUCUCAUUUCAUAUUGCUCAAACAAUCAAUUUUCAACCAUCAAAUUUGAUCAAAAUUUUAGUUAUUAAGUCACGUUUCGAGAAUCCAAGAUAUUCAGUUCACUCCUAAGAAAACAAAACCUAGUCUCAUCGAGGGGUUUUGUGAAGAUAUCGGCUAGUUGAUUUUCGGUGCUCACAUGAAAAAGUUCGAUAUCUCCUUUGGCUUCGUGGUCUCUCAAGAAAUGGUGUCUGAUGUCAAUAUGUUUAGUUCUAGAGUGUUGCACUGGGUUGUUUGCAAGUUUUAUGGCACUCUCAUUGUCACACAAAAGUGGAAUUUUGUUAAACUCACAACCAAAAUCUCUAAGGGUUUGCUUCAUCCAUAACAACUGUGCACAACAUGCCCCAGCUGCUAUGUAUUCAGCUUCUGCAGUGGAAAGUGCAACACAAUUUUGUUUCUUGGAACUCCAUGACACUAGGGAUCUCCCAAGGAAUUGGCAAGUCCCAGUAGUGCUUUUUCGAUCUACUUUGCAACCGGCAUAAUCUGAGUCAGAGUAGCCAAGCAAAUCGAAAAGGGAGCCUUUAGGAUACCAUAAUCCUAGGUUUUGGGUGUGGACUAAGUAUCUUAGAAUUCUCUUAACGGCUACAAGAUGGCAAUCUUUAGGAUUUGCUUGAAAACGUGCACACAUGCAAACACUCAACAUUAUAUCAGGCCUAGAUGCACAUAAGUAAAGCAGUGAUCCUAUCAUUGAUCUAUAUAAUUUUUGAUCUACAGGUUUACCUUCCUCAUUUAGGUCGAGAUGUCCAUUUGAUGACAUUGGAGUCUUGGCGUGUUUUGCUUUGUCCAUGCCAAACUUCUUGAGAAUAUCUUGAGUAUAUUUAGUUUGGCAUAGAAAAGUACCUUCCUUGAGUUGUUUGACUUGAAAUCCCAGGAAGUAUUUAAGCUCGCCCAUCAUAGACAUCUCAAACCUGUUCGUCAUUACUUUGCUAAACUCUUCACAAAAUUUUUCAUUAGUACUACCAAAUAUAAUGUCAUCAACAUAUAUUUGGCACACAAAUAAUUCAUUGUCAACUUUUCGAGUAAAUAAAGUAGAGUCAGCUUUUCCUAUUGUAAACCCAUUCUUAAUUAAAAAAUCUUUAAGACAGUCAUACCAAGCUCUAGGGGCUUGUUUAAGCCCGUAGAGUGCCUUGUGAAGUAGAUAAACAUGAUUUGGCUUCUUUGGGUCUUCAAAGCCCGGUGGUUGCUCCACAUAUACUCUCUCUUGUAGUGGUCCAUUUAGAAAAGCGCUCUUGACAUCCAUUUGAUAUAGCUUGAAAUCAUGGUUAGUAGCAUAGGCAAUUAAUAUUCUAAUUGAUUCUAACCUUGCUACCGGCGCAUAUGUUUCACCAAAAUCAAGUCCUUCCACUUGAGUAUAGCCUUGGGCAACCAACCGUGCCUUGUUUCUUGUAACCACGCCAUGUUCAUCUUGCUUGUUCCUAAAGACCCAUUUAGUCCCAAUCACAUUUUGUUUGGGUCUUUGGACUAAGGACCAGACUUCAUUCCUAGUGAAGUUGUUCAACUCCUCUUGCAUGGCAAUUAUCCAAUCCGGAUCACCCAAUGCUUCUUCAACCUUAAGUGGCUCAAGAGAGGAAACAAACGAGUAAAAUUCACAAAAAAUAGCUAAACGAGAUCGAGUUGUUACCCCUCUCCUGAUGCUACCCAGGAUGUUGUCCACUGGAUGAUCCCUUUGUAUUGUUUGAUGGACUCUAGGAUGAGGCACUGAUGGAUGUCUUUGUAUUUGCUCCUCCUCAUCAAUUACUUGAUCAAGAGGCACUUCACCAUCAAUACUUUCUUGUUCAUCUUCUACCACUGUUGGCAUCAUUUGAUGAUUUUCUUCGUGGCUUGGAUGACUUGAGGUUGAUGGGAUUGCUUGGGUGGAGACUUUGUCACUCACCACCCUUGCACCCACAUCAACUACCUCAUUGGUCAUCCAUAAGGUUCCUUCUUCAUCAUCCCUUUCUUGAGGUCUCACCUCACUUAUUGCAAGUUUCUUUAUGGCCUCACAAGGUAGUUCUUCAUUUCCUGCAGUGUCAUUAGAAACAUGCCCUUGUGAGCCAUUAGACUCAUCAAAUGUCACGUCUAUCGCUAUUUCAACAAGACCGGUGGUAUUGUUGAAAACACGAUAUCCAUGCGCAUUUGAUGCAUAACCAAGCAAGAAGCCCUCGUCCACUCUAGGAGCAAACUUUGAGCUCUUGACUUUCUUGUUAAGAAUAAAACAUUUACAACCAAAUACUCUAAAAUAAUCAACUUUAGGUUUAUUACCAGUGAGAAGCUCAUAAGCAGUCUUUUUGUAGAUCUUAUGAAGAUAGAGACGGUUGAUUGCAUGACAGGCGGUGUUGACCGCCUCUGCCCAGAAGUUGUCAGGUGUCUUGUAUUCAUCCAACAUGGUUCUUGCAGCUUCAAUUAGAGUUCGGUUCUUUCUUUCCACAACACCAUUUUGUUGUGGAGUGUAAGGCACCGAGAACUCAUGUUUGAUUCCCUCUUCUCCUAAGAAUUCUUCGACGCCUGUGUUCUUGAAUUCCGUCCCAUUAUCGCUUCUCACUUUCUUGAUUUUGAGCUCAAAUUCAUUUUGAGCUCUCCUCAUGAAUUUCUUCAAAAUUUCUUGAGUUUCACCUUUGUCACUCAAAAAGAAAACCCAGAUGAAUCGAGAAAAAUCAUCAACAAUGACUAAACCAUACUUACUACCACCAAUGCUAAUGUAGGCCACAGGUCCGAAGAGGUCCAUGUGAAGAAGCUCCAAUGGCCUCUUUGUUGUGACCACAUUCUUUGAUUGAUGUGGGACUCCAUGUUGCUUUCCUGCUUGGCAUGCGCCACAAACCCUAUCUUUCUCAAAUACAACAUUUGUUAGUCCAAUGAUGUGAUUGUCCUUUUGAAGUUUGGCCAAAUUCCUCAUACCGACAUGGGCUAGCCGGCGAUGCCAUAGCCAACCCUUGUCGGAUUUUGCCACUAAACAAGUCUCAGGCGUCACUUUACUUGUUGUGAAAUCAACAAGAUAAAGCUUGCCCUUCAAGCGACCGGUAAAGGCAACUGAGGAGUCCUCCCUUCUAAGGAUCUUCACAUCCACAUCCGAAAAUAGGCAAUUAUAACUCAUUCCACAAAGUUGUGAAACGGACAACAAAUUAUAGCUUAAAGAAUCUACUAAUAAAACAUUUGAAAGUGAUUGUUGGUCUGAGAUAGGAAUUUUACCAAUACCAAUCACCUUACUCUUGCCACUAUCUCCAAACACAAUUUCUUGUGCUUCUUGAGUUAGUUGCAAUGUAUGAAACAUGUCUUUCUCCCCGGUCAUGUGAUUUGUACAUCCACUGUCAAGCACCCAACUUGACCCACCAGAGGAGUAGACCUGCAAAACAAGUUUAGGCUAUGCUUUUAGGUACCCAAAUUGAAUUGGGUCCUACAGUGUUAGUUAUAGCCUUGGGUACCCACACACUUCUUUUCAUGACUUUUCGUUUAGUGUAGGCACCCACAUAUUUCACAACCAAUUUCCCUGAAUCCCAAGUCAACAUAUAAUCACAAAGAUAUGAGUGGGAAAUGGGAGCAUUAGAUUUUUGUCCACUUGAGGAUCCCACUUCCUUCAUCUUACUCUUUGUGGAACUCAAGUUAACCUUUACCUGAGAUGACUUGUCAUUUGAGGAGUGGAUCCUCCCCAAGGCAUCAUAUAGAGUGGUUCCCUCUAUGAACUUGGGGGAUCUCCACCCCUUAUGCACUGUGCUAGGGUUUUCCUUGGAUGAGUUGAACCCAAGCCCCCUUCUUCCAUUGUUGGGCUUAAGGGACUUGUACUUGGGUUCAACUUUCUUUAACUCAUCAUUGCUAGAGCAUCUUUUCAAAAUUUCUUUGACCUUCACCUGUGGGCUAUUCUUCCUUGCAUGGUUAGUUAGACAACAAGAAGCAUGAUACUUGGCACAAUGUUUGCAAGAAUUAUCAUUAGAGCUAGACUUAGAUUCAAAAACUAAAGAGAAGGCAUUGAUGUUCUUGCAAUUUUCAAGUUGCACUUGAAGUUCUUGAUUUUGAACAUUCAAGCUUAACAUGCUUGAUUCAAGUGCAUUCUUUUCAUUUGCAAGAUUAGCUAUAGAGGUUUUCAUGUUAAUUACUUCUUUAUCUUUAUUUUCUAUAGUUAUCUUGACUAAAGAGAUUUCCUUAGUUAAGACAUCUAGCAUUUCAUCCUUUUUGUGAAUCAACUCUUGAAGCUCUAGGUUUCUUUCCUUUUCAAGGAUAAGCAAGUCUUCUUGAGCAUCAAGAGUUGCUUUUUCUUUUAUCUAGCUUUUCCAUUAAUUUGGUGAUAACAGUGUAUCCAUUCAAGCCAAAUUCUUUAAUCAUUUUAUUUUUCAUGGCAAUUUGAUCAUCAUCAUCAUCAUUUGAAAAAUCAUUAUUAAAUAAGGUUACCUUAUCUCCCUUUGCCAUGAGGCAAGUUGGAGUGUAGGAGUCGUCUUGUAGGUUGGUGAAGAGUUGCGCGCUUGAUGUAGAUUGGAUGGCCACAUUUGCCACCACUUCCUCUUCCUCGGAGCUAGAACUCUCUUCAUCGGAGUUCCAUUCUUCACCAAUAUGAGCUUGACCAUACUUCUUCUUCUUGAAGUAUCCCUUGGUCUUGCCUACCUUUUUAAACUUGUCCUUCUUGUAUUCCUUCUUGGCUUCUUGUUCCUUCUUGUUAGGACAAUCCGCUAUGAAAUGACCGGUUUGGCCACAUUCAUAGCAUGCCCUCUUCUUUCCUUUCCUUUGGAACUUGUCAUUCUUCCUUACAAAUUUCUUGAAUGUUUUGAUGAACAUAGCUGUGUCUUCAUCACUUGAGCUAUAUUCAUCACUUGAGGUCUCGACCACUUUCUUUGCUUUGUGGUCUUUGUUCUUCUUGAGGUUGUCUUGUUCAUUUGUGAUCAAGGCAUGAGAGUCUCUUGUCUUGAUGGGGGCUUCUUCGGACUCGUGUUGUUGAAUUUUUUGCAAAUAAUUGAUGAGGCGUCAUAUCCUCAUAGUCAUCACGAUCCCUUAUCAUCCUUGCAAGACUCUUAUCCUUCUCUUUAUAAGCUCUCAUGAACAAUCUUGUGACCUUGGAGUCACUCCAAUCUUCACUCCCAAGAACUCUUAUUUUGUUGACCAACACCAUCAACCGAUCAAAGAGUGAUUGGAGCGACUCACCCUUUGUCCAAUCAUAUCUUGCAAGCUCACUUUCCAAAGCUUCAACUCUAUGUCUUUUAGCUUUGGGAUCUCCUUCAUGUGACAUUUUAAGAAUAUUCCAAAUGUCACAGGCAUCUUCUCUUCCUUGAACUUUCCGGUAUUCUUCCGGACAAAGACUUCCUUUGAUUAUGCUCACUGCUUGAGCAUUUCGAUGAACCUCUUGCAUCAUUUCCGGAGUCAUCUCUUCUCCUUGGGCGGGCUUAUACAUACCUACAUUAACAAUCUCCCAAAGACUAGGAUGCACACCGAUUAAAUGCGACUUCAUCUUGUCGGCCCACUCAUCAUAGUUCAACUCACUAAGAGUUGGUAACUUUCCAAGUGGGGCGGAAGAGAAGUUGGGAAUAUAAUUUCUAGAGUAAUCGAAUUGAACUUUGCUAAAGUCAUUACCUUUGCUUUUGGUAGAUGAUCCUUCGGUGUUGAGACUUACCUUGCUCAAUACCUUAGACACCAAAAGAUCCACUAGAUCGUCAUUAUAAUCAAAUGUUCCCUUACCUUUAUCUUCUUCGGCCUUUCUUCUUGAUUCUUCUUCUUCGGCCUUUUUCUUAGCAUCUUCCUCUUUCAUUUUGAGGAACAUUCUCUCGGCAAUCUUCAUGGCGAGGUCGAGGACCUUGGGGUCCACUUCCUCACCGGAAGAUGUGACGGGGAUUUCCUCGAGGAGAGGAUCCACAUGGUCCCGUUGUGUAGACAUGAUCGUUUCCUCACGCGGUUAAGCGUAAAACGAGGCACGUAGCUCUGAUACCAAUUGAAAGUAGCCUAGAGGGGGGGGUGAAUAGGCUACACCUGAAAAUUUUCACUAAAAACUUCGAAAUAGGUUAAAUUAAAGUUGCACAGGUGCAAACCGGUUCAGUCGAUUUUAAUCACAACUGAACAAGUUUGAACCCGCUCAACUUAAAUUUGAUAAUCUAUUGAACAAAUGCGAAGUAGGGAAGAAUAUAGCUAAAGAUUUGCCCUACACAAAAUCUACUCAAAUGAAUAUUAUGAACCAACCACUGAAUAUAACACACAAGAACACGCGAUAUAACCCGAGGUUCGGCAACCACCACAAAGGUGUCCUACUCCUCGUUGAGGAACCCACAAAGGGCCGGGUCUUUUCCAACCCUAAUCCUCCACAAGCCGACCACAAAGGUCAAGGCAAUCUCUUCUCAAAUCAGCUCAAGGAGCGGGUGAUACAAACUUCUUGGGGUCGUCCACAAAUUUGGAGACUCCCAAGCAACCUCUAACCGUCAAGGAACACGAGGUUCCAAGAGUAACAAAUCCGCACACGGUUAAGUUUGCAACGAGCUCAAGAACAAGAGAAUGGGAGAAUCGAGAUGAAAUUGACAGAGAGUUCGAUCGAGUUCACCUCACACCAAGGGUCCUUCAAAUGAUUGAAGGAGAUGCGAUUGCGGGUGUGAAAGGUGAAAUGAAUGCUCUUGUUUGAAAGUUGGUCAGCCAAGAAUUCGUGGGAGAGGCAGGAGUAAAUGAGAGAGAGAGUGUGAGGGGGUAUAUAAAGGAUCCCCCAAAAGCUGGCAGCCGUUGGGAGAAAAGGAGCAAAAACCGGUUGAACCGGUUUCUACCAGGGGAAUCCCGGUCCACUGACCUACUCAGCCGGACACUCGACCGGUUUCAAAACCGGAUGAGUAGGGACAAAAUUCGGCUCAACCGGUUUCUAAAAAAUAUCUGCUGCGACUUUUUCUGACAGCUCUGACUGUCAGACAGGUCAGAGCAGAGGUGGCAGGUGAACAGUACCGAAACCGGUUGAACCGGUUUCAGGACCGGUUGAACCGGUUUUGGGGGCUGAAACCAAAUUUUGAGUAUUUUGAAGGGAACAAAAGGGGAAACUUUGUGGGAAGUAAAAUUUGUUUUUCUCAAGAGCAUUCAUGAUCUGGGAAAAUGAUCUCCAAGGAGUUUUCAAAAGAUUUUGAACUUGGCUCGUUUCACAACUUACUUAACCGUCGCGGAUCCAUCUUAAUUGUACGGCGAUUCCUAUGACUCAAGAAUUAUAAAUUUAGCAUCGCCGUUGUUUCUUAGCACUUGGAGCACGCCAUUUGAUGUGGAAUUUUAAAUCCGCUGUGCUUUAUACUUUUAUGCUCGUAAGAUCUGUGCUUCUCCUUUCUGUAGAAAUACUGUGUACAUACUAGGAGCAAACUUGUUAGAAUCUUAGUUUGUUUUGUCAUUAAUCACCAAAACCCUCAAUUAGGGUUGAUUGCACUUACAUUUACACUCUGCAGAGGUUGCACAUAUUUACCCACAAGACGUGUUCCCUUUGUCGCCUCGGGUUGAUCAAACCCUUAAACAUUGCCAAGGUGAGUAGAUGAUGGUACACUGCGAGGCAUUUACAAAGUUCCACUAGAGGAGAGAACCCGCUACGGUUUCCGGGCCGAAAGCUGCAUAGGAAUCCUUCGUCCAGAAAGUUAACAAGACACUCAGACCCAAGGACCUCCCUACACCUGCAUCCUCCACCCCGCUUGCCCCUUUCGGGAAAAGAUUAACUCACACUAGCUUUCCUAAUUAAUCAGCCAAGGGCGUCCCAUUCUACACUUGUGGUAGCACUGUUUUCUCGGGUGGUCGCUCCAUGUUCCAAUUAACAUAAUAACCUUAUCAUGAACAAAAAAUAUUCCAUUGACAAUAAAUAGCAUGGUCAUGAAUAAAAUGUAUCUUAAUACCCAAAACCACAUAGAACAAUAACACAUACUACCCAAACGUUCAGUGAUAAGUAAGGUAUAAGGUAACUCAAACUAGGUUGACCUAUUAGGUCCCAUCAAGAUUAAUCUAAGCAUGCCACAGUGAUUAAUAGUAACAUUAUUGGGUAAAGAAGAGAGAUCAAGGACACAACUUGCCUUCAACGAGCUGCUGCUCAGUAUUUUCCACCUGUUAUGUUUCGGGCUCCUCGGUCACUUGCUCGUCUACUCGCAACAAUAAAAACAAGCAAUGUGCAUAGGAGAAAUUAACAUCACACCAAAUAUGAGAACAAACUGUGUAAUAAUGAUCUAUGAGUUGCUACGAGAUCGUAGGUUUGAGAACUGUUCAAAUCGGAGCUAUGGCUAAGGCGAUAGGACUUUUGGAAGAUUCAAUUGUUUUAGGCCAAUUAUUUCAAUAAACAAAAGUUCAACAAACUUGGUACUUAUUUUUUUGACAACCUACUACUUGAUAAAAUAGUGUUACCAAAGUGUAGACCAUAUUAAUAUGAAACUAACGCAACUGGAACGAGUCAAAAAGGAGUUAAAAUGAAUUAGUUAUGCAUUUCCUAAGGUUUUAGAAUUAAUUUGGCAUUUAAAAAUCAAUUUUGCAUUAAUUUUCUUAGUAUCCGGAGAUUCCUGGAUUGCGGACACAAUUUCUUUGAAAUCCAAGGUCUACUUUGCAAAUUGUAGGACCUUGCCGCAAUGUUCUUCGUACUACGGUGGAUCACGGGUUGAUUCCACGAAAUUCUAGGGUCUCUUAAACAAAACUACAUUCGGCGAAGGGGUACGAUGCGCUCUGGGUCAUCCGAUCUGACAUCUGUGGUCUGCAUCAGAUCUAAAUUUUAAACGAUUCGAUAUGUAAUCAUGGCCACCGGAUCGACGAUCAAUGGCCCCGAUUUUAAAAUAGUCCUGAUUCGAUCGCUACCCUUCCAGGAAGAAUGGACGACACUCAUGUCGUUCUACGAAUCUGUAUGCAACACGUGAUCUUGACCGCCCAAUCCGGAUCAACGGCCAUGGACCCAUCCCUUUCCAUGGCGGUCACAGAACGGCGGCGCAGCGCCCCGCACGGCGGUGCCUCACCAGCGUUCUGCCCCCCCUUGAGGAUCGGUGCUCGACUCCGAUAGCCGUUCGGUGCAAAACAGAGUGCAGACAACGACAAACAUGAUAGGGGAUUACUCCCAAGGAUUAUGGUGAUUUCCGUGUUACUCGCGGCGCUAAGCGGAUCCAUGGCGGAAUCUAGCUCUGGCGAGCAAUUCCGGGGCACUUGGACGCUAUCCUCUAUUAGGGUUGAUGCUACAUGAUGAGCGUAUGGAACCAACGCCUGGAGUGUGGUAUUUACCGUGGAUUCCGUCGUGCCGGGCUUCGUCCAUGGUGGAUCUCGGGCCACGGCGGCCGCAAAUCUCUGGUGAGGAAUUCUCGCUCGUCUCGAGCGCCAAUCCGCACUGGGGCGGCGUUGAUUUCACCCCUGAGAACACUGCAACGGUCUGUGGCCUAUCCUCGCGCUUCACUCUGCUACACCAACGGAGAGCGGAUGCGGCAGCUCUCCCUCUCUCACUUCUCGGCUUCGUGGAUGGUAAUUGGGCACGGCUGAGAAAGCGAAAAACAGGUCUCCAGCGCACGACUAUAUAGUCAAUAGUCUAGGUAAGGAGUUAGUUGGGGUGCCAGCUGGAAUCGCGCGGGCGAGCCGGCGGCGAUCCGUUGCAUGCGCUCGGGUCGAUAGCGAACCGAGAGAGACGGACCUGACAGUGCGGGCCCACACGGCAUCGAGCGUGCGUGAACGAGGGCGAAGCCGCGCAGAGAAUGGGAGGUUGGGCAGUGGGCCCAAGGUGUCGACGCACAUUCUCGCGACGCCCUCCUGGGUGGGCUGGCUGGACUACGUAGGUGAUGGGAAGUUGGGCCGGGUGGGAGAGGUGGGGAUGGACCGAGGAGAUGGUUUUCGGCCCAGCGAAGUCAUUCUCCUUUAUCUUUAUCUUUUUAUGUUUGCUUUUCCUUUUAAAUUUAGAAUCUAAAUUUGAUUCAAGUUUAAACCUCUAAUUCGAAAAUGAAUCAAACCAAGACUCCAAUAUGUCCUGCGGAUAUAUUUCAUUUAUAAUUAAUGUAUUUAUUUAUUCAUUAAUAUUUUAGACUACGUAGUUUAUAAAAGGAAUAACUCACUUGUUUUAACAACACAAAAAAAUCUUAUUGUUAUUAAAUAUAUAAAUCAUAUGUUUUAAGGACAUAACUCCUAUUACAUAAUUUUGUACUAAAAGAUAGUUUUAUCUCAACCUAUUUAGACAUUAUCUCUAUUUAUAUUAUCCAAAAGAAUAGUUUAACUUAUAUAAGAUCUGUUCAUUCUAAUCUUUUACUAUGAGCUAUAUUUAUUUUAGGAUAUGUGACUUACAAGGUGAGAAAAUCUUAUUCAAAAAUAUUUUGUUUCAAGAUCUCUAUAUUAUCUUAGUAAGUACCUAAAAUAAAAUUUUGGUGCUACACCAAGGCACCUGCGCGCGUAGACACGUGGUGAUCCUAUUCUCUUCGUCCGUUCGCAAUACUAGGACAGGCAAGUACUGCUGCACUGCUUGUGAAGUCGUGUCAAGCAUGGGCGCAGCCAUGCUCGAGUGAUGGCGGGGCCAUGACAUGGGCCCCGCCUCUACUCCAUCGUGGUUGCCUCAUCCCUCUUCCUUUUCGUGGCAACAACCUCACAAACACGAUGGAAACACAUCAGAUACUCUCUCCCUCCUUGCUCCUGCCGCCCCUGUACCUCCCCUUCCACCCCCCUCCUCGAGCGAGUCGUUGCAGGUGUCACGCCGCAGCCAGAGGUGCUUGCUGAUGGCGAGGCUGAGGCCAAGGCCUGUGCAGCCGGCGGCGACGACCACCAAAGGGCCGACGAGUGGUCCCUCGCCUCCUUCUCCGGCUAGAUGGUCCCGCCACCCAUGUACCUCCCCUUCCAUGCCCAUCCUCGAGCGCGUCGUUGCAGGCAUCACGUCGCCACCAGAGGCACCUGCCAACGGUGAGGACGAGGCCUAUGCAGUCGGAGACGAUGACCACCAAUAGUUCCAGCCUACCGAGCCUAACUAGAGGGCCGAGGAGCGGUCCUUCACCGCCUUCCCCGUCUAGAUGCUCCCGUCGUCCGUGCAUCUUCCCUUCCAUCCCCGUCCUCGAGUGCACCAUUGCAUACAUCAUGCCGCUGCCAGAGUCCUGUCAGCGGCGAGGCCGAGGCCAAUGACUGUGCAGCCGACUGCGACGACCACCAGCAGCUGCAGCCUGUCGAGCCUAACCAGAGGGCCCAGGAGUGGUCGCUCCUCGCCUUCUUCAUCUAGAUGUAGCUCAGCGACACGCACGACAUGCUUGGGCGCAAAGACCUGCAGGUCCAUCGCCUACUACAACAAGGGCCUCGAGAUCUUGAUGGCUACGCUCAAGGAGCGUGAUCCCCCAUCUGUCAUGCCUGGUAAGGAUGGGAAGGCGUCUACCAGUGAUGUUGGCGGGAAGGCGUGAGAGUAGUUGAUGAUUCAAUCGAUCGUCUGGAUUGUGGGCCGUGGGCCGGUUGGAGUUGUAUCGAGUCUGAUGGGUUGUAAGGCGCACUGGAGUCUGUAAUGGGCUGGCCAUGGCUAACCAUAUAUACUGAAUCAAUGCCAGAUGGCAGGAAAAUAUCGAAUAACAGAAAGUAAAACCACUUCGUAACAAACUUAUCUCGAGUUGCAUUGCGAUUGUCGUGCCUCCGACGAUCUCACGUCCCGACGGUGGCUCGCCGGCGGCCACGGGGCGUCACAGGUGGUAUCAGAGCCUUGGAUUCUCGGAGUUUCCACGACGGUGCCGACCACCAAGCCAUCAGUGCAGACGCGACUGCUGCUGCAGACGAUGGAAGCCACAGAGCAGAAGAGUGAUGAGCGUUGGGAUCGGAUGAUGCGGAUCCUGGACCGCUUGGGCGACAAGGUGGAGGCCAUGGAGAUCGGGCAGCAGCGACUUCAUCAACAGGCGGAGGCGAUGGAGGCUGGGCAGUUCCGUCUUCAACAACAGACGGAAAUUGCAGCGGCGGCUGCUCGGAAGGCGUAGGAGGAGGAGUCCAUUCUUGCGUGGCAAGUGGACGAGACCGGGAAGACGGUGUCUCAGCUUCGCUUGGAACUGCUGGCGAAGGAGAUGGAAGGUAUGGAAACUGAAUCUGAGAGGGAGGGACGUAAUCAUAGGCAGGAGGGAGGUGAUGAUCGGACGCAUGGAGAGAGGGGGUACCAUGACUGGCAAGGUGGAAGUAGGGAGCAUAGAGCUGCUAAUCCACAAGGGGGAAACCGGGAGUAUCGAGAUCAGCAAGGUGGAAACAGAGAGUAUCGUGCUUCCGAUUUAUCUAAGAUGUCAUUUCCCAAGUUUUAGGGAACUGAGCCAGGCGUUUGGUUUGAUAAGUGCAUGGAGUAUUUCAACGUCUACCAGGUGCCUGAGUUUAUGUGGCCUUCAUCUGCUUAUUUACACAUGGAUGGAAACGUAGCUAGGUGGGCGCAAGUGUACAAGAGGAGGCAGGGGCUAGGAAACUGGGCACAAUUCACUCUAGCAGUGCAAUAGAAGUUUGGGGCAGAGGAGAGUGCACAGACGAUGAGGGGCUUACUGCACUUAUCAUAGAAAUCUAGUUUGGAGGAGUACAUUCAUGCAUUUGAAGAAGCUAGAUAUGCUACUAUAUUGCACAAUCCUGAAAUGGGAGAAACAUUCUUUGUUUCUCAGUUUGUGAAGGGUUUGAAGGGGGAGUUGCAGGGACAUGUUUUAGCUCAACUGCCUCGGACAGUAGAUCGAGCUAUUCUCCUGGCUCAGAUUCAGCAAGAGGUUGUGGAAAUGAAUAGAGCAAAAUUUUAGAAAAAAUUUCAGGGUAGUAAAGUGAUGGUGAAUGCAGGAAAAGGGGACACCAGAGCAGGAGUGGGCUCUAGUGAGUUGGCUAAGGAGAGGUAGUUGAGGGAUUUUCGAAGGUUGAAUGGAUUGUGUUUUGGGUGUGGAGAAAAGUACGAGCCAGGACACCAGGCCAAGUGUCCAAAAAGAGGUGGAACUCAAUUACAUAGUCUGACAAUGGAGGAUAUGGGGUUGACAUUGUUAGAUGAGGUGCUGCAGCAGUUAGACAAGGAGGAUAGGGAGAUGGAGGAAGCAAGUAAUCUGUCCUUAAAUGCCAUCAGUGGAACUGAUAGAGAGGGUUGUAUGAGGGUUCGAGCACUGAUUCAAAAUCAGGUGCUGGGGAUGCUGGUAGACUCAGGCAGUUCCACCAGUUUUGUCAGUUAGAGAAUUAUGGACAAACUGACUUUGCAUACAGAGCCUGCUUCACAUGUCAGGGUUAAGGUGGCUAAUGGGGAGUUCAUGUUGAGCUCGAGGAGGGUGAAAGGGAAAUGUGCCUUUGGGCCAUUUCUAAGUAUUUUGGUGAUUGAGUGCCAGCACAAGUACUUAAAUGUGAAUCUCUGCCCAUGGAUGAACAAAGUGCAAAUCAAGAGCUAAGGUAUGUUUCUAAGUCUUAGUACAUUGGUUUUAUGUACUAAUAUACUUGUCUAAGUAUCAGAAACAGGAAGAAGAAGAAAAGAAGAGAGUUGGCUGUGUACAGCCAAGAGGCUGUUUCGGUCUGGAGCACCGGACUGUCCGGUGGUGCACCGGACAGUGUCCGGUGCGCCAGGCUGACUCGGCGUGAACUCGGCGCUCUCGGGAAUUCGCCGACGGCGUACGGCUAAAAUUCACCGGACUGUCCGGUGUGCACCGGACUGUCCGGUGAGCCAACGGUCGGCCGGGCCAACGGUCGGCCGCGCGAUCUGCGCGUGACACGUGGCCGAGCCAACGGUCGGAAGGGGGCACCGGACUGUCCGGUGUGCACCGGACAUGUCCGGUGCGCCAACGGCUCCCAGAUCUGCAACGGUCGGCUUCGCCAUUUAAGGAAAGGAAUCAGGCACCGGACACUAUCCGGUGUGCACCGGACACUGUCCGGUGUGCACCGGACUGUCCGGUGCGCCCGACGACAGAAGGCAAGGAUGGCCUUCCAGAAUUGCUCUCAACGGCUCCUAGCUGCCUUGGGGCUAUAAAAGGGACCCCUAGGCGCAUGGAGGAGUACACCAAGCAUUCCUACAACAUUUCUAAGCACCAAGACAUCGAUCUCACGCAUUCGUUUCAUUGUGAUAGCAUCUAGAGCUCUUGUUGAGUUGCGAACUCUUUGAGUUGUGUUGCGAGCUCUUAUUGCGACUUGUGUGCGUGUUGUUGCUCUGAUCUUUUGAAGUCUUGUGUGCGUUGCUCAUUCCCCCUUUUGCUCUGUGUUCUUUGUGAACUUCAAUUGUAAGGGCGAGAGGCUCCAAGUUGUGGAGAUUCCUCGCAAACGGGAUUGAGAAAAAGCAAGCAAAACACCGUGGUAUUCAAGUGGGUCUUUGGACCGCUUGAGAGGGGUUGAUUGCAACCCUCGUCCGUUGGGACGCCACAACGUGGAGUAGGCAAGCGUUGGUCUUGGCCGAACUACGGGAUAAACCACUGUGUCAUCUCUGUGAUUGAUCUCUUGUGGUAUUGUGUUUUGUUGAGACUCCUUUCUAGCCACUUGGCAUUUAUUGUGCUAACACUUAACAAGUUUUUGUGGCUAUAAGCUUAAGUUUUACAGGAUCACCUAUUCACCCCCCUUUAGGUGCUCUCAAUUGGUAUCGGAGCCGUUCUCUUCAAGAAAGGGACUAACCGCCCGAAGAGAUGGAUCCUAAGGGGAAGGGAAUCGUGAUCAACGACAAGGAAAAGGAGUCCUUCGUCAACGAGCCAAAAGAUGACAAAUCCAACGACUCUGGCUCGGGCCACAGACGUAAAGAUGGGAAGAAGAAGAAGACAAGACGUAUCAAGGAGAUCGUCUACUACGACAGCGACGAGUCUACUUCUUCCCACAAGGACGACGACUACGACAAACAAAAGACGGUUAACUCAAACUUUUCUUUUGAUUAUUCGCGCAUUCCGCACAGCUCAAAUGCUCAUUUGCUCCCCAUUCCACUUGGCAAGCCUCCUCACUUUGAUGGAGAGGACUACGGAUUUUGGAGUCACAAAAUGCGUACACACCUAUUUUCUCUCCAUCCAAGCAUUUGGGAGAUUGUGGAAAGUGGAAUGAAAUUUGAUAGCUCGGAUAGUCCUUCGUUUAUUAAUGAACAGAUCCAUAAAAAUGCACAAGCUACUACUGUGUUGCUAGCCUCUUUGUGCAGGGACGAGUAUCACAAGGUGAGCGGCUUGGACAAUGCCAAGCAGAUUUGGGACACCCUCAAGAUCUCUCAUGAGGGGAAUGAUGUCACCUUACUCACCAAGAUGGAGUUGGUGGAGGGCGAGCUCGGACGAUUCGCGAUGAUAAGGGGCGAGGAGCCGACGCAAACAUACAACCGGCUCAAGAUCCUUAUCAACAAAAUAAGGAGCUACGGAAGCACGCGAUGGACGGAUCACGACGUCGUCCGCCUAAUGCUAAGGUCAUUUACCGUUCUUGAUCCUCAUCUCGUGAACAAUAUUCGUGAGAAUCCCAGGUACACGAAGAUGACGCCCGAGGAGGUACUCGGAAAAUUCGUAAGCGGGCGGAUGAUGAUCAAGGAGGCAAGAUACGUAGACGAUGCCUUGAAUGGACCGAUCAACGAGCCUCAACCCCUUGCUCUCAAGGCAACAAGAAGCAAGGAGGCGCUACCUAGCAGGGUGGCACAAAUUGAGGCGGCCGGACUUAAUGAUGAAGAGAUGGCCCUCAUCAUCAAAAGAUUCAAGACGGCGCUUAAAGGUCGCAAGGGACAGCCAAGCAAGACCAAAGCCAAGGGGAAGCGUUCGUGCUUCAAAUGCGGUAAGCUUGGUCAUUUUAUUGCUAACUGUCCCGACAAUGAUAGUGAUCAGGACCAAGGGAACAAGAGGGAGAAGAAGAAGAAUUAUAAGAAGGCAAAGGGCGAGGCUCAUCUUGGCAAGGAGUGGGAUUCGGACUGCUCCUCGUCUGACUCCGACAAUGAGGGACUCGCCACCACUGCCUUCAACAAGUCAUCCCUCUUCCCCAACGAGCGUCACACUUGCCUCAUGGCAAGAGAGAAGAAGGUAAUCACUCGUAAUGAUGUCACUUAUGAUUCUUCUAGUGAUGAUGAGUCUAGUGAUGAUGAAAUAGAUUACUCUAGUUUGUUCAAGGGAUUGGAUAGAAAUAAAAUUGAUAAAAUCAAUGAAUUGAUUGAUGCCUUGAAUGAAAAGGAUAGGCUUUUAGAAAAGCAAGAGGAUUUGUUGUAUGAUGAACAUGAUAAGUUUGUAGAGGCACAAAAAUCCUAUGCUUUAGAAGUUAAAAGAAAUGAAGUGCUUUCUAGUGAAUUAUCUUCUUGUCAUGAAAACAUUGCUACUUUAAAGAGUGUUAAUGAUGACUUAAAUGCUAAACUAGAAGUAGCUAGUAAAUCAACAUCUUGUGUAGAAAUUGUUGAAACGUGCACUAGGUGUAAAGAUCUUAAUGUUGAUGCUUGUAGUAAACAUCUAGUUUCAAUUUCUAAAUUGAAUGAUGAAGUGGCUAGUCUUAAUGCUCAACUUAAGGCUAGCAAAAGCGAAUUUGAUAAGCUAAAAUUUGCAAGGGAUGCCUACACGAUUGGUAGACACCCCUCAAUUAAGGAUGGACUUGGCUUCAAAAGAGAAGCCAAGAACUUAACAAGCCAUAAGGCUCCCAUUCCCGCUAAGGAGAAAGGGAAGGCCCCUAUGGCUACUAGUGCUAAAAAGAACCAUGCCUUUUUGUAUCAUGAUAGGAAAAAUUCUAGAAAUGCUUUUAGAAGUUAUGAUGCUUUUGAUUCACAUGCUUAUGAUUCUUAUGCUAUGACUGCUUCUAGUUCUCAUGUUGUGCAUGAUAGAAAAGUUGGUAGAAGAAAUGUUAUUCACAAUAUGCCUAGGAGAAAUGUUGUUAAUGCUCAUAGGAAAGUUCAUGGACCUUCUACAAUUUAUCAUGCCCUAAAUGCUUCCUUUGCUAUUUGUAGAAAGGAUAGGAAGAUAGUUGCUAGGAAGUUAGGGGCAAAAUGCAAGGGAGACAAAACUUGCAUUUGGGUCCCUAAGGAUAUUUGCACUAACAUUAUAGGACCCAACAAGAGUUGGGUACCUAAGUCCCAAGCCUAAAUUUGCCUUGCAGGUUUAUGCAUCCGGGGGUUCAAGCUGGAUUAUUGAUAGCGGAUGCACAAACCAUAUGACGGGGGAGAAGAAGAUGUUCACCUCCUACGUCAAGAAUAAAGAUUCCCAAGUUUCAAUUAUAUUCGGUGUUGGGAAUCAAGGCAAGGUAAAAGGGUUAGGUAAAUUUGCAAUUUCUAAUGAGUACUCCAUAUCUAAUGUGUUUUUAGUAGAGUCUCUUGGAUAUAAUUUGCUAUUUGUUAGUCAAUUGUGCAACAUGGGGUAUAACUGUCUAUUUACAAAUGUAGAUGUGUCUGUCUUUAGAAGAAAUGAUGGUUCACUAGCAUUUAAGGGUGUAUUAGACGGCAAACUUUAUUUAGUUGAUUUUGCAAAAGAAGAGGCCGGUCUAGAUGCAUGCUUAAUAGCUAAGACUAGCAUGGGCUGGCUGUGGCAUCGCCGCUUAGCACAUGUGGGGAUGAAGAACCUUCACAAGCUUCUAAAGGGAGAACACGUGAUAGGUUUGACUAACGUACAAUUCGAAAAAGAUAGACCUUGUGCAGCUUGUCAAGCAGGUAAACAAGUGGGAGGAGCACAUCACAACAAGAAUGUGAUGACCACAUCAAGACCCCUGGAGCUGCUACACGCCUAUCUGAGCAUAGGAGGAAGUAAGUAUGGUCUAGUUAUUGUUGAUGACUUUUCCCGCUUCACUUGGGUGUUCUUUUUGCAGGAUAAGUCUGAAACCCAAGGGACCCUCAAGCGCUUCCUCAGGAGAGCUCAAAAUGAGUUUGAGCUCAAGGUGAAGAAGAUAAGGAGCGACAACGGGUCAGAGUUCAAGAACCUUCAAGUGGAGGAGUUUCUUGAGGAGGAAGGGAUCAAGCACGAGUUCUCCGCUCCCUACACACCACAGCAAAAUGGUGUGGUAGAGAGGAAGAACAGGACGCUAAUCGACAUGGCGAGGACUAUGCUUGGAGAAUUCAAGACCCCCGAGCGUUUUUGGUCGGAAGCCGUGAACAUGGCUUGCCACGCCAUCAACAGGGUCUACCUUCACCGCCUCCUCAAGAAGAUGUCAUAUGAGCUACUAACCGGUAACAAACCCAAUGUAUCGUACUUUCGUGUAUUUGGGAGCAAGUGAUACAUUCUAGUGAAGAAGGGUAGAAAUUCUAAAUUUGCUCCCAAAGCAGUAGAAGGGUUUUUGUUAGGUUAUGACUCAAAUACAAAGGCGUAUAGAGUCUUCAACAAAUCAUCGGGUUUGGUUGAAGUCUCUAGCGACGUUGUAUUUGAUGAGACUAAUGGCUCUCCAAGAGAGCAAGUUGUUGAUCUUGAUGAUGUAGAUGAAGAAGACGUUCCAACGGCCGCUAUGCGCACCAUGGCGAUUGGUGAUGUGCGACCACAGGAACAAUUGGAGCAAGAUCAACCUUCUUCCUCAACUAUGGUGCAACCCCCAACUCAAGACGAUGAACAGGUUCAUCAACAGGAGGCGUGUGAUCAAGGGGGAGCACAAGAUGAUCCUGUGAUGAAGGAAGAUGCGCAACCGGCACCUCCAACCCAAGUCCGAGCGGUGAUUCAAAGGGAUCAUCCCGUCGACCAAAUUUUGGGUGAUAUUAGCAAGGGAGUAACUACUCGAUCUCGAUUAGUUAAUUUUUGUGAGCAUUACUCCUUUGUCUCUUCUACUGAGCCUUUCAGGGUAGAAGAGGCCUUGCUAGAUCCGGACUGGGUGUUGGCUAUGCAGGAGGAGCUCAACAACUUCAAGAGAAAUGAAGUUUGGACACUGGUGCCUCGUCCGAAGCAAAAUGUUGUGGGAACCAAGUGGGUGUUCCGCAACAAACAGGACGAGCACGGGGUGGUGACGAGGAACAAGGCUCGACUUGUGGCAAAAGGUUAUGCCCAAGUCGCAGGUUUGGAUUUCGAGGAGACUUUUGCUCCUGUGGCUAGGCUAGAAUCAAUUCGUAUCUUGCUAGCAUAUGCCGCUCACCAUUCUUUCAGGUUGUACCAAAUGGAUGUGAAGAGCGCUUUCCUCAACGGGCCAAUCAAGGAGGAGGUGUACGUGGAGCAACCCCCUGGCUUCGUGGAUGAACGGUACCCCGACCAUGUGUGUAAGCUCUCUAAGGCGCUCUAUGGACUUAAGCAAGCCCCAAGAGCAUGGUAUGAAUGCCUUAGAGACUUUCUAAUUGUUAAUGCUUUCAAGGUUGGGAAAGUCGAUCCAACUCUUUUUACUAAGACAUGUGAUGGUGAUUUGUUUGUGUGCCAAAUUUAUGUCGAUGACAUAAUAUUUGGUUCUACUAACCAAAAGUCUUGUGAAGAGUUUAGCAGGGUGAUGACGCAGAAAUUCGAGAUGUCGAUGAUGGGCGAGUUGAACUACUUCCUGGGGUUCCAAGUGAAGCAACUCAAGGACGGCACCUUCAUCUCCCAAACGAAGUACACGCAAGAUCUGCUAAAGCGGUUUGGGAUGAAGGACGCCAAGCCCGCAAAGACUCCGAUGGGAACCGACGGACACACCGACCUCAACAAAGGAGGUAAGUCCAUUGAUCAAAAAGCAUACCGGUCAAUGAUAGGGUCUUUACUUUAUUUAUGUGCUAGUAGACCGGACAUUAUGCUUAGCGUAUGCAUGUGUGCUAGAUUUCAAUCCGAUCCUAAGGAGUGUCACUUAGUGGCGGUGAAGCGAAUUCUUAGAUAUUUGGUUGCUACGCCUUGCUUCGGGCUCUGGUAUCCAAAGGGGUCUACCUUUGACUUGGUUGGAUACUCAGACUCCGACUAUGCUGGAUGUAAGGUCGAUAGGAAGAGUACAUCGGGGACGUGCCAAUUCUUAGGAAGGUCCCUGGUGUCGUGGAACUCUAAGAAACAAACCUCCGUUGCCCUAUCCACCGCUGAGGCCGAGUAUGUUGCCGCAGGACAGUGUUGCACGCAACUACUUUGGAUGAGGCAAACCCUCCGGGACUUUGGCUACAAUCUGAGCAAAGUCCCACUCCUAUGUGAUAAUGAGAGUGCUAUCCGCAUGGCGGAGAAUCCUGUUGAGCACAGCCGCACAAAGCACAUAGACAUCCGGCAUCACUUUUUGAGAGACCACCAGCAAAAGGGGGAUAUCGAAGUGUUUCAUGUUAGCACCGAGAACCAGCUAGCCGAUAUCUUUACCAAGCCUCUAGAUGAGAAGACCUUUUGCAGGCUGCGUAGUGAGCUAAAUGUCUUAGAUUCGCGGAACUUGGAUUGAAUUGUAGCAUACAUGUAUUUAUGCUUUUGUUCAUGUUCCUUUUUGCAUUUUGUUGCUUAUUAUGGUACUCAAGUUGUACAAACACUCCCUGGACCUCAUAAGUCCUUUUUGCAAGUGAUGCACACAUUUAGGGGGAGAUGUGCUACAACUUGACCCUUGGAGACUAACCAUAUGCUUGAGUUUGAUGAUUUAGUCUCGAAGGAGGAUUGAAAGGGAAAAAGGUGGACUUGGACCAUGAAAGACUUCCACUGCACUCCGAUGAGAGGGUAACUUAAUUCCAAGUUCAUCUUUAAACUCUUAUUGCCUAUUUGCUCUUAAUUGAAGAAUUUGGUGAGGCAAUGGGGUUAAAGGGCCAAGAUUGAUCCCGUUUUGGUGCUUGAUGCCAAAGGGGGAGAAAAUAAAGGCCAAAGCAAUAGAUGGAUCAGCUACCACUUGAGAGAUUUUGAAAAUAGUAGAAUAGAGCUCUUUGUUUUGUCAAAACUCUUGCAUUGUCUCUUUUGUCAAAAGUUGGCCUCUUGUGGGGAGAAAUGUUGAUUAUGGGAAAAAGGGGGAGUUUUUGGAAUCUUUAAUCAAUUUUCUUUGGAAAACCUCUCUUUAUGUCUCUAUCAGUGGAUUUGACUUAGAGAUAAGAUUUUGAGUUUGAUUUGCAAAAACAAACCAAGUGGUGGCAAAGGAUGAUCCAUAUAUGCCAAAUUGAAUUUGAGUUUUUAUUUGAAGUGAUAUUGCACUUGUUCUAGUUGCUUUAUGUUGUGUUGGCAUAAAUCACCAAAAAGGGGGAGAUUGAAAGGGAAAUGUGCCUUUGGGCCAUUUCUAAGUAUUUUGGUGAUUGAGUGCCAGCACAAGUACUUAAAUGUGAAUCUCUGCCCAUGGAUGAACAAAGUGCAAAUCAAGAGCUAAGGUAUGUUUCUAAGUCUUAGUACAUUGGUUUUAUGUACUAAUAUACUUGUCUAAGUAUCAGAAACAGGAAGAAGAAGAAAAGAAGAGAGUUGGCUGUGUACAGCCAAGAGGCUGUUUCGGUCUGGAGCACCGGACUGUCCGGUGGUGCACCGGACAGUGUCCGGUGGUGCACCGGACAGUGUCCGGUGCGCCAGGCUGACUCGGCGUGAACUCGGCGCUCUCGGGAAUUCGCCGACGGCGUACGACUAAAAUUCACCGGACUGUCCGGUGUGCACCGGACUGUCCGGUGAGCCAACGGUCGGCCGGGCCAACGGUCGGCCGCGCGAUCUGCGCGUGACACGUGGCCGAGCCAACGGUCGGAAGGGGGCACCGGACUGUCCGGUGUGCACCGGACAUGUCCGGUGCGCCAACGGCUCCCAGAUCUGCAACGGUCGGCUUCGCCAUUUAAGGAAAGGAAUCGGGCACCGGACACUGUCCGGUGUGCACCGGACUGUCCGGUGCGCCCGACGACAGAAGGCAAGGAUGGCCUUCCAGAAUUGCUCUCAACGGCUCCUAGCUGCCUUGGGGCUAUAGAAGGGACCCCUAGGCGCAUGGAGGAGUACACCAAGCAUUCCUACAACAUUUCUAAGCACCAAGACAUCGAUCUCACGCAUUCGUUUCAUUGUGAUAGCAUCUAGAGCUCUUGUUGAGUUGCGAACUCUUUGAGUUGUGUUGCGAGCUCUUGUUGCGACUUGUGUGCGUGUUGUUGCUCUGAUCUUUUGAAGUCUUGUGUGCGUUGCUCAUUCCCCCUUUUGCUCUGUGUUCUUUGUGAACUUCAAUUGUAAGGGCGAGAGGCUCCAAGUUGUGGAGAUUCCUCGCAAACGGGAUUGAGAAAAAGCAAGCAAAACACCGUGGUAUUCAAGUGGGUCUUUGGACCGCUUGAGAGGGGUUGAUUGCAACCCUCGUCCGUUGGGACGCCACAAUGUGGAGUAGGCAAGCGUUUGUCUUGGCCGAACCACGGGAUAAACCACUGUGUCAUCUCUGUGAUUGAUCUCUUGUGGUAUUGUGUUUUGUUGAGACUCCUUUCUAGCCACUUGGCAUUUAUUGUGCUAACACUUAACAAGUUUUUGUGGCUAUAAGCUUAAGUUUUACAGGAUCACCUAUUCACCCCCCCCCCCCCCCUCUAGGUGCUCUCAGAGGGUGGCAACAUUGGAGUGGUGGGCUGAUGGACAUACCUAUAUCAGUGACAUGAGAGUAUUGGAUUUAGAAGCUUAUGACGCCAUCUUGGGAUAUGAUUGGUUGAAGGGUCAUAGUCCCAUGCAAUGUGAUUGGGAUAACAAGGUUUUGGUGUUCAAGGAUAGAGGUGUAGAGGUGCAAUUGAAGGGAGAUAGCAUGGAGAACAAGGAGGUGUUGUAGGUGUCUGCUGCACAGCUGUAGAGAUGGAUGAAAGGGAAUGAAGUAUGGGUUCUGGUGCUGUUAGAGUCAAUGCAGGAAGAAGAGGUUGAAAGGCAUCAAGAACCAUUGUAGCUCAUACUCAAAGAGUUUGAGGAUGUUUUUGUUGUGCCAACCGGGCUACCUCCUGCUAGAGUGUAUGAUCACCAUAUACCUCUGUUACUAGGUUCCAUACAUGUGAAUUCUAGACCCUACAGGUACUCACCAUUCCACAAAACAGACAUAGAAAGACAGGUGUCAGAAUUACUGAAUGCAGGUCUGAUAGUACCUAGUGCCAGUCCUUUUGCAUCCCCAGUAUUACUAGUCCAGAAGAAAUAUGGUAGCUAGAGGUUUUGCAUUGACUACAGAAGGUUGAACUCUAUGACUAUCAAGAAUCGAUUUCCCAUGCCCCUAGUAGAUGAGAUUCUGGAUGAGUUGGCUGGCACCCAGUUUUUCACCAGUUUGGAUAUGACUGCAGGGUACCAUCAGAUUAGAAUGACAGAGGAGGAUGAGUUUAAACUGCGUUUAAGACUCAUCAUGGACAUUACCAAUUUCGAGUCAUGCCUUUUGAUCUCACCGAUGCUCCCUCAACAUUUCAGUGUGCCAUGAAUACUGUUUUGGAUCCUUUUCUUAGAAAAUUUGUUAUGGUUUUCUUGGAUGACAUAUUGAUUUACAGUCCAACUUUAGAGGAACAUUACAAACAUCUCAGAUUGGUUUUGUCCAAACUCAGGGAACAUAAGUUUUUCUUGAAGCUUAAGAAGUGUGCUUUUGUGAAAAGAGAGUUGCAGUAUCUAGGGCAUGUGAUAUCUAGAGAAGGAGUGGCAACAGACCCUGCAAAAACAGCAGCUAUGCUGGCUUGGCCUAUACCACAGAAUAUAACUGAGUUGAGAGGGUUUCUGGGACUUACAGGAUACUAUAGAAAGUUUGUGAGUGGGUAUGGAGUAUUGGCAAGACCCCUUACUCAGUUACCGCAGAAGCAACAUGGGUUCAAAUGGACUGAAGAAGCUCAAACAACAUUUGAAGCCCUAAAGAAGGCUAUGUUCUCAACUCCUGUUUUAGCUCUACCCAUAUUUGACCUUCCUUUUGUGGUGGAGACAGAUGCUUGCGAGACUGGAAUGGGUGCAGUGCUCAUGCAACAAGGGAAGCCAAUCGCUUAUGUCAGCAAAGCCUUAGGUGAGAUGAACAUGCACUUGUCCAUCUAUGACACGGAAUUUUUGGCUUUGAUUCUAGCUGUAGAGAAGUGGAGACCCUACCUUUAGAGAAGCCCAUUUGUUAUCAAAACAGAUCACAAGUCACUCACAUUUCUGGGUGAGCAACAAUUACAAUCAAAACUGCAAAGGAAGGCUAUGUCCAGGUUAAUGGGCCUGCAGUUUCAGAUUGUUUAUAAAAAGGGAACAGAAAACUUAGUGGUCGAUGCCCUUUCUAGAGUGGGGUCUAUGAUGGAGCUUGUUGUUAUUUCUGAAGUCCAACCAGUGUGGAUCCAGGAAAUCUUGAAUUCCUAUGUAACAGAUGCUGAGGCUCAAUGAGCAGGGAUUCAGCAUACAACAAGGCAUUAUUAGAAAAGAUGACAAGAUCUGGAUAGGAUCCAAUUAUGCUCUUUGAACAAAGUUAAUUGCAGCCCUCCAUGACAGUGCUAUGGGGCACUCUGGCAUCCAUGCUACUUAUCAAAGGGUUAAGAAGCUUUUCUGGUGGAGGGGAUUGGAAGUAGAUGUCACUCAGUUUGUGCAACAAUGUUUAGUGUGUCAACAGGCCAAGUCUGAAAGAAAUCACCCAACAGGGUUACUCUAGCCUCUUCCUAUACCACAUGGCAUUUGGGCAGAUGUUACCAUGGAUUUUAUUGAAGGGCUGCCAAAGUCCGGGGGUUUUGACACCAUUAUGGUAGUAGUGGACAAAUUCACUAAGUAUGGUCAUUUUCUUCCACUUAAACACCCAUUCUCAGCUCAGGGGGUGGCACAGUUCUUUUUGGACCAAGUGAUUAAAUUACAUGGACCUCCUAAGUCUAUUGUUUCAGACAGGGACAAGAUCUUCAUUAGUUCCUUCUGGAAACACUUAUUUCAGCUCAUGGAUGUGAAGUUGAUGUUGUCAACUGCUUACCAUCCGCAAACCGAUGGCCAAAGCGAGAGAGUGAACCAAUGUGUUGAGACCUAUCUCAGAUGUGCAGUCGAUGCCCAGCCUUCUCACUGGAAAUCCUGGUUGGCUUUGGCCGAAUUUUGGUAUAAUACUAGUUAUCACACUAGCCUGGGUUGUACCCCUUUCAAAGCAUUAUAUGGCUAUGAUGCACCCAUGCUGGCUUUACCCCAAUCUGGUGUUCUUGAGGCCGAACAGGUGGCAGGCUGGUUGUCUGAAAGGAUGGUUUUUUCUACUCUUCUCAGAGACCAUUUGGCCAGAGCACAAAACAGGAUGAAACAAAUGGCUGAUCGGGGCAGAAUUUCAAUGGAGUUCCAGGUGGGAGAAAUGGUUCUUUUGAAGCUACAACCGUAUGCUCAGAAAAGGGCAGUGAAUCGCCCUUACCCGAAGUUGGCAUUUAAAUUUUUUGGUCCUUUCAAGGUGCUUGCUAAAAUUGGGUCAGCUGCCUACAAAUUGGAGUUACCUGAUAGUGCUCAAGUCCAUCCAGUAUUUCAUGUCUCUCAAUUGAAGCCCUAUCAUCCAUCUUACACCCCAGUCUUCACUACUUUGCCUCCCUUGGUGGAUCUGACAAAGACUGACAUUGUGCCUGAGGAGAUCAUUGAUCGUCGUCUGGUACGCAAAGGUAAUCAAGCGGUCCCUCAAGUUCUAAUCCGGUGGUCUGGUGUUCCAGUGGAAGCAGCGACCUGGGAGGAUUAUUACGUGGUGAAACAUCGCUUCCCUGAAGCACUCGCCUGGGGUCAAGCGGAUAUUGAGGCCCGGGGAACUGUCAUGCCUGGUAAGGAUGGGAAGGCGUCUACCAGUGAUGUUGGUGGGAAGGCGUGAGUAGUUGAUGAUUCAAUCGAUCGUCUGGAUUGUGGGCCGUGGGCCGGUUGGAGUUGUAUCGAGUCUGAUGGGUUGUAAGGCGUACUAGAGUCUGUAAUGAUCUGGCCAUGGCUAACCAUAUAUGCUGAACCAAUGCCAGAUGGCAGGAAUAUCGAAUAACAGAAAGUAAAACCACUUCGUAACAAACUUAUCUCGAGUUGCAUUGCGAUUGUCGUGCCUCCGACGAUCUCACGUCCCGGCGGUGGCUCGCUGGCGGCCACGAGGCGUCACACCAUCGCAGAGACCUGUAGGUGAUCAUCAAUACCCCUUUGCUACUUCUCGAUCUGGAUCUUGGCGUUAAACCCCCUUUGUCUUUUAUCAGUUCUCAGUUUAGGAUGACAUAUGCUGGCCUAAAAUCAGGGAUGUCUGUUAUUCUAUAGGAGCUAAAUCCAUCCUAAGAGAUGUUCAAGCAAUUGGGGCAUCCCUUCUAUCCUGUGUUGUGCAGACAAAUUGGUUAUGGGAUAUGUAGAUCCGUGAGGUGCUGUUGAAGAAAUCCUAACUCUCUACCUACAGCACAAACAAACUUGUUUUCUUUACUUGUCCAGUGAAGUUAUCAAGGUUGAUUUAUAUUUUCAAAGAGUUUGAGUAAUAAACUUGAACUGUAUUUCCCCCCUGUCUAACAGUUCUUUAUUUUUGUAGAUUUUUGGAUCUGAUCCAUCUUGUGCGAGUUAUCUUACUAGCUUGAUACAAAUAGUUUUCGGCCAUACAGUGCAACUUCUUAGAAUGAUUCAAGUAAUUAUUUGUUCUUUUAGUUCCUUGGUGACAACUACACAUUGGCAACCCAAACGGUGACCAAAUUUUUCUGGAAUACGCAAGAGAGCUGUGCAUCUUUGUAUUAAUAGAAGAAUAAGAAAGGAGGAGAGAACCCCAUUACAUCACACACACCCCAACACUAGAGACUAACUAAGGAUCGCCGACUCUGGAGGUCCAAAGUUUUUUUUUCCAAAGCACUAUGCAACGUCCUCAACCUAGGCAAGUGGAGAUUAAUUACGGCAUCUUCAACUCUCAGCGAAAUAAUUUGUCCUCCCUUGACAUGCCUUUUACUGAAGCAGAAAUUAAAAAAGUAUUGACCUUCUGCUGGCUGACAAGGCUCCUGGCCCGAUGGUUUUACGGGGACCUUCUUUAAAUCUUGUUGGGACAUAAUCAAGCACGAUGUGAUGGAGGCAGUUAAGGCAUUUCACGACCUUCGGUGCAUGAACCUGCAACUCAUCAACUCGGCAAAUAUUAUUCUACUUCCUAAAAAGGAGGGAGCGGAGGCAGUUGGUGAUUUUAGACCGAUUAGCCUGAUUCACUCCUUCGUCAAAAUCAUCACCAAGACUCUUGCUCUCCGAUUAGCGCCACAUAUGCAUGAAAUCGUCUCACCAUGCCAAAGCGCGUUCAUCAAGAAACGGACUAUUCAGGAUAAUUUUAUGGUCGUGCGUAGUGCAGUGAGGCGCUACCAAUGCAUGAACAUACCCUCACUCUUCAUCAAAUUGGACAUUGCGAAAGCCUUUGAUUCAGUCCGAUGGGAAUACCUUCUCUCGCUGCUUCAACAUCUAGGCUUCCCUUCUCGGUGGAGAGAUUGGAUUGCAGCCAUCCUCUCAACAUCCACCUCAAGGGUCUUUGUUAAUGGGGCCCCGAAUCCCCCCUUGUCUCAUGGUCGAGGACUUAGACAGGGAGACCCACUCUCACCAUUGUUAUUUGUGCUUGCCAUUGACCCAUUGCAGAAAAUUUUAGAAUUGGCAACAGAGACGGGACUUCUCAGCAAAAUCAGGGGUCGCUCGCCUUGCCUUCGUCUCUCAUUGUAUGUUGAUGAUGCGGCCUUGUUUAUUGCACCAAAAAAAGAGGAGGUCGAGACAAUACUAAAGCUGCUCAGGCUAUUUGGUGAGGCGUCAGGGCUAUUGACAAACUUCCAUAAGUCCACAGUUGUGCCUAUCCGUUGUCAAGGUAUUGACCUCAACGCGGUCCUAAGGAAUAUGCCGGCCAGAAGGGCUAUCUUCCCCUUAAAAUACCUGGGCCUCCCACUCUCAUCAUCCGGAUUGAAGAAGAGCGACUUUGAGUUUUUAAUUGACAAAAUUUCGAACAAGCUCAGUGGCUGGAAUGGGAAAAACCUUUCUAUGGCUGGCAGACUGACUUUAGUUAAGUCAGUCAUUACCUUCCAAGCAAUCUACCUUCUCUCUGCUUUACGGUCUCCUAAGGAAAUAUUGAAUCUAAUUGACUCGAGAAGGAAAAAUUUUCUUUGGGCUGGGUGUGCACAAAUUAUGGGAGGUAAAUGCAAGGUAAAUUGGAUCUGUUCUGCAAGGCCAAAAGAGUGCGGAGGCUUGGGUAUCCUUCAUUUAACCAAAUUUGCAAGGGCCCUCCGUAUGCGUUGGCUGUGGCAAGAAUGGGCUUCAUCAACUAGGUUCUGGACGGCCUUGGAACUUCCUUGCACGACAAAAGAUCGACAGCUCUUCGCAGCAAUGACAUCGAUUUUGGUGGGAGACGGGACAAAGGUGUCCUUAUGUAAUGAUGCAUGGGUGCCAGGGUUAAGACCGAAGGACAUUGCGCCUCUCAUUUUCAAUGUGUCCCGAAGAAAGAACAGAUCUUUGAGUGAAGCGCUGUGGAAUCAUACUUGGAUUAGGGACCUCAACCUGUUUUCUGCUGAGGUGACAGAACAACACAUUGUGGAGUACUGUAGGCUUUGGUCAAUUUUGCAAAGAGUAUCCUUGCAACCGGGUAUUUGCGACUCUAUUAGUUGGAAACUCUCAGAAGACCGACAGUAUUCGGCGAAAUCAGCAUACCUUGCCCAAUUCCUCGGCUCAGAGCUUACAAAUAUGAACUGGAUCAUUUGGAAGGUAUGGGCGCCACCGAAAUGUAAAUUCUUCAGUUGGUUAGCCAUCCAAAAUAGAAUUUGGACAGCGGAUCGUCUUGCGAAGAGGGAUUGGCCCCACAAUGCUACCUGUGCAUUGUGUGGGCAAACUUUGGAGUCAGGAUUGCAUCUUUUCGUUGAGUGUCGUUUAACCAAGCGGAUUUGGGGAGAGGUGGCUGUAUGGGCAGCGGUGGAGGGCCUUAGUCCAAGUAAUUGGGACCACAGUGAGUCUGUCCUACAAUGGUGGACGUCCCUAGCUACAACUCAAGAUUGCAACAGGAAGGGCUUGAGAAGCCUCUUAAUUCUAGUGAAUUGGACCGUCUGGCGUGAGAGAAAUGCUAGCAUUUUCGAUCACAAAUCCUCCACAUGUGCUCAGAUUCUCGCAUCUAUUAUAUCUGAGGCAUCAGCCUGGAUACGUGCAGGAGCCAACCAGCUAGCUAAUCUCCUAGCAUCUCUUUAGUUUUGUGUGCUUGAGCUUGGUUUUUCUCCUAGUCUCCUUUUAGAUUAGUCUUGUGUGUUUGUGUUUUUCGGCUUGGUCAUGCUUUUGUGGAGUGUCUUUGUAUUUUAAUCCUCGCCACUUUGGGCUCCUCUCUUUUUAAUAUAACGGGCAGAUCUCCUGCCGGUUCGUUUCAAAAAAAGGAUCGCCGACUAACACGGUGACCAAAUUGCGCUAUAUUUUUAGGAUUUUACAACCAGACCAGGUAUACUCGAUGAUUGCUAUUUGUUAGAAUCAGGAUGUAUUCGUUACUGUCAUGAUCUAUUUAUACCUACAAAAAUGUUUCAAAGAUUGGUUGACUGUGCAAUUGCUGGUAUAAUUAUACAACACAGGUAAUGGGCUGAAGCUUGGCUGACUGUGACACUGUGUAAUGGCUGAUAUAUAUAAACAUUUGAACAAAACUCUGAGAUGCUUGAGUUGGUUCAAAUUCGAAAAAUUCUCUGUACAUACAACUGAGCCCUUAUUUAUAUAUUUCAAAAUCAUUUCAGAGUUGAUCCGAAUCUGACCAUCUAGCAGCAAACAAAUAGGACAAUUAUGCUAGAUGAGGUCCUCGAUUAUGUGAAGUUUCUGAGGCUUCAAGUCAAGGUUCAGCUCAUUAUGUUAAUGUCUUUGAAUCAUUAACCACCAGUUGAGCUACUUGUUUGAUCACUAAUGGGACUUUGAUUCUGUAACGUUAGGUUCUAAGCAUGGGCAGUGCUGGUGUUGUGGCACAACUGCUGAUAUCCCACUUUCAGUUAAGUUACACCUAUGAUUUGUGACUACUAAGUAUUGCCCUCUGAUAACUUCACUUUUACUGCCAUGAAACUGUAAACCAAUGUGUUGUUUGUUUGGUAAGCUGGAACAAAUAUAUACCCAAUAUACAAUUCACUACUAUGUUUAAAUGAAGAAUAGUUUGAUCAUAAUAAAUUUGGCGCUUUGUACUAGCCACCUACACAAUAUUGGAAAGCUUUUCACAUGUACUAGCCACCUACACAAUAUUGGAAAGUUUUUCACAUGUUUAUUUACCUACUAGCCUUUCAUGUGUGUUAGAGCCGAGAGCCCCCCAUGGUACCUCUCAGUUGUUGGACGACCUCUAUAUGUAUGCCUGUUUGACUACAGAAACAUGAUUUCUUACCUGCUUCUAAGCCUGGAAGUCAGCUAUUUUUUUGACAUCAGAUAUUUAUCUCUUAUUUCAUAGGAGCAUCAAGCAGGAGCUAAAGCGUUAUUACCGAUUAUGUUGGUUAACUCGGCAAAGGUCAGAUACCACCAAAGGUAUAAUAUAUGAUGAAAUGCCCUUAUUAAAGAUUAUACAUGUUGCUAUUGGACUUAAAAUAGCUUGGUAACUAUGUAACUUCUUUCUUCAUUGCAGCACAUCUCGCUUGUCAAUUUAAUUAUUACUCUGAACAUAGAGGGGACCAAAUACACGAUAAUAUAGUUCCUUUACAUUUCUGUGCUAUCAGCUCAGUGACUCGAUGUUUUAAUCAGAACUAAACGUGAUUAAACUUUGUUGUAGAUUGCGAUAGUAAGGGGUGGACAACUGUUCAGCCGCUCCACUUGAUUAAACUCAGUGAUUUAUUCAGCGCGACAAAAUCAAACUUUCAGAUCAGGGUUUUGAUGUUGUGUUUUUGCCAUUUUUGUAAGAUGGCUUGGUUAAGUUUCUUUGUACCUUAUCGGCACCAUAUUAUGUCGGCUUUAGGUAAAUCGUAGUUCGUUGCAAUGAUUUUUGUUGUAUCUUUAUUUAUUCAGUUUUAGAGUAUAUUCCCUAUGUCUGGCCAUCCAAUAUUUUCUUUGAUCCAACUAGUUGGACUGUAGUUGCACAAUGCCCCAUAAAAAUUUCGCUUUGGUGUUGUGGCUAUGUCGACCCUAUUGCCAUGGUAAUUUCAUUCCCAUUUCUUUUGCUUGCCGAUACACAACUCUCCUAUGUAUUCUACGAAAACACACACACACAAAAGAGUGACAUUUGUAUGAAAGACGCCUUCUCCAGGAUAUCGGAGCUAUUAAUACAAUCAUUGUGAUUGCAAAAGAGGUUAAUGAGGUACCUUAUCCUGCAGGAUAAAAUACUUUUUUUAGUUUCACAUGGACUAUUUUUAAGAUGGUGUGGCUGUGGUGUGACUAUCUUUGGAGUUUUUGGAUUAAUCACUGAAGGAGGUGCAUCGUUCAUAACAGUUUUUGUUUCAGAUAUUUGCAUACUUUUAUUUGCCAACUGAUAUAAGAUUUUAGAGACUACAAGUUCCCCAUCUUUUUCGGUUUCCUCUUCUCCAAGGUGAUACUCACGCAUUACCCAGUUAUAUCUAUCAUGCUUUUUGCCUCUUUGUGAAGUUUUGUACAACACCAUUGUCUUCUUCCAGCCUUUUAUAACAUCAUUUUCAUAUAUGGCUUUGGAUCUCCCUGUCUUGUGUCGGCUCACAUGCUCAUCAGGAAAGCUUAGUAUCCUCAAUGCUUCUAAGUGGAUACUGAAAGCGGAACUUUUAGAUGAUUUUUUUGUCCAGAAAAAAGUUACAAAAUGACACCAUUUUCGUGGACCUGAUAUAUUAAAAAAUGACAACGAUAAUAGAAUAACCUUUUAUUGUUGGUUUUGUAGAGGCAGAAAAUCUUUAAGGAGCUGCAACGUUUUUGUGGACAUGUUCUAGUAUGAUAUUGAUUCAGGAUUCUGCAAUGGGACUGCUAGGGGUCAUCAAGUUCAGGGAUAAGCCAAAAAUAGAAUAGGCUGGGCCUUACCUUCUUCAUCAUGGUUCCCUUAGAAGUGCCAUCAUGUAAUGGCUUCAAUAAGUGGGGUUCAUCAGUAAUGGACUCAGGGAAAGCCUCCAAGGCCUAUUGAAGGUGGUGCAGGUCAAAGCCAAGCUAGAUUUUUUUUGGGGUAAGUGCACUUGUCAUUGUCAAUUUACUUUGCUUGAUAAUGAUGCAACAUGUCAGGGACCAUAGUUAUUUACUGGGUCUAAUUAUGUAUUUUCGGAUAACUCUGAUCUUAUUACAACUUGCUUCUAGCGAACGGUCAUGCAAUUGACCAAACAUGUAAACCAUAAGCAAAUGUGAUGUAGGAGAUUGUUAUAUAAAGAGACUUUUGCAGCCACUUUGAUGUUUUGUUUUAUGCUUCUUUUGUGAAAAAAUUAUUUCUUUUCUCGAACACGCAGGAGGUCUGCGUAUCAUUCCAUUAAUAUUUAAUAUCUGAGAUAAUGGCCCUCGUCUCUCCCGCCCCCGCCCUCUCGGCUCCCGACGCCCCUCCCCCUCCCCAGCACCAGCACACGUCGGUUCCCAUUCCGGGGCCGGCGGCCAACUCCCUUGCUGCUGUCGCCGCAGCACCCUCUAGCCCUGGUGCGUCGGCUUCUAUCCCCUUCUUGUCUCCUCCCGUGUCCCAUGUAGCCAGGGGACGCUCCAAGUCUCUAAGGUGUGGUGACCUCAGUCCGGCCUCUUCGGAUGGCGUGACGUCGCUCGGCUCCCGGCCUUCCUUCAAGGACGUACUGGUGAGACCAGUGAAUCCUUUGCUGCCCAGCCAUGCGGUAGUCCAAGAGUCAGCCCUGGCAGCUGGAACGUCCUCAGCGCUGGGGAAGGUGAACCAUCGGCGACCUUGCUCUCACCCCCUGUCUACAAAGCGGUGGAGUCCCAGGCAGGCUCCCCACUCUACACCGGCUUUCCGCCCAGCUCCAAGUUUUGACGAUCAAGGAUGGACAACAGUGGAAUCCAAACAAGGUAGAAGACGCCGGUUGAGGGCUUCACGACGCCCGAGUCGAGUCCCUGCUGAGCUUGUUGGAAGGUGCUUCAACUGCUUGGGCUGCGAUCACAGGGCUGCGGGGUGUGACAGUGAGCCUCGGUGCUUCCUCUGCUCGGAGCUUGGCCACAAGUCUUCCUCCUGCCCCAAGACCCCGGUGUGGAAGCGGCUCGGGCGCCCCAGAGUCCCGGUCUGGGAGCGGCUUUCACUGGCAGUUGAGGGGAGAGUCCAACGAGUGGCAGGCCGCCGUUCGGUUUGGAAGCGUAUCGCUACGCCCGAAGCUGGUCCGAUCGCCCCCUCUAUCCUGGUGGGAAGCAUGCUUGGCGUCUCGGCUGCACAGGGCAAUGGCGGCCCUGCCAGCUCCAGGCGCAAACGGUGGAGGAAGAAGAAGCAUUUGGAGCGUGAAGAUGAGCCGCCUUUGGAGAUUGUGGCUCCACCUCCACCUCCUCCCGUGCAGACAGUUGAUGCGACUGCUUGUGUGAUCGAUUGGUCUGUUCAGAUGUCCAUUGCGGAAGAUAACCUCAAUACGGCUGCGGUUAUCACAGUGGUCUGUUCUAGGGACAUCAGCGCUAAUGAGAUCGUGUCGGUCUUGGCUCCGCGGCUGGAAAUGGAGGAGGGAGGAUUGGUUCUCCGACAGUUAUCCCAGUCCAGCUUCUUGGCUGUUUUACCCAGCCGUGCGCAACUCGACACGCUGGUGGAUAGCUUCCCUAUCAUCAGAGAAGAAAAUUCCAUGCUCUCCUCAAGGCGCUGGACGAGGUUCGGGGGUGCUGGUGGUAAUUCCUUGAAGCACCUUGUGGAACUUGAGCUCAGAGGUCUGCCGGUGCAUGCGUGGGAGACUUCGGUGGUGCAACAAUUGAUCAACCCCCAUGCGUGCAUUUCCCAGGUUCUGCCCGACACGCUGGAAGUCCAGAGUUUGGAGGCCUUUCGAUGCCUUGCCUGGUGCAGCGACCCUGAACGUAUCCCAGCUGCGAAAGACCUCUGGAUCACUGAACCAGACCAGGCUUCGGCUGCUGAAGGGAAGAAGGCCCUGGUGUACCCGGUGCAAAUUCGUUGGGUUCCUGCUGAUUUGAGCCUCUUGACUGGUGAUCCACCGCUGCUGAUUGGAGGUGACGACCAGGACAAAUCUGAUACCCCCCCUUCACGGAGAAGAUGUAGUGACAACCCUCCACGUACUCAACAUGAUGCAAUCAAUGACGUUCCUGGCAACAAGACCCACACUCAACGGCGGCCGAUUCAUGACCGAUUGGGACCCUUGAGGCGCUCAGAUUCCCCCUAGGGAAUUGAGCCAUCCUCGGGUUUAGAUUGAUUUUGAGGCCCGCAGCAGCCAGCCUUGUGUUCUGUCUGAUGCAGUGGCGGACAGCUGCGUAGGGAAUCCUCCGACUCCUGUGCCGGACGGGGUUCAAUGUUUGGCGGGGGAUGUGCUGCUGCGGAGUGAGGAGGGCUGCGAAGAUGCUGAAGUAAUUCCCAUGACCCCGAUGGCCGUUUCCAGCCCUUGUCCUUCCUCUGGAGGGAGACGCAGACUGAUGUUCAAGACCGCUACAAAGCAAGCAAAGUUCAGGAACCCGCCCAUUGCGUUCUUCAGGCGGCGGCGGCGCGCUCCGAGGACCCCUGAGGGCGCCACACUUCCCCCUUGUUCCUCUGAUGAUCGGGGGGCAGGGAGCAGCCUGGGCGCCUUGCCUCCUGCCCCUACUGCUGGGGUGGCCGCGUCGCUCCUUCCACAUGGGUUGCCCCCGCUUGUGGAGUCCCAUGGGUCGCCAGGACAGCAGGAUUUUCUCCGUCGAGUUUCUAAGGCUGUUGGCGCCGUCCUUCCUCUUCCGAAGGCAGUGCGGGGAGGCCGACGACGGAGGCAGCCCACUUCCCUUCCGGACGCGAUACGCCGAAGUCGGCGCGUUGCGGGGUUGGGAGUGGAGCAAGUUCAGCAUAUUCCCAAAGCAAGAAGGACAAUCAUGAAGUCCAUCCUCACAGAGCCGGACAGUGAACAUUUCAGCCAACAAAAUCUGGAUGCUUAUGCGAAGCUCUUCCAAGCACCCUUGUCUCGUGCCCAGGUGGAGGCUCUCGCUGCUCUCUUUGGAUGGGUGAUGCCGGAUGAUGAAGGUGAGGUUGUUCCCCCUGGGACAGCCACUCUGGUCUGCUGAUUACAGCUCACGGUCGCCUACUAUUCCAACUGUUGUCCUAUGGAUCCUUCCCUAAUCCUAUUCUGGAAUGUUCGCGGUCUCAACUCUGACGCUAGACAGGAUGUUGUUAGGAGUUUGGUUGAUUCAUUAAGAGUAGAUGUUGUCUGUUUGCAAGAAACAAAGUUGGUUAAUUGCGAUCGUCGCACAGUUUUGUCAAUGUUAGGCGCUGAUUUUGACAAUAACUUCAUUUGUCUCCCCUCGGUUGGGGCAAGUGGUGGGGUGCUGAUUACUUGGAGAGAAAAAUUAGGAAGAAUCGUUGCCUCUCGCGUGGACUCCUUCAGUGUUUCAGUAAAAUUCAACCCUGCUGAUGGCGUGGCUUGGUGGCUCACCUGCGUGUAUGGUCCGCAGGGUCAUGACAGAAAAAUUGCAUUUAUUCAUGAGUUGAGAGCGAUCAGAGCUGCUUGCACCGGGCCUUGGCUCCUAGGGGGUGAUUUCAAUCUCAUUUUCAGAGACAAAGACAAAAACAACAUAAAUAUCAAUCGGCCCAUGAUGGGGAGGUUCAGAAGGUGCAUCAAUGAUUUAAGCAUCAAAGAUAUUGACCUCUUAGGCCAGAAAUAUACGUGGUCUGGCGCUAAGAAUGUGCAAGUCAAGCUGGACCGGGUUUUCUGUUCUUCGGAUUGGGAGGAAAAAUUCCCCAAUUAUCUGCUGCAAAGUUCGGCUUCAGAGGAUUCAGACCACUAUCCUCUCCUGUUGGGAUUGAAGGACAACCACACUGGGAAACGGAGAUUUCACUUUGAAUCAUUUUGGCCCAGAUUUGAUGGUUUUCUGGAAGCGGUAUCUAAUACCUGGGGUUCUGUUCAGCAGUCUUCUUGUCCCCUCAAGACCCUCUCCCUAAAAUUCAAGGCGACAACAAAAGGGCUGCAAAGUUGGAGUGACAGAAAGGUUGGAAAUUUCAAACUGCAACUUGAGCUUGCCAGAGAAAUUUUUCUGCAGCUUGAAGUGGCAAAAGAGAGCAGAAUUCUUAAUGUUCUGGAGACUUGGCUGUUUGGACGCUUGAAGAAAUGCUCUCUGCCUCUUGCAUCCUUAAUCCGCUCGAUGGCUAGGACUGGAUCAAGAAUCGCUUGGCUCAAAGAUGGUGAUGCUAAUACAAGGCUCUUCCACUAUUGGUCUCGUUAUCGGAAAAGAAAAAAUUUCAUAGCCAAAAUUCAAGACGGGGAGCAACUGGUGACCAGUCAUAGUGAUAAGGCAGAGGUGCUCCGGUCCUUUUAUUCAGAUCUGAUUGGUACAGGGCAGCAAAGAUCCAGAACUGUCAACCUUGACACCUUAGAAAUGCAGCACACUGACCUUCAGGGGCUCGAGCAGCCAAUCUCAGAGGAGGAGGUGUGGAAUACCAUCAAGCAGCUUCCUCCGGACAAGGCCCCAGGGCCUGAUGGGUUCACAGGCCGUUUCUAUAAGGUCUGCUGGUCAAUCAUCAAAAAAGACAUUAUGGCUGCUAUCAUGGCUAUCUGGAACAAGGACUUUCGGAAUUUCAGAUACCUCAACACAGCCUUCAUUACUCUUUUGCCUAAGAGAGAGGAUGUCAUACUCGCCAAGAACUUUCGACCUAUUAGCUUGAUCCACAGCUUCGCAAAAUUAAUCACGAAGAUCAUGGCAAGCAGACUUAGUGGUUAUAUGGACAAGCUGGUUUCUAGGAACCAAAGUGCGUUCAUCAAGGGCCGAUUCAUCCAAGAUAAUUUCAUGUUAGUUCAGCAAACUGCAAGACUGCUGCACGCUCAAAAACAGCCCAGAAUCCUUCUCAAGUUGGACAUUUCCAAGGCCUUCGAUUCGGUGUCUUGGUCCUUCUUACUUGAAGUAUUGGAAAUGGUUGGAUUCGGCCCCAUUUGGAGAGAUGUGAUCAGUGGGCUGCUUAUGACCUCCUCUACCCAAAUUCUACUUAAUGGAGUUCCUGGGGAAUUCAUUCAACACUUGAGGGGCCUGCGGCAGGGGGACUCGUUAUCCCCUCUCCUCUUCAUCAUCGUUAUGGAUGUUCUCAAUGGCCUAAUUGUUAAAGCUGCCGAUGAGGGUUUGCUUCAACCCCUCUCAACUCGCUCCAUCCAGCACCGAAUAUCGCUCUAUGCUGAUGAUGUGGUAAUUUUCUUGAGACCGGCUGCUAGUGAUCUGCACUUGGUAACAAGGAUUUUGGAGUUGUUUGGGGACGCCUCGGGGCUUAAAACCAAUGUUCAAAAAAGCAGUGUGGCUCCCAUUCACUGCUCUUCGGUAGACAUGGAAAUGGUAACCCAGAUUUUUCCUUGCAAAGUUGAAUCACUUCCUCUUAAAUAUCUCGGGCUGCAUCUUUCCCUCAGGAAGCUAAGCAAGGAGCAGCUGCAACCACUAAUCGAUAGGCUUGCAGACCUCUUACCUAAUUGGAAGGCCGACCUGAUGACUUGAGCUGGCAGAGCCAUCCAGGUGCAACAUGUGCUCACGGCAACAGUUAUAUAUCACGCCAUGGCAUUGGAUUUACCUAAGUGGGCUAUCAAAGCCAUUGACAAGAUUAGACGUGGCUUUCUUUGGAAAGGGCGUAAGGAUGUGCUCGGUGGCCACUGCUUAGUCGCUUGGGGCAAAGUGACACGCCCAAAGGAGCUUGGUGGGCUUGGCAUCUCAGAUUUACAAAAGCUGAAUUGGGCCCUUCGGGUUAGAUGGCUGUGGUUGGAAAAAACAGAUCCCUCGAAAUCUUGGGCUGAUUUACCUCUCCAGAGUUCCAGCAUUCUGAAAUCUAUCCUCUCUAUAGCUUUGAUUACAGAAAUUGGUGAUGGUCGUAACACCUUAUUUUGGAGGGACAAAUGGUUGAUGGGGUUGAGGAUUGAGGGUCUAACUCCUCAUAUUUUUGCCAUCGUCCCGACCAGGAUUACCAAUAGGAGAACGGUGGCUGAGGGUAUCGUGGAGAUGGCUUGGAUUCGGGACCUGAGAGGCACCAUCACUUGGGAUGUCCUCUCUGAUUUUUUAACUCUUAGUGAAGUCAUUGCAGAUUACUCCAUUAAUGUUGGAGUGCCAGACAAGCAUAUCUGGAAAUUCUCCCCGACAGGCCAAUACUCUUCAAAGUCGGCUUAUGAUAUGUUAUUUCUUGGUUCCACUUCUUUGGGAGCAUAUGAGCGCAUUUGGGAAUCUUGGGCACCUUCAAAGUGCAGUUUCUUUUUUUGGCUUGUCAUGCACAACAGAUGCUGGACCGCAGACCGUCUUGCUAGAAGGGGGCUACCCCACCCCAGUGUGUGCCCCCUUUGCGACCAAGAAGAGGAAACAAUACAACAUCUUCUCAUCUCUUGCGUCUUUGCACGACAGUUCUGGUAUUCCUUUUUAAGCAGGUCUGGGUUGCCUAACCUUUCACCAGAAAAUGCUAGUUGCAGCCUUGAUGACUGGUGGAGCAGAGCUGUGGAGAAGAUUCCCUGUGAUCUCCAAUCCGGCUUCAAUUCUCUAGUUAUUCUUGGCGCUUGGAGCCUUUGGCGUCAUCGCAACGACUGCGUGUUUAAUGGGAGAUCGCCAAGCCUGGCGUGUGCUCUCACCCUCGCUGGCGAUGAGCUCAGGAUGUGGUGUAGUGCCGCGGCAAAAGGGUUGAACCUGCUUUCAACUCUUAUGUUUAUGCUUGACCCAGGGGGAUAGUCUAGUGGCUUGUUCAGAGUGGUUGUGUGUGGUUGCUGUGUUGCGUCUUGUGUCUUGUUGUGUCAUGUGUGUGUGUGUCGUGUCAGGUGUGUGUCGGGUGUGGUGUGUUGUACCUUCUUCUAUCUAUUAAUGGAAUGAUACGCAGAUCUCCUGCGUGUUCGAGAAAAAAAAGAUAGAUAGAAGAAGGUACAUCACAUGCACACGCCACACACAUGACAUAACAAGACACAACAUACCAACAAACGCAACACAACCACCACACUCAACCACUCUGGACAAGACACAAUACUAUCCCCCUGGGUCAAGCAUAAACGCAAGAGUUGAAAGCAGGUUCAACCCUUUCGCCCCGGCACUACACCACAUCCUGAGCUCAUUGCCAGCGAGGGUGAGAGUACGUGCAAGGCUCGGCGACCUCCCAUUGAACACACAGUCGUUGCGAUGACACCAAAGGCUCCAAGCGCCAAGAAUAACUAGAGAAUUGAAGCCUGAUUGGAGAUCACGGGGAAUCUUCUCCACAGCCCUGCUCCACCAGUCAUCCAGGCUGCAAAAACCGUUGUCCGGUGAAAGAUUAGGCAACCCAGACCUGCUCAACAAGAAGUACCAGAACUGUCUUGCAAAGACGCAAGAGAUGAGAAGAUGUUGUAUUGUUUCCUCUUCUUGGUCACAAAAGGGACACGCACUGGGAUGGGGAAGUCCUCUUUUAGCAAGACGGUCCGCGGUCCAGCAUUUGUUGUGCAUGACAAGCCAAAGGAAGAAUCUGCACUUUGAAGGUGCCCAAGACUCCCAAACAUGCUCAAAUGCUCCAAAAGAAGUGGAACCUAGAAAUAGCAUAUCAUAUGCCGACUUUGCAGAGUAUUGACCUGUCGGGGAGAAUUUCCAGAUAUGCUUGUCUGGCACACCAUCACUAAGGGAGAAAUCUGUGAUGACUUCACUAAGAGUUAAAAAAUCAGAGAGGACAGCCCAAGUGAUGGUGCCUCUCAGGUCCCGAAUCCAAGCCAUCUCCACGAUACCUUCUGCCACCGUUCUCCUAUUGGCAAUCCUGGCUGGGACGAGGGCGAAAAUAUGAGGAGUUAGGUCCUCAACACUCAGCCCCAUCAACCAUCUGUCCCUCCAAAACAAGGUGUUACGACCAUCACCAACUUAUGUAGUCAAAGUUGUAGAGAGAAUAGAUUUUAGAGUGCUGGAACUCUGGAGAGGUAAAUCAGCCCAAGACUUCGAGGGAUCUGUUUUUUCCAACCACAACCAUCUAACUCGACGGGCCCAAUUCAGCCUUUGCAAAUCUGAGAUGCCAAGCCCACCAAGCUCCUUUGGGCAUGUCACUUUGCCCCAAGCAACUAAGCAGUGGCCACCGAGCACAUCCUUUCGACCUUUCCAAAUAAAGCCACGUCUAAUCUUGUCAAUGGCUUUGAUAGCCCACAUAGGUAAAUCCAAAGCCAUGGCGUGAUAUAUAACUGUUGUCGUGAGUACAUGCUGCACUUGGAUAGCUCUGCCAGCUCGAGUCAUCAAGUCAGCCCUCCAAUUAGGUAAAAGGUCCGCAAGCCUAUCGAUACGUGGUUGCAGCUGCUCCUUGCUUAACUUCCUGAGAGAAAGAGGUAGCCCGAGAUAUUUAAGAGGGAGCGUUUCAACUUUGCAAGGAAAAAUCUGGGUUACCAUUUCCAUGUCAACCGGAGAGCAGUGAAUGGGGCCCAUACUGCUUUUCUGAACAUUGGUUUUUAGCCCCGAGGUGUCCCCAAACAACUCCAAUAUCCUGGUUACCAAGUACAGAUCACUAGCAGCCGGUCACAAGAAUAUCACCACAUCAUCAGCAUAGAGCAAUAUUCGGUGCUGAAUGGAGCGUGUUGAAAGGGGUUGGAGCAUGCCCUCAUCAGCAGCUUUAACAAUUAGGCCAUUGAGAACAUCCAUAACGAUGAUGAAAAGAAGAGGGGAUAGCGAGUCCCCCUGCCGCAGGCCCCUCUUGUGUUGAAUGUAUUCCCCAGGUACUCCAUUAAGCAUAAUUUGGGUAGAAGAGGUCAUAAGUAGCCCACUAAUCACAUCUCUCCAUAUGGGGCCGAAUCCAACUUUUUCCAACACUUCAAGAAGGAAGGACCAAGACACCGAAUCGAAGGCCUUGGAAAUGUCCAGCUUGAGAAGAAUUCUGGGCUGUUUUUGAGCGUGCAGCAAUCUUGCAGUCUGCUAAACUAACAUGAAGUUGUCUUGGAUGAAUCUGCCCUUGAUAAACACACUUUGGUUCUUAGAAAUCAACUUGUCCAUAUAACCACUAAGUCUGUUUGCCAUGACCUUCGUGAUUAACUUUGCGAAGCUAUGGAUCAAGCUAAUAGGCUGAAAGUCCUUGGCAAGGAUGGCAUCCUCUUUCUUAGGUAACAGAGUGAUGAAGGUUGUGUUGAGGUAUCUGAAAUUCCGAAAAUCCUUGUUCUAAACAGUCAAGAUAGCAGCCAUAAUAUCUUUUUUAAUGAUUGACCAGCAAGCCUUUUAGAAACGGCAUGUGAACCCAUCAGGCCCCGGGGCUUUGUCCGGAGGAAGCUGUUUGAUGGUAUUCCACUUAUCAAAAUUAUUCCACUUGGAUAGCUCUGCCAGCUCGAGUCAUCAAGUCGGCCCUCCAAUUAGGUAAGAGGUCCGCAAGCCUAUCGAUAAGUGGCUGCAGUUGUUUCAAAAUUAUUGUGGUGCUAUUUGAGUGCCUUUUUUCUCAUUACAAUUUCACAUGCUUAUGUGAAUCGCAUAGCGCCCGAUAGGGCGCUGUCUUAUUCUAGUGUGAGUAUAAAAACACCAUAAAUAUUUCUUGUGUCAUGUUCCAUCCACUAACAAGAAAUCGGCAUAUGAAUUCAUUCUAUUUCACAACCAUUUAACUCAAAGAGUGAUUUGUAUCAUUUAAUUGCGCAAGUCAUAUUCAGAUAUGUAACCAUUAGAUUGGCAUUAACCAUUAGAUUGGGAGAAUACCUGUAUUACUAUUUUGAAACCACACACGAGCAUUGUUAACCUACAGAUUAAUGAUGUCAAUUUGUAUGCAAGAGGAUAGGCAAAGUGACAAACUGAGUACACAUGAUAAAUCCACCUAAUUCAAGACAUGUCUGCUGCUAAUAAUAAUAUUGAUGCUAUUCUAUACCAUGUAUAUCAUGUGUAAUCAAUCUAAGAAAAACCUGAGUUUGUAUACCUGAGACAGAAACAUGAAUGGCUCCACAAGGCAAAACCGCUUCCAAAACAUGCAUUGUUAUCUUCCCAGAACUGCUGAUCACACAUAUGCAAAAAAACCUUGCAUAGUAUGAAUGUAACAAAAGGCUAAAUUAUAACAAAGAAAAGCUUAAUUUUUUUUGAAACGAACCAGACAGGAGAGCUGCCAAUUAUAUUAAUAAAGGAGAAGGGUCCGGAUGGGACAGAGCAACAAAACAUGCAGUUGGAUUGGGACACCAACAUGCCAAACUCACCGGUUGGAUUGGACAUCAACACGACACUACACACACCGCCCACAGAAUGCACAAACAUCCCCGACAACGGGAGCCCCUCACACACAACCCAUCCAGAGUUAUCGUUGCGGAGCUCGACCCAAGGGACAAGCAGCUCCGACUCCGCAAAACGGGUCGUACAUGGCCAAAGAAAACACGACGACGCCUACAACCAAACACACUAGCACAGAAGGAGAAAGAUCACAGUGUGUCGUUGCCAAGCCUCAACACACCCCACGUGAGAGAGCUCCGAUUCUUCACCAAAGAGCUUUUCCCCCGUCCUACCCCCAGUAGAUGCACGACCCUUCGAAACAAUCCAGUCCACGAAGAAGGGGGCUCGUCAGCUGUCAUUGUUGCCGAGCCACAAUGCCUGAUGCAGCAGCUUUGACUUCACCUUGCAAAGCCCAUCUUCACCCGCAUACCAGACGUCGAGAAUCAAAAGCAACCAUCGAAGGCGAAGCUGAGGCCGAGAUAAACUUCAAUGCGACGCCUUUAGGAAGGGAGUGACGUCGGGGACGACAUCGUCGCGAGUCCGAGAUGGACCAGGCUUUCGCCCAAGGAAGAAAAUGUUGGGGAAUACGACGCCCCCAACAGGGAAGCGGCGCCCACGGGCGUCGCCGUCGCCUAGGCUCUCGCCCAAGAAGCACCCAGCACCAACGCUAGGCCAAGAGCUACCGUCGUCGCCGUCCUCCAUACCAUAUGCGUCACACAGGCACGUGUCAGAGUCGCACCCAGCAGCCGAUGGCACUAGCACACACGGCCACCGAAUCUAGAUGUCGCCGAGCACCCUGCCACCUUGCGUCGUCCUGGCCACUGACCGGCGCCACCCCUCAUAAACGUGCGACCUCAAGCACCGCCACGCCGACGCCGGAGCGUCGAGCCACCACCAUCGCAGCAUCACACAGCCGCACGCCGAGGCCACAAAUGACCAACGUCGUUGGCCCGGCACCUGUCGAUGUUGCCGCCAUCAUCCGCCAGCAGCCACAGGACGUGUGCCCCACCAUCUCGGGUGUCGCCCCUGCCCUGAGGCCACCGGAUCUGGAUGGCAGGCCCCAAAACCGGUGUCCCUGCAGACGUCGCGGCCUCCGUGUCGACCACAACCGUGAGCACCACCCUGGGUCAUCGCCAAACGCCAAGGCCACCGCCCGAACACCGCUAGUCGGUCGGUCGAAGGAGGUUGUCGCCCCCACCACAGCAGCAGUCAAGGCCGUGAGGGGAGAGGUUGCAAAGAAGAGAGCGCCACCCCACAACACCUGCACAAGCCCCAACCAACUGCCGCCACCGUAACCGUCAUCGGCCGCCACCGCACAAAUUGCCAGCUGCUGAGGCAGAUCCGGUCGACAGGGUCCAGAUCCGGCCCCCGAGCACCGGAUCCGACCGUCUGGGCCACGGGUCAGCAACCCCAGGUUGAGCUGUCGUCGUCGUCAUGAAAGGAGGAGGGGAACAUGUGGAGAGAAAGAAAGGGGCCCCGCCGCCGCCCCCUACACCUGCACGGACACCAGUCGGCGCCGCCAGAGCCGCAACAGCCACCCACGUCAACUCCACGGAGCCGCAUGAGGGAUGGCUUGCCGGCUAAUGGAUAUAUGUAGGAAACCUUAAUCCUUUAAGCUCUUUAUUCAUCUCACCAAGUAAACUAUAAAAGAAGGGGAAAACACUUGCAUAGACAAAAUCGUUUCAUAUUGUGCAAUGUUAUUAAAAGUAGUUUAUUUGAUUCAAUGUAUUUUCUUUUAAAAAAACUUUUGAUAAGCAAUAUUCUAGAACAAGACGUCAUAGUUUGUGUGAUAUUGUGUACCUCGGUGUGCCUUCCUUCAUACUUCAUACGCACUUCCCAGCAAGUCCACACCUGAAUGGAACCCACUCUACUUGAUGGAAAUCUAAUUUGCCAUUAACGAUUAUAAUAUCAAAUUUACGGUAGCUUCCUGUAAUUCAUACACAAAUGACCGUUGUUUGUCAAAAAAACUGUCAAAUAUUGGUUUCAGACAUAGUUAGGAUUUGCUCUUCAGCUAAGACAAAUUGGAAUGGUAGGAAGACAUGCAAUUCGCAAAAGUAGAGUAUUGAUCUGGGAAUUACUGAUAAAAUUUUGAAACAUACCCAAGGCUAUAUUGGGAACAAAAAACUUACCCAAGGCUUGUUUCUGUGGGCGUGGUAAGGUGGCUGUCGUACAACUACUAUAUGCUAAUCUAUUAUUUGUCCAAAGGCACCAUGGAUCUUGUCAAAAGAAAACAUGGAUAUGAUGUUUAGAGGCCAAGAAUAUGUAGUACUUUGUAAGCAAUAGAAAGGAAAUAAUAUGUAAAUCUGAUGGGAAAUUCUUGACAAGCUCCCUCUAAAAGAGAACUGGAAUGGGUUAUGGGCCAAAGCAACAAAGCUCAUGGAAGUAGAAAAUGGACAAUUCAAAGAACAAGUGUCAUUAAUAGCGUGCAUUUGAGAUAGAGCCAUAUCACAAAGUGGUAAAAUGGCAAAGUUGAAUAAUAUGAAAUUUAAAUGAAGAGAUGGAAGGGGCAAGGGAAACGUACACUCUUUUGAAGGGGAUUGGAGCCACACAAAGAUAACAACCUUCACAUGAUUAAUUAUAGAGAGGAACACUGGAGUCGGUAGUAGCAGAAAAACGUUCUCAAACCAAAAACAAUCCGGUCACAGAAACAACAGUGACCACACACACAUGGCUAACGAGCACGAUGCAGUGGUGUAUACUAUUUAUGUAUUUAUUUUUUUGAAAAGGCAGGAGGUCUGCCAAGAUAUAUUGAUAAGAAGAAUAACAAGAGGUUUAAGUCAAUACAGUGACCGAAGCACUAGGCAAAGAUCCAACCUGAAGAGAAGUAAACAAAAAUAAAAAACAGACCCCACUAAAUAGUUGUUAAGGGGUAACUAGGUGCUUGGCCCCUGCCAAAUUCCAGGCUGCUGCCUCACUCUUGAUUUUGGCAAUGAUUUGUUGGCAGCUCGAGAAUCUGCGAUCAAAGAUUCUCGCAUUUCGUUCUCGCCAAAUCUCCCAGUUUACAAGGAUCAAAAGUGAUCUGAUGCCUUUUCUAUUGCAUCCCGGCAAAAAAGCCAGCUUUUCCCACCAAUGCCCCAGCGAGGGGGGUCGCCCCCAGUUAGACGGCUUCAGGCCCUCAACAGCUACCCAAACAGCAACUUCCUCCCAAAUUCUUUUGAUGAAACGACAUUCCACAAAAAGAUGAAGCCCCGAUUCCUGGGCAGCACGACACAAGACGCAAAUUGGUUCAUGGGGCCAAUUCCUGGCGGCUAAUCGAUCUGCUGUCCAAAUGCGAUUUUGAAUUGCUAACCAGCUGAAAAACUUGCAUUUUGGAGGCGCCUAAUUCUUCCAGAUGAUGAGGUCAUAAUUUGUGUGAACAGAGCCCAAAAAUUGUGCCUGAUAUGCCGAUUUGACUGUGUAGCGGUGAUCCGCAGUGAAAUUCCAGGUGAUGGCAUCAUCACGCUCUGGGUGAAACUGGAUCUUUUGGACUUCAGACCAAAGAAUGCAGAACUCAUGAAUGUGGUGGGGAGUAAUCGGUCUGUCGAACAGCGCAAGAUCCAUGAUCCAGGCAUUGUUUGUGACCGCCUCCGCUAAAGAUUUCCUCUUAUUUCUUGAUAUAGAAAAGAGACGAGGCGCCAAGUCCUUUGGCCUUUGCCCCCUCACCCAAGCGUUGCCCCAGAAGGAGAUUUUAGAACCAUCACCAAUCUCAAUGGUCGUCGAUGCCGCAAAAAGCAGUCUAUCAACAUCAGAGCAAGGAAUCUCUAAGUUGUCCCAAAUAUUCUGUGAUGAGGUGCAAUUAUGCCAGAGCCAUCGCGCGCGCAAGGCACGUGCAAAAGCGCCCAAAUCAAGAACUCCCAAGCCCCCAAGGGAUUUUGGCCUCGCCACCACUUUCCGCCCGUCAGUCGUUCAGAACCAGCCCAAAGGAAUUGUCUUCUUUUGGAGUCUAGAAGGCUAAUCGUUGCCUUGGGAGCAUUAAGGGCGGUUAAUAGAUAAAUUGGUUGUGAGGUAAGCACUGUUUUCACCAGAGUUAAGCGCCCUGCCACUGAGAAAUUUCUCCCAUUCCAGCUACUCAGUUUGUUCAAUACUUUGUCCACCAAAAACUGGAAGUGCCCCUUCCUGAGUCUAGUUGUGGAGAGAGGGAGGCCCAGGUACCGGAUCGGGAAGGUUGCUCUUCUGGCUGGGAAGCAACUAAGGAUGUCAUCAAGGGGUAGCCCCUGGCAACGGAUUGGGACGAUCAUGGACUUCUGAAAAUUGGUCAUCAGACCAGAGGCCUCGCCAAAUGAGGUGAGCAACUUGACAAUUGUCUCACUAUCCUCUUUUUUCGGCUUAACAAACAAAGCUGCAUCAUCAGCAUAUAGCGAGAUCCUAAUGCUGGGCGAGCUGUUUCCCAACUUGUUCAAUGCUCCACUGUCCGCGGCGAUCUUUAGAAUUUUUUGCAAAGGGUCUAUCGCCAAGACGAACAGAAGAGGGGAGAGAGGAUCGCCUUGCCUGAGACCUCUCUCAUGAUGAAUAGGAGGGUUAGGGACCCCGUUAACGAGCACUCUUGAUGUUGAGGUGGAGAGGAUAGAAGCGAUCCAGUCAGUCCACCUCACAGGGAAUCCCAAAUUGCGGAGUAAGGCAAUCAAGUAAUCCCAGCGGACGGAGUCAAAAGCUUUUUCAAUGUCUAGCUUGAGGAAUAGCGUGGGCGAAUUGAUACGCUGGAAGCGUCUAACAGUGCUUCUAACUGCAAGGAAGUUUUCAUGAAUGCUCCUUUUUUGAAUGAAGGCACUUUGGCAAGGUGAAACUAACUCAUUCAUUCUCGGCGCCAGACGAAGAGCCAGGGUUUUGGUGAUAAUCUUAAUGAAAGAAUGGAUGAGGCUUAUAGGUCUGAAGUCCCCAGCUACCUCCGCGCCUUCCUUUUUGGGGAUUAGAAUGAUGUUUGCUGAAUUGAUUAAUUGGAGGUUGAGGCAUCGAUUAUUAUAGAAAGCAUUCACUGCAGCCAUGAGAUCAUGGCUUAUAAUGGUCCAACAAGAUUUAAGGAAAACACCAGUGAAGCCGUCCGGCCCUGGAGCCUUAUCUCCUGGUAAAAGAUCAAUACUUCUCUUAAUUUCCUCCUCGGAGAACGGCGCGUCGAGGCUUGAUAGAUCAAACUGCUAGUCAGAGAUAAUGUCCCAGUUAAGGUCGACAGAUCUAGGGGUUGGCCGCUUUAAAGCAUUAUGGAAGAAAUUUUGUAGCUCUUGCGCUUUUUCAUUGUGAGAGAAGACCCACCCAUUACCGCUCCGCAACCGUUGAAUGAAAUUUUUUCGCCUCCUGGAGCCAGCUUUCCGGUGGAAAAAUUUAGUGUUGGCAUCUCCGAAUUUAAGCCAAAGCAUGCGUGAGUUUUGCCUGUUUCGUGCCCUUUCAAUUACCGCAUAGCCAAGGAUGCGCAUCUUCAAUCUAUUUCGGAGGUUCACUUCCAUGUCGGACAGUCCCCUAUUUUCUUGUGCCAUGUCCAGUCUUAGAAUAACUUCUAGGGCCAUAUACAUAAAGAGUCUAGCAUCAGGUAUUAACUUGGAGCUCCAUUCCUUAAGCGCCUUGGCCGUGAACUGCAGUUUGUAGUACAGCCUAUGAAAAGGCUCACGAUGUUGGGUCGGUGCCAGCCAGGCUUGCUCAACUGUAUGCUGGAAACCUGGUAAUUUGGUCCAGAAAUUCUCAAAUCUAAAGGAACGUGGACGCCUCGGCAUAGUACUAUUGGAUAGGAGCAGCGGGCAGUGGUCAGAGACCGAGGAUGAUAGUGCAUGCAGACCAAAUAUUCCGAACAUCUCCUCCCAUUCAGAGUUGCAGAAGAAUCUGUCUAGUCUUACGAGAGUGGGAUGUCGUCUCUCAUUGCUCCAAGUGAACUUCCUGUUUUGCAAAGGAAUUUCUUUCAAGUCGCAAAUGUCAAGAGCUUGCCUGAACAGAAGCAUUAGGCGAGGGUUGACUCUAGAAUUGUUUUUGUCGCUUGCUUUGUAUGUGCAGUUGAAAUCCCCAAGGACCAACCAGGGGGAAGGUGAAGGAGGCCUCUGUGCACUCAUCUCUCUUAGAAAAUCAGGCUUGCGGCCUCUACAAGAUGGUCCAUAGACGACUGUCAGGUAGAAGGAAGCACAACGAUCCUUAAGAGAGACAUUUGCGGAUAUGUGGAAUUCUCCGAUAGUAAAAUUGGACAAUUCGAGUAGGUCGCUAUCCCAAAGCAAAAGAAUACCACCUCGGGUUCCACUAUUUCCUUCCGCAGGUUUAAAACUGAAUUUAUUAAGCUUUGGUCCUCCAAGCGCCAUCACAAUGGACCUGUCGACCGUUGAUAAUUUAGUCUCUUGCAAACAGGCAAGAUGGCAAGUGGUGGUGGAGAUCAUCGCGCGCACUGCAUCUCGGUGCGCUUGCAAAUUUAAACCCCUUACAUUCCAGCACAGGAUGCUAAAGUCAGACAUGGAGGAGAAAAGGACCCCGAUUAAUUGCCGACAGCUGGAUGAAAUUCCAGCACUGCACAAUAAUGACAGUGAAACUUAAAGGGGCCAGCAGGGCCAACACAAGCAUGGCUGUUAUAGGUCUGAAGCAAAACAGCAACCCAAUACAGUCCAGGGUGCUCACAAAAGUAGUAGAAACUGAACUGAGACUCAUUGACAUAACAAAAGCAGACCCUCAUCAUCUAACAUGGAGCUAAAACAGCCAUCAAUCAAGCCGCAGCAACUGCUCUGGCCUCUGCAUGCAUAGCGUCCACCUCCUCUUGGAUCUCAGCUAUAGCAUCUCCAGCAAUUCCCAUCAAGGCCUUGUCGAGGCGAACUGUGUCUGGCGUAUCAAGAUUGAACAGAGCAUCUAGGGCCGUCCCCAUCUCCACAGUCAGUGGCUUCUUGAACCAAUCCUGAAAUUCCUGCAAAGCAGUAUUAAAAUCAGCAGCGUCAUCUUUUGCCAAGAGACCAAGCUUGCGGUAGAGGACGCGCUGGGCCCGUUGCAUGACAUUCGUUCGAGGGCCGUUGGCAAGUCUGGCGCUACGACGUACCGUCGAAAGGUUGAAGCCGUGUCGCUGCUUGAUUCUUCUAGCAGGUGCUGCAGGAAUAGUAGACAGAGUGGUCGCUGGUGUUGUUACCCCCUCCGAAGGAUGUAGCACUGGUCGCUCGAGUAUGGCAGGCGAGGGCUUGGUGAAUAUGGUGUUGAGUAGAUGGCUUUGCGCGGUGGUUGACACCGCUGCAACAUCUGUUGAAGGUUCAUGCACCGCAGCUAUCAUCCGAGAGGAAGCGUCGACAUUGGAGUCCUUCACAGCUUCGGUGUUGUAGCCCGCAGCAACCGUGCUGCAGGGAGAGCCUAACAGCACAUGGUCCUCCUCAGACUGCACCAAAGGCAGUAGCUGCAUAGCAGGGCAUGUUGGAAGGGAAUCGAGAAUAGUUGUGAAUGCUCGCUGCACUGGAAUGAGACUUACGUUGUCUGCGAAGUUCAUCCUGCUGCCAUCCCAGACAGCAAGGUUGCUGUCGCCAGCAGCAGCCCCAGGGACCGGAUCGACUUGGCCCUUAGGCACCAAGCGCGGUCGCCUUCGGUACACGCAGCCAACGCGGUAACGACCUUUAGGGAGAGCUGCAGCCUUCACAGCAGGGCGCGAAGAACCGUCGUUGCCACCACCGCGUGAGCUGCGGAUGCCGGGACUGCAGGCGCUUGGUGGAAAUCUGGGGCGAGCAGGAUGCCGUGGGGGGGUCGCUGAACGGCCACGCCGGACAGCAACACGGGUGGAACGGCGCACACGGUUGCGUCCACGUAUCGCCAGGUCACGACCAAUCGCCGGGUCACGGCCAACAUGUGGCGUAACCAACGACGUGCCUCCGGCAUGACGAGGCUGCUGAUCGCCGUGAAGGUGGCGACAAAGUUGCUGAUCGCCGUCGAGGUGGUGACGCCGCCUGGGUGAGUCAUGGUGCUGGCCAUGGCGCGACCCCGAGCGCUCCCGCUCGCGGUCCCUGGGAGCCCGCGAGAUGCUACGAAAGAGCCGGGAGCUCCAACUGUCGUCGCGUCCUGGGCGGCGACCACGACGGUCACUAUCACCAUCCUCAUCCCUGCGACGGUUGCUGCGAGGUGGUGGAGGGUCGUGACGGUCACGUGGUUCGCACUCGCCGUCAACAACACCAAGCCGCCAAUCAUACACACGUGUAUGCCCAUGGCCAUCCCUGGUAGGGGGGGUCUUCCACCAUAUCAAGGUGGACGAUGACCCUGAAGGUUAAGCCGCUACACCCCACCGGUGUCGCGUCGUGGGCAGUGUUGCUCCUGUCAACAAUGGUCAGCCACGUUACCUUAGGUAUGUCAGAUGGGUUUCGCGCCCACGCCCACAGAUUGAGCGUCGUAGCAUCCUCCAUUCGCAGCGACUGGGCUUCAACGUAGUCCAGCACACAGGACUUAGCCACCGCACGCUUAGCGAUGCCAUCGUUCCAUGCGUGCAGAGGGAUGCCUUCCAGGCACAGGCGCACGUGGGAGCCGAAGACGCUGUGGUCACCGUGGACGGGGAGCUGCCACAGCCUGACGCGGAUGUCGAUGUUGUUGUAGGUGAAGUCGCGUUGCGCCACAGCCGUGUCCCGGUGAUGCUGGUGUUCAAAGGUGACGAGGAAGUCCUCUGGAUAGUGUCUCACCACCUUGAUGUCUUCUUCGCGCAUCCUGAACCUAGAGCAGAAAGCCCUUCUUACUGUGUUGGUGCUUGUUGCCGGUCGAACGCCGCCGAGCCAGGCCCAUGCCGCGUGGGUGCUCAGCCGCGCCAGCUCGUUGUCCAUGUCCCGAGAGGACGCGGCAACAGCGAAAGUCUCCUGCGGGCGCUCCAUGGGGUUGCCAGGCUUCACCAUGUUGACUUGGCGCAGAGGAGGGAAGUUGACGUUGUCGAAGCAGGGAGGUGGUGGGAAGGCAGAGGGGGUAGAAGCAGCAGCACUAAUCUUCUUGAGACAUUGCCAGGCUCUGUAUCCAGGGCCGCCGCAGUUGAAGCAUUUCAACGGAUCCCUGCAAUCAAUGGCGUAGUGCCCUCUGGCCAGACAUCGGAAGCAUUUACCUCUCAGGCUUACCUUAAGAUUUUUGUUGUCCAGAUGGCGGAACCUUGAAUGCUCGGUUGUUGGCUUCAAUGAAGUCGCAGGCGAAUUGAAUCUCUUGCGGAGUCGCCGAUGGACCGUUGUCCAGCCAGGCAAAUCUUCAGCGCCGGAUUCAGCGGAUUUGCUGCGUUGAGGAGUGAUGGGACGCAGGCCUGGGUAUUGAAGUCGGUGGGAAGCAGUCCCAUCCCGGCCGUGCGGAGUGAUUUUCGUUGGAGCAGCAGACGCGUCAAAGCAGGAACGAUGAGAUUGGUCGGCGGACAGAGCUGAUUCGGCGAACCUAACUCUCCUGGUGCAGGCGGCCUUAGCUGUCGACGAACCGGCGGCAGGCUUGAGGCAGGACCGCAUCGAAGAAGAAGUCCCGGAGUCAGAUCUAGGAAUGCGGGCGUCCGCGUCGAAUGCUGGAAUCCCCACCGAGGCAGGGUGGCUCUGGAGGAUGGAGGCCUGAUCAAUGGGGUGAUGGAGGGGUUGGGGUUGGUUUUCCGGCGAGUAGGCGGGGGGAGCGGCAGCGGCGGCAGGUGCGGUGCUAGCCGCCGUAUUUAUUAAGAAUGUAACUGGAGACAUUAAACGUGUACACAGUACACAUGCCAACAUUUUACCAGUGGAGAAUGAAUCCAACAGCGCCGGACCAAACCUUUUUUUUCUUUUUUUUCUUUUCACAACGAAAUUGGUUGGAAUUGGACCCAAUGCUCUAGCCAACAUACAGUACGCCCAAGUACAGAACCAAAGAUGGAUGAGGGUGAUGAAUCUGCAGAAAUAGAAGUUGCAGAUGAAGCUGAACCAUGCUCUGGGAUAAAGAGGGCAAGCACUCGGACAAAGUCAAAUAAUGGAAAAAGAACCCAAGCAUCCAUGAGCAACUGUGGUUUCAGCUCCACCAAAACCACAAACACAAAAGCAUUGCAAGCAUGUGAAAAGGCACAGAUGCAAACAUUAUUAGGUUACUCAUCAUGCUAGAUCCAAGAAAAACAAAUAAUCAAUUUCCACAAGAAAAUUAAUUUCAAGAGAUCAACAAAGAGAGUAUAAACAAGAUGAUUUACUAUCGAUGGGAUUGAUAUUGACCCAUUAAGUCUCCACCUGCGAGUGCUAGAGUGGAUCACUAUAGACCUCACCAGUACUGGUGAGAAGGAACCUGGCUUUGAUCCUCUUUGCCAAUCCAUGCAUGUUCAGAGUCCCAACACAUUUUUCAUGUGCUAUCACAAAGGUUAAGGCUAACAUAAAUCAUGUCAAGCUACAACAACAAGCAGUAUAAAAAGGCAAAUUGCCCCUAACAAAUGUGGCAAAAGGUAGAAGUGCCUACUCAUUUCCAGCAAAGAUAAUGGAUUUGUUUUUAAUGUAGAGUACAUCUAAUUCACAUCUAAAACAAGAGACAAUACUCCUCAAUAAUUAGCAUGGAUCCCGAAGCACCUUAAUUCAGUAAACUAAAUGAUCAAUAACACAUUAUGGUCCUCUCCAACACCCCCAACCCCCCCCUCCAAAAAAAAGUUGUCGUUCUUUUUUUGCGAGUCUAGAGGUAAUAGUAUUGGAAGCACAAUCUCAAAUGAGUACCAGGUGGCGAGUAAAAGUAAGAUAGUGUUUGAAUGCAUUAGAGCUAAUAGUUAGUUAGCUAAAAAUUUGUUAGUAGAAUUAGCUAGCUAAUAAAUAGCUAGCUAACUAGUAGCUAAUUUACUAAAAAUAGCUAAUAGUUAAAAUAUUAGCUAGGGUGUUUGGAUGUCUCCAACUAAUUUUAGCCACUAACUAUUAGCUCUAGUGCAUUCAAACACCUAAGAAUGAAAUCCAUAUAGGCAAAAGGUAAACAGAAGUAUGCAUUCAGGUGGAUUUGUUGGUUAUUACAGAACACUGAGCAAACAAAAAAACAUCUGUUUAUGUUAGGUAAUGUUGAGCUAAAUGGACAGACCAAAAUAGUUACGUCACAGAACAAAGAGAAUAAAUACUAAAAGAGGUAGGUGUCGCUCACAACUUCUACAUUAUUUUGGUAUUCAGAACUUGAACUCUAGUUUCUGCAGAAUGUGGCCUUCAGACCGUCAGGUCCAAUGCCUUUGUGCCAGGAGUCAUAGGCGAGGAGAUCCACAAGCUGACAGCUGUGGGGUUCAUCAAAGAGGUAUUCCAUCCUGAAUGGUUAGCCAACCCUGUGCUUGUGAAAAAGAAAAGUGGGAAAUGGAGGAUGUGUGUAGACUACACUGGUCUAAACAAAGCAUGUCCGAAGGUUCCCUACCCUCUGCCUCGCAUCGAUCAAAUCGUGGAUUCCACUGCUGGGUGCGAAACCCUAUCAUUCCUCAAUGCCUACUCAGGGUAUCACCAAAUCAGGAUGAAAGAGUCCGACCAGCUCGCAACCUCUUUCAUCACACCCUUUGGCAUGUACUGCUAUAUUACUAUGCCAUUUGGUUUGAGGAAUGCAGGCGCAACAUACCAAAGGUGCAUGAACCACGUGUUCGAAGAGCACAUCGGCCGAACGGUCGAGGCUUACGUCGAUGACAUCGUAGUCAAGACGAGGAAAGCCUCCGACCUCCUCUCUGGCCUUGAAACGACAUUCAAGUGUCUGAGAGCGAAAGGCGUAAAACUCAAUCCCGAGAAGUGUGUCUUCGGAGUCCCCCGAGGCAUGCUCCUGGGGUUCAUCGUCUCCGAGCGGGGCAUCGAGGCCAACCCGGAGAAAAUCGCGGCCGUCACCAACAUGGGGCCUAUCAAAGACUCGAAAGGAGUACAGAGGGUCAUGGGAUGCCUUGCGGCUCUGAGCCGCUUCAUCUCGCGCCUCGGCGAAAGAGGCCUACCCCUGUACCGCCUCUUAAGGAAGACCGAGCGCUUCACUUAGACCCCCGAGGCCGAGGAAGCCCUCGGGAACUUAAAGGCGCUCCUUACAAGCGCGCCCAUCUUGGUGCCCCCCGCUGCGGGAGAAGCCCUCUUGAUCUACGUAGCCGCAACCACUCAGUUGGUCAGCGCCGCGAUCGUGGUCGAGAGACGAGAAGAAGGGCAUGCACUGCUCGUCCAGAGGCCGGUCUACUUCAUCAGUGAAGUACUAUCCAAGACCAAGAUCCGCUACCCGCAAAUUCAGAAGUUACUGUAUGCAGUAAUUCUGACGCGGCGAAAGUUGCGACACUACUUCGAGUCUCAUCCGGUGACUGUGGUGUCAUCCUUCCCCCUGGGGGAGAUCAUCCAGUGCCGAGAGGCCUCGGGUAGGAUUGCAAAGUGGGCGGUGGAGAUCAUGGGCGAAACAAUCUUGUUCGCUCCUCGGAAGGCCAUCAAGUCCCAAGUCUUGGCGGACUUUGUAGCUGAAUGGGUCGACACCCAGCUUCCAACAGCUCCGAUCCAGCCGGAACUCUGGACCAUGUAUUUCGACGAGUCGCUGAUGAAAAUAGGAGCAUGUGUGGGCCUGCUCUUCAUCUCACCCCUCGGGAAGCACCUCCGCUACGUGCUACGCCUCUAUUUCCCGGUGUCAAACAACAUGGCCGAGUACGAGGCUCUGGUUAAUGGGUUGUGCAUCGCCAUCGAGCUAGGGGUUCGGCGCCUCGACGCUCGUGGUGGCUCGCAGCUUGUCAUCAACCAAGUCAUGAAGAACUCCCACUGUCGCGACCCGAAGAUGGAGGCCUACUGCGACGAGGUUCGGCGCCUGGAAGACAAGUUCUACGGGCUUGAGCUCAACCACGUCGCUCGACGGUACAACGAGACUGCGGACGAGCUGGCUAAAAUAGCCUCGGGGCGGACAACGGUUCCCCCGGACGUCUUCUCCCGAGACCUACAUCAACCCUCCGUCAAGACCGACGACACGCCCGAGCCCGAGGAGGCCUCGGCCGCCGAAGGUGGGGCACUGCGUGUCAAGGAAGAGCGGAAUGGGGUCACGCCUAAUCGAAACGGGCAGGCCCCGUACCUGCAAUAUCUCCACCGAGGAGAGCUACCCCUCGACAGAGCCGAAGCUCGGCGACUGGCGCGGCGCGCCAAGUCGUUCGUCUUACUGGGUGACGAGAAGAAGCUCUACCACCGCAGCCCCUCAGGCAUCCUCCAACGAUGCAUAUCCAUCGCCGAAGGUCAGGAGCUAUUGCAAGAAAUACACUUGGGGGCUUGCGGUCACCACGCAGCACCUCGAGCCCUCGUUGGAAACGCCUCCUGACAAGGUUUCUACUGGCCAAUCGCGGUGGGCGACACCACUAGGAUUGUACGUCCUACCAGGGGUGUCAAUUCUACGCAAGACAGACACACCUGCCCGCUCAGGCCCUGCAAACAAUACCCAUCACCUGGUCAUUUGCUGUGUGGGGUCUGGACCUCGUCGGUCCCUUGCAGAAGGCACCCGGGAGCUUCACGCACCUGCUGGUCGCUAUCGACAAAUUCUCCAAGUGGAUCGAGGUCCGACCCCUAAACAGCAUCAGGUCCGAGCAGGCGGUAGCGUUCUUCACCAACAUCAUCCAUCGCUUUAGGGUCCCGAACUCCAUCAUCACCGACAACGGCACCCAGUUCACUGGCAGGAAGUUCCUGGACUUCUGCGAGGACCACCACAUCCGUGUGGACUGGGCCGCCAUAGCUCACCCCAUGACAAAUGGGCAGGUAGAGCGUGCCAACGGUAUGCUCCUGCAAGGACUAAAGCCGAGGAUCUACAACGACCUCAACAAGUUCGGCAAGCGAUGGAUGAAGGAACUACCCUCGGUGGUCUGGAGUCUGAGGACGACACCAAGCCGAGCCACAGACUUCUCGUCGUUCUUUCUAGUCUAUAGGGCCAAGGCUAUCUUGCCCACAGACUUAGAAUACGGUUCCCCAAGGACGAAGGUGUACGACGACCGAAGCAACUAGACCAGCCGAGAAGACUCACUGGACCAGCUGGAAGAGGCUCGGGACAUGGCCUUACUACACUCGGCACGGUAUCAGUAGUCUCUGCGAUGCUACCACACCCGAGGGGUUCGGUCCCGAGACCUCCAGGUGGGGGACUUGGUACUUCGGCUGCGACAAGACGCUCGAGGGCGCCACAACCUCACUCCUCCCUGGGAAGGGUCGUUCAUCAUCGCCAAGAUUUUGAAGCCCGGAACAUACAAGCUGGCCAACAGUCAAGGCGAAGUCUACAUCAACGCUUGGAACAUCCGACAGCUACGUCGCUUUUACCCUUAAGAUGUUUUCAAGUCGUUCAUAUACCUCAUUCUCUUUACAUACACAAAUAAAGUCUAACCGUCAAGGAAGGGUCAGCCUUGCCUCAGUAAAGCCCGACCCUCCCUCGGGGGCUAGAAGGGGGGAACCCCCUCUGCGUCAAAAAUUUUCCUCGAAAAAAGUCUUUCUGCCAAAACGUCUUUUGCGCUUUUCGAUUGCUUCGAUAGCGGGGUCCUGAAAACGACGGAGUACACGUAAGCGGCGAGGCCGACCGAGCCGAGGGACUCCUACGCCUCCGGGAUACGGAUACCUCACUCAUCACCUUCCGCGAUAAGUAACUCUCGCUUGGAUAAGCGAUUCUGCUGUCGAACAAGUCUUAACGCUCAAAAACCUUCCUGCCAGAAUGAUUUUUCGUGCCUUCUCGACUAUAUCGAUAACAGAAUCCUGUGAACGAGUAAGAGUACACGUAAGCGGCAAGGCCGACCGAGCCGAGGGACUCCUACGCCUCCGGGAUACGGAUACCUCACUCAUCACCUUCCGUGAAAAGUAACUCUCGCUCGAAUAAACGAUUCUGUUACCGACGAACAAGUCCUGAUACUCGAAACAAGAGGAAAGGAAAUGUAGCUUUACGACACGACAAUGAUAUGUUUGGGCCUCGGCGGCCACGAAAAACAUACGCACACUACAGACAAACUCUCCCUGCAGGUUCAGACAUCAACAGAGGGAACAACAACACCCUCGGCGUUGUUUCCACCUUCGGCGGAAUCUGGCCCGGCCUCGGACGGCGACGUGGGCGGAAGGAUCUCCACCUCGAGGAGGAAGCCAGCACCAAGCUCGGGCCAUCAUAGCCAAGGUCUCCAUAAGGGUCCCGGCCCGGGCAAACACCUUGACCGGCCGCUCCGAAGCCUCAGCCAGCUGUCCCUCGAGGACAUCAGCCCGGCUCAUGGCCUCGGCAGCCCGACUCCGGGGUUGGUCCCGCCAGUGGACGACCUGGCCAGGUUCCAGCCGCCGCUGCUACACCUCCUCGGCCAGGGAGCCCACGUGCUCCUGGGCCAACGAAGCUUCUUCUCGAGCCGACUCCGCCUCUGUCCACACUGACACCGCUGCCUCCGGCUCCGGCUCAUCGCAGAGCAGCUGAGGGUUUCUUUAACUGAGCAAGAGAAGCCUUGGGUGGCAAGGCCGACCGAGCCGAGGGACUCCUACGUCUCCGGGAUACGGAUACCUCACUCGUCACCUUCCACACAGGGCAACUCACACUUGGUUAAGCGGUUCAGCUAGCCGUCAGGCGAGUCCUGGUGCUCGAAAUGAGGAAGAAACACGGUAUUGCACUCAAAUACCUAGAUGUUCAGGCCUCGACAGCCACAAUGAACAAAUGCCGGCACUCAAGGUGCCAUUACAAACGGAACUCCGGUUCCACUCCCGCGGGUAUGAACAACCUCCACAUCGGAGGGCCUGCUGGACGACAAACUCCAGGUGGCUCGCCGCCGACCGCUCCAUCAGCAGCGACAACAACCUCCGCUCCGGGCGAAAGGGCGGACCGCCAUGCAGGCGGCGUGCAACUGCACCAUGGAGACGCACCCCUUCGACUUCGACGCAUCCAGCAUGGAGGCCCAGGCCCACACGUCAUGUAAUCGGCGCGCCGAUUACUACGUGUGAAAAACUGCACCGCCACUUGCGCUAAUACCGCGCCUUCUCGACUGCGGAACCGGUGCCGCGAUUCGAGGCAACCCUGCGCAUGGACCAACAGUGCCAACCAAGCACAUCAGUCAUGGGUCAGUCAGCCGCGGGAGAAGGCGUGACGGUCGAUAUGGCCAAAAGUGGGCCGGUAGUAAUGGCGGCAGCAGGCGGGCGGAAGCGGCGGUCAAAUCGUCUGCAGGCUCACGUCCCCUCCUGGAGCAGCAGGGGAGCCCUCUCCCACAGCGUGAAGACGACGCGCCCGUGUUCCGUCCCUCGAACGGCUCGCACAACGGCUGCCCUGCGAACCACCCGUCCUGUCACAUUAACUUUGCGGCAGGGCAGGCGACACCUUUGGCAGGAGAAGCGGGCGAUGUUUCACCUCCGCCAUGAUGACCGCGUCAAAAAAGGUGCGCCAUGUCGUUUAAAUUCGUAUCCUUUUCUCCUUCCCCUUUCUCUCUCUUGCUACAGGGACCGGGAAAGGGGAUAUUUCGAAAGGGAUCCUUCUCUGCGAAGGAAGCGGGCCCCGAGCCCUCCUACUGAUCAGGGGUUCAAAGGCUGGCCCCUCGGAAGGGUUCAACAGCCGCCCCAGAGCACUCGGGCUUCAGGCUCAUUACUGAUCAGAGGUUCGAUGGCUGGCCCCUCGGAAGGGUUCGACAGCCGCCUCAGACCACUCGGGCUCCGCGCCCACUACUGAUCAGGGGUUCGAAGGCUGGCCCCCCGAAGGGUUCGACAACCGCCCCAGAAUGCGCAGAGCGAGGGAUGACUCUGGGUACGUCCGAUACAUGGCCGAGGCUCGGGCUACGCUCCCGAGGUACCCUAGGACAUUUCCGAGGCCAGCAGGAGCGAUUCUGUAACGGAAUCGCAUCAGAGGGAGGCAUCGAGCCCUCGGACCCUAUCGAACGGGACCGGGUCCGGCAAAUCACCUGCAGGUACUUUUGGAGCGCGCCUCUAGGCCACUAGCCGACCCUUAUCGAACGGGGCACGGGCGUCCACUCGGAUCACCCGUUACCAACUCACUGGAGACACCAUGUUCGGCGCCCUCCGGGGGCAACAUGGCGCUUUCCCCCCUCCUCCUUGCGGAAAGGCGACGAAGGGGCGUAUGAUAAAAGCCGAGUCAGUCCUUGAUCAUCCUCUCGCUCUGUGCAGAGGCUCGGGGGCUGCUCUCGCAAACCCAGCUCCGGCCAAACCGUUGACAGCGUCAACAAACUAGCCCGAGAACUCGGAACCUAACCAUGCACCCGGGCUACGAUCAGAUCGCAUGAGGGAACAACCAGACCGGCUGAGGCAUCACGAAAGGCAUUAAGACCUCAGAGGAGUAAAACCACUCCUUCGAGGCCUCGGGGGCUACACCCGGUGGGUGCGCUCGCGCGCACCCACAGGAACAAAAUGUAACCGAGAAAGGUCGGUCCCCUCGCAAAAAGUGCGACAAAGCCUCCAAGCGAGUACCAACACUCCCUUUGAGGCUCGGGGGCUACUGUCGGGGACCAUAAUUAGGGGUACCCCCAACACUCCUAAACUCGGCUGGUAAUCACCAUCAGCACAAGCUGCAGAGCCUGAUGUGCGCAAUUCAGGUCAAGGCUCCAUCCACUCAAGGGACACAAUCUCGCCUCACCCGAGCCCAGCCUUGGGCAAGAACAUUAGACCCAGGUGGAUUCACGCCUCACCCGAGGGCCUCCUCAAGCAACGGGCGCACCCUCGACUCGCCCGAGGCCCAGCUCGGGCGGGCUUCGCACUGAAGCAACCUUGGCCAGAUCGCCUCGCCAACCGACCGUAUCGCAGGAGCAUUCAAUGCGAGGAUCGCCUGACACCUUAUCCUGACGCGCAGUCCUCAGUCGAUAGGGCCGAAGUGACCGCAGUCACUUCGCCCUUCCACUGACCGACCUGACAAGAAAGCAGCGCCGCCUGCCCCGCUCCGACUGCUGUGCCACCCACCAGGGUGAGGCUGACAGCAGCUAAGUCCAGCCUCAGGCGCCACAGGAAGCUCCGCCUCGCCCGACCCCAGGGCUCGUCCCCCGCCUCGGCCUCGAAAGAUGGACUCCGCCUCGCCCGACCCCAGGGCUCGACCUCGACCUCGACUGCGGGCGGAAUCGCGUCCUCACACGACCCCGGGCUCAGCCUCAGGAGGAGUCUCCGCCUCGCCCGACCUUGGACUCGGACCGACCAUGCCACAGGGGGAUCAUCAUUACCCUACCCCUAGCCAGCUCAGGCUACGGGGAACAAGACCGACGUCCCAUCUGGCUCGCACCGGUAAACAAGUAAUGAUGGCACCCCGCGUUCGCUCAUGACGACGGCGGUUCUCAGCCCCUUACGGAAGCAAGGAGACGUCAGCAAGGUCCCAACAGCCCCGAUAGCUGUGCUUCUACAGGGCUCAAGCGCUCCUCCGACGACCACGACAUCGCAUGCACAGGGCUCUAGCACCUCUCCGACAGCCACGUUGGCAUGUACAUAGGGCUCUGGCUCCUCUCUGCCGGACACGUUAGCAUAUUGCUACACUCCCCAUUGUACACCUGGACCCUCUCCUUACAUCUAUAAAAGGAAGGUCCAGGGCCCUCGUACGGGAAAGGUGGCCGCGCGGGAGGACGGGCUGACGAACAGGCUCUCUCUCCCUCGCGAACGCUUGUAACCCCCUACUGCAAGCGCAUCCACUCUGGCGCAGGACAACACGAAGCCGCGACUUUCCCCCCCUUUGUGUUCCGUCUCGCGCCAACCCAUCUGGGCUGGGGCACGCAGCGACAAUUUACUCGUCGGUCCAGGGACCCCCGGGGUCGAAACGCCGACACCUUGUUCGGUUAUUCCUAUUAUAAAUGGAUUGAGUGAGAUUGGAAAAAAUUUAGAAGAACUUUGACUUGCUUGGGAUUUAAACCCACCCAAUCUCAUUCAAUCCACAUGAAUUGAGAGCUAACCGAACAAGCCCUCAGCGGUUGCCCACGUGAAUUUUAGUCGAAAAAAUCCCAACGGAUACAAUCAAAUGACCGAUAGCCGGUGGACGGCAGUUCAGGCCCAUCCUCGUGCAGGCUCUAAAAUGUGAGGUGUCGUUUGAUAUAACCUUAAAUUAUGUCUGUUUAAGUUUAUGUGUAAUUAGAUAUUACACUAAAAACUGAUAUUAAUCAAUUUAAACUAGUGAUAUAUUCCUAGAUACUCGAGUGUAAAUUGUUACUAUUGUCAUUCUAUUUAUUUGGUUUUAAUCUAUAUUAGAGUCUACUAUUUUUACACUAUUUUAUCUAUAUAAAUUAUAGAUGUAGCAAUUCAAGCAACUGAUUUUAAUCAACCAAACGGCACCAGACAAGUACAGAUCUAUGGCCCCACUCAGGAACUUGGGAAUGGCUAGGUCCACUCCAUGACGCCAGAUCCCCUUCUCCAUUUUAUCCGUCCAACGAGGGGGAAAAAUCCCACCGAGAAAUCCCCCUCCAUUCCCUCCCUCGUGGCCUCGUCUCCUCCCGUGGCCCGUGGGGGACGGCACGCAACCACACGCAGCCACUCACCGGUGAGCGGCGAGGCGACUGGCGCGGCCGCGCACCGCAGUCACGCACGCAGGCGCUCAAUGGCUGCGUCACUCUGCUCCCCGCCUCCGCUCCCUUCCGCCUUCCGCCGAUCCCGCGCCGUCGUCCGCGCCUCCUCCUCCUCCUCGUCGUCAUCCGCCGUCUCGUCGUCGUCGUCCGCCCCCAAAGCGCGGUUCGUCGCCCGCCGCUCCGAGUCCGUCCCCGUCCAGCAGCUGGUCCGCCCGCUCGGUACCCGGAGCCUUCCCCCCUCCCGAGCUCUCCCCAAACUUCAUGGUCUCUACUUGCUCGCUAGUUGAGGGGUCGCUUGAGAUACAUGUCUGCUUGCCUCCUGCAGCGGAGUACAUGAGCUUGCCAGCCAGCCAGUACUCGGUGCUGGACGCCGAGCGCAUCGAACGCGUCGACGACUCCACCUUCCGGUGCUACGUGUACCGCUUCCGUUUCUUCGCGCUUGAGGUCUGCCCCGUCCUCCUGGUCCGCGUCGAUGAGGAACCCGACGGCUGUUGUAUUCGCCUCCUCUCCUGCAAAGUACCUUUCGCCAUACAAAAUUUCAUGUUUUAAUGAUGGCGGCAGUUGUUUAUUUCUGCGAGCAGCGAUUAAGUGUCUCGCUGAUACAGUUAUUUGGUUUUGCUUGCAGCUGGAGGGAUCACCGCUCGUGGAGGCGCAGAAUGAUAAAUUCUCAGGUAAGGUUCGUUCUUGAUAUUAGUGCUAUUACGGUUCUUGGACUAGAUACUUGCCUGAUUACUGAUUUUUACCCGUUAAUCGCUGGCUCACUCGAUGUGUUCUAAAUAAUAAUAUGACCUAAUCACGGCUCAAAGAAGCUGAAAAAGCUUAUCAUUGACAUGUCAGAUAAAGCGGCUGCUGCUAAACUGCUGAGUAUCAUUCCUAGUUUCCUACAGUGGUACUUGCUAAACUCUAUCCACACAUAUGCAACGGAAUGCUCAGUGUGUUUCUAUUAAUGGUCAUUCAUCACUACUGUGAUCACAACUUGGUUGAUGAACUACAUUUUUUUUAUAAGAGUAUCCUUCUUCUGCCAACUGCAGCAAAUCUGUAAGAUGUUUCUGUUUAAAAAGCAUCAUUUUACUACGAUUGGUGACCUUACCAAUGGACCCAUCAAACUAAAGUUUAAUGGUCAAUCAUCACUACUGUGAUCACAAUUUGGUUGAUGAACUAUAUUUUUUUUUGAUAAGAGUAUCCCUCUUCUGCCAACCGCAGCAAAUCUGUAAGAUGUUUCUGCUUAAAAAGCAUCAUUCUACUAUGAUUGGUGACCUUACCAAUGGACCCAUCAAACUAAAGUUUAACCAUCCUGCAUAAGCAUUUUUUUAACGAAACCAUUCCACAUAAACAUGAAGGGACCCUUUUCUGCUAUUUGUGUGAUUCUAUCAUAUGUUUAUUUGAGAAGGGACAAAAAUCAAACAUAAUAUGUUGGCAUAUCCUCACAGGUGUCAACUAACUUGUUGACAAUGUUAUUCUUAAUUCCUUUUUAUUUUGCAAUAUAUAUAGGUACUUUUCUUGCGCUCCUGAACUUUUUUGACUUAAUAAUUUGUUGAGAAGUUUGUAUGGUUAUGAUAAACCAAGAAAGACAAAUAUGUAGUGGCAUAACUGCAAAUUUUCAUGGUCGACCUAUAUUAGCCCAUCCAACAAAGUUUAAUACAUAUAAUUCAUAGCGAUUUCUUUCCAUAUAUAAAUAAACUAUUUAACCCUGGUUCCAGGAUAUCAUUGAUUUGAUUUGCUGUGGGAUGCAGCUUCCAUGGCGAAUAGGGUUUUCUGCAGCAGCAAGUCGCAAGAUUCGACCCUUCAACAACUUACAUCAGAUACUACAAUAGAGGUAGGCAGUAGGCACUCUCAAGCUCCCAGCUUACAUAGUUUAAUCAUCAUUUGUUUGAACACAAUAAUCAGCUUAUUUUGAUAAUCUUCAGGUUGCAAUUGAUAUACCUUUUCCAUUUCGAGCAAUACCAGUUGAAGCCAUUGAAUCAAGUGGCAGGCAAGUGCUUGAACAGUUACUCAGAGUCAUGCUUCCAAGAUUUCUGAAGCAGGUUGGUUUAAUUUUAUUUGAUGUGCCGAUACUUUUUUAUUUUACAAAUUCUUCAGUUCAGUCUUCACUCUUUCUUCCAAGCUUCAACAUUUUCUUUGAGAUGUGACCCAUCUUUCUCCUCCUGGAAACUUUGUUUCAAGGACACAUUUAAGCUUAAUAUGAUCAGAUUCAACUUGAAUCUCAGACCUAGGGUUUCCUCUUGGCUUUCCUCUCUGUAUUUUUUUUCUAUUGUCCUAGUCCUCCUCCUUCCUUUUUCUUUUCUUUCUUCCCUCUUUUGUACAUGUUUUGGUUUCAUUAAUGAAAUUUUACUGUGGGGGGUUUCUCCUAUAGUAUCUUUGUAAAAAAACAUUUUCUUUGAGAUUACAACUCUAGAAGAAUUUGUGAACAAGUAAAUGGUGAGUUGGUCUAUAAGAUAAUAUACUGAUAUAGAAAUUUGAGAUGAAAUUAUAUCUCUAGAAUUACCUUUCGCUUUAUUGUAAAUCAGACAGUGAUGGAAUAAGUCUUGAGCAUCUAGAGGACAGCCUGCUUUUGACUGUCCUCUGUAGUCCUUUAGCAUCUAGAGGACAGCUUGACUGUCCUCUGUAGUCUCUUUAGCAUCUAGAGGACAGCAGUCGCUUUUUGACUGUCCUCUGUAGUCGCUUUAGCAUCUAGAGGACAACAGUCGCUUUUGACUGUCCUCUGUAGUCUCUUUAGCAUCUAGAGGACAAUCCUGUUGUGUAGUGUGUGUGAGAAGGUGUGGUAGUGCAGCCCCUAGGGCUAUAAAUAUGUGUCCCCAACCCCUCUAAGGGUAUGGCAUUGUGUAGUGUUUGAGGAAAUAAACAGAAAAUUGCCCCAACUCAUAGUGUCAUCCUCUUGAUGAGAGUUAGAGUCCCUCUACUUACAAUUGGUAUCAGAGCCAAACUAUCCUGUAGCCUAAACAUCUCUUGCUCAUCUCCUUCCCGCGCCUCUCCCCACACUCAGUCGGCAGCAAGAGCUCCAACUGUUCCUUCCUCUCCUGCUCAGACGAGCAACCUUUCGUCUGAGACAGCCUCUUCCACACGCAGCGACCCCUCACUAGCCCACCAUGUCCCUACGCUCGGUCACUUCGAGUGCGCGGCGCCAGCAGGAAGCCGAGGUCGCCGCGGCACAAGAACGAGAGCGAGCAGCAGCAGCGGCUGCAGCGACAGCGGCGAGGGCAGCACGGUUGGCGGCGGCGGAACUGGCAGCGGCAGAACUGGCAGCGGCGAGAGCGGAAGUAGAAGCAGCGGAGGCGACGAAUGCUGCACGUGCGACGGCAACAGAGCUCGAGGUUCUGCGCGGCAGUAGAGCUGGCAGCUCUGCUUCUGUCGACGACAACACCGACGAAGAGCUCAGGCUGGCGAGGGAAGCAGCGCGAGAGCAGGCGGCACAGUGGGCAGCCGCGCAUCCCCAUGGGGGCGCGCGUGCGACAGCCCGGAUAGGCGCCGACGCGCUGACGGCGCUCCAGGUGGGGGCGCACGCGGCGGCAGCCCAGACGGGCGUAGACGCGCCGGCGGUGCUCCUGGCGGCGGCGACCGAGUCGACGGAGAUCGCGGCCUCUACAGGCGGCGCGGUUCUCCCUCCCCGGAUCGGUACCAUGGUCGCCGCAUGGCCCAGGCCAUUGUCAGGGACAUCGGUCCCGGCGGUGGGUGGCCUACCCUCACCAAGACCAACUACGUCGAGUGGGCCGCGGUGAUGAGGGUACGGCUCCAGGUUCGCCACAUGUGGGAAGCAGUUCGUUACGACGACGUCGACUACCACGAGGAUCGGCGGGCGCUGGAUGCCCUCAUUGCUGCAGUCCCGCCCGAGAUGUAGUUUUCGCUUUCCCAGAAGCGGACUGCCAAGGAGGCCUGGGACGCCAUCGCUGCGACCCGCAUCGGCAGCGAUCGUGCCCGCAAGACCACACUGCAGGCACUUCGCAAGGAGUGGGAGAACCUGGCCUUCAAGCCAGGUGAGGAUGUUGAUGACUUUGCUCUCCGCCUCAACACUCUGUUGCAGAAGAUGGUGCAGUUCGGCGACGACACCUACGAUGAGGAGAGAGCUAUUGAGAAGCUCUUCCGUUGCAUCCCCGAGAAGUACAGGCAGAUUGCUCGGUCGAUCGAGUCUCUGCUAGACCUCUCCACGAUGACGAUCGAAGAGGCGAUUGGUCGCCUCAAGGUGGUCGACGGCGACGAACCACAGGCUCUCUCUGGGCCUAUCACUACCGGCGGGAAGCUACAUCUCACUCGGGAGCAGUGGGAGGCCUGCCAGGGUGACAAGAAGAAGGGGGAGUCCUCCUCGACACGAGGCCGCAAACGCGGCAAGCCGCGCAAAGCGCGUGGAGGCGCCCAGGCCGGGGCGCGAGGACAUGCUGAGGGUGGUGCACGUGGAGGUGCCCAAGUCGGCACCAAGAAGCCGGCACGAGACGACGCUGCCACAACUGCGGCAAGCUUGGCCACUGGGCCAGGGAUUGUCGGCAGCCACGACGUGGCCAGGCCAACGUCGCACAGGCGGAGGCGGAGGAGGAGGCCCUGCUCCUGGCACAUGCAAGCAUCGAGCCAUCUCCAGCGGCACCGGCCGCAGCGGCACCGGCCGCAGCGGCACUCCUCCACCUUGACGAGUCGAAAGCACGCGCUUUCCUCGGCGACGGCUCCAACAAGGACAUGAUCGAAGGAUGGUGCCUCGACACCGGUGCCACUCAUCACAUGACCGGCCGACGGGAGUUCUUCACCGAGCUUGACUCUAGCGUCCGAGGCUCCGUCAAGUUUGGGGACGCCUCCGGCGUAGAGAUCAAGGGCGCCGGCUCAGUCGUCUUCACCGCCGCGUCUGGUGAGCAAAGGCUGCUCACCGGAGUCUACUACAUCCCCGCGUUGAGGAACUCUAUCAUCAGCUUGGGACAGCUGGAUGAGAACGGUUCGCGCGUGGAGGUCGAGCACAGAGUCAUGAGGAUCUGGGAUCCCUCUCGUCGUCUUCUUGCCAAGGUACACAGGAGUCCAAAUCGGUUAUACAUCCUCAAUGUGAAGGUGGCACAACCUUGCUGCCUUGCUGCUCGUCGAGACGACGGGGCAUGGCAGUGGCACGAGCGCUUCGGACACCUUAACUUCGAGGCCCUGAAGCGGCUCAGUGCCAAGGAGAUGGUACGAGGCCUGCCGUGCCUUGACCAUGUGGAGCAAUUCUGCGAUGUCUGCGUGUUGACAAAGCAGAGACGGCUCCCCUUUCCCCAGCAGUCGAGCUUCCGAGCCAAGAAGAGGCUCGAGCUCAUGCAUGGGGACUUGUGUGGCUCGGUGACACCAGCCACACCGGGAGGACGACGCUACUUCUUGCUGCUCGUCGACGAUCUCUCCCGCUACAUGUGGGUGAUGAUCCUUGACAGCAAGGGAGAGGCUGCGAACGCCAUCAGGCGUGUGCAGGUCGCUGCGGAGGCGGAGUGCGGCCGCAAGCUGCGCGUGCUGCGCACCGACAACGGCGGCGAAUUCACGGCGGCUGAGUUCGCGUCGUACUGCGCGGAUGAGGGCGUUCAGCGCCACUACUCCGCGCCGUACAGCCCGCAGCAGAACGGCGUCGUCGAGCGGCGCAACCAGACGAUUGUGGGGAUGGCUCGGGCUCUCCUCAAGCAGAGAGGAAUGCCAGCUGUCUUCUGGGGAGAGGCGAUGGUGACAGCGGUUUACAUCCUCAACCGCUCGCCCACCAAGGCUCUCAACGGGAUGACACCGUACGAGGCUUGGCAUGGGCGCAAGCCGGCGGUCUCUCACCUACGGGUCUUCGGCUGCCUCGCGUUCACCAAGGAGCUUGGCCACAUUAGCAAGCUCGACGAUAGGAGCACCCCGGGGGUGUUCAUUGGCUACGCGGAGGGCUCGAAGGCCUACCGCAUCCUUGACCCAAGAACACAGCGUGUGCGCACGGCGCGCGAUGUAGUGUUCGACGAAGGGCGAGGAUGGGCGUGGGACAAGGCGGUGGACGACGGCACGACUCCGACGUACGACUUCACCAUCGAGUACGUCCACUUUGAGGGAGCUGGGGGAGUAGGCAACUCUUCUCCGAGCAGGUCUACCCCAGCCCCCAAGUCUCCACCGACUCCAGCGCCAAACUCUCUAGCUCCUGCUACAACAAGCUCUUCACCACCACGCACUCCAGCCACGACUCCGGCUACAGCAAGCUCUUCGCCACCACGUACUCCAGCACCGACGGUACCCUCUCCGGGAACGUCCUCUUCGACACCAGCUCGUGUCGAGCACGACCCAG
Molecule: long non-coding RNA, 93597 nt
Filed under: Zea mays
Lineage: Eukaryota; Viridiplantae; Streptophyta; Magnoliopsida; Poales; Poaceae
Description: long non-coding RNA (ZMAY_LNC003389)
Source: RNAcentral